This 124187-nucleotide long non-coding RNA is filed under the name Marmota monax (woodchuck). The stretch from base 73659 to 73727 matches the Rfam family "tRNA". The record is from RNAcentral. Lineage: Eukaryota; Metazoa; Chordata; Mammalia; Rodentia; Sciuridae.
CGGGGGGAGGAAGCGGCUGCGGCUGCGGCUGCGGCUGUCGCUGCGAACCAGCGGCGUCUGAACACUGCGCUGCUACGGAGCGCCGAAUCCGGGCCUGCACCUGGAGCCCACACCGAGCUCCGCGGCCCCUUGGCGGCCCGGCGCCGUUGCCACCUAGGCGGCGUGCCCUGCGUUCUCCGCUGCCCGGGCCAGUCGGCUCUGGCGUCUCCUGGCUCCCCCUUGCUCUCCCGCUCCCUCCUGCUCGCCUGAGUCACCGACGCCGCCGCCGCCAUGGCCGAGAGUAGUGAAAGCGGCGGUCCUCCGGGCUCCCAGGACAGCGCUGCCGCGGCUGAGGGUGCCGGCGUCCCCGCGGCCGCUGCCUCUACGGAGCCCAAGAUCAUGAAAGUCACCGUAAAGACCCCGAAAGAGAAGGAGGAGUUCGCUGUGCCCGAGAACAGCUCGGUCCAGCAGGUGAGGCCGCCUGGGGCCCGGGCCGGGGUGGGGGUGGCCGCAAGAUCUCCGCCCGCGAUCGGAGGAGACGGUUUUGGAAGGGCCUGGGAGAGGGUCGUCCGCGGAUGUGCCCUCGGCCAUUCUGGAUCUCAUCUCACAUUAGAAAUUGCUCAAGUUCGCGGGUUUGCUCCUUUGGACUCCGCAGAGGUUUGUGGCGGGGCUGUGCGGCCUGCUUGUGGGACGCGCCGCCGUCGCCGCCGCUUGGCUCUCCAAGGUCCUCUUCUAAGCCUUCGAUUUAGAAAGAAAAUAAUCUAUUUUUCAUAUUUCUAAGUGAAAUUCUCAGGGGAUUGUAGAUAAAUUGUGCACUAUAGCUGUCAGCAACACAUGUUAUAUAAAACCCCAGGAAAUGUUCUUUAUUUCACAUGUCAGUUGGUUUUGUCUUGAAUAAGCUGAUCUCUAACAGCAGGUAAUUGUUUUUCUUCUUUGACUGCCUCUAGCAAUGCAUUCUCUCUCUUCUUUCUAUGUACAAAUCCACUCCCUCCACAAACCCACAUGCUCGCAUACAUUUCUCCUGCAAGAUAGGAAGAAUGCUUCUCAGGACAUUCUUUUCAUAAACUGGAGGAAUAAGGCAAAACAUAUUUCAGACAAAAUACUUGAAGGAUAUGUUCUGAAUAAUUAAUAUUAAAAAAUAAAAUGGAGGUUUUUAGACAGAGGACUCCAUGCCAACUCAAGUUUAGGAUGAACCAUGUAUCAAGUCAUGAAUUGUGGAUUCUCGCUUCCCAUAGGUAUAAAAGGUCAGGAACAAAAUUCACCUAAUUGUGUAACUCAAAAUCAUUUAUGAGUGAAUGAGCAAAUAAAAAUUAAGGAAGGAAAAUAUGCAAAUGCACAGAAAAUAAAUUCUUGUUGAAAUUAGAGAACUGACUUUUAACAUGAGGUUCUACAUAAUGAUCCACACAAUAGCUAGAAUUUCUUGAAGCAUACUUAAUGAACAGGAAACACAGCAGUCACUUGCAUCAGCAUUUUCAGGAGAAUCUGUUUCCUUAUCUUAUGGACCAUUUGAUUGUAUUUAGGGCUGCUCUAGGACCCUGGCAUCAAAUAUCUGAAAAUGAAGAAAUGUGAGGUAAUUGGGUGGGUUUUCUUUUCCCAGUCAGAUUUUUACAUUUACUUAGAGAAAUGAUACAGCUUAUUCCAUUGAGUAAAAGUCUUUAUAAUAGAGCAUCAGGGCAUUUAACUUAUCAUUUUUAAAAAAAAAUUAAAUUAGAAAAAUAGCAAAUAGCUGAAGUUCAUAUAGUACUUUCUACAUGUUAUACUGGAAUUCAAACAUUCUAUUCAAUUUAAUUUACUUAAUCAGCAAUUUAUUCAUCAUUUUGACCCCCAGUUUAUGUAAACUGAAACACAAUGUUUCACAAUGAUUUGAUUGUGGGCAGUCUGGUUCCAAAGUCCAGGAUGUUACUGUUGGCUAAUUUAUAUGCGUGCUAGAUCUAAUUAGUUUACUGUGUUUUUAUGUACCCUCUUUUCUUAUUUAUCUUCUUUUUGAUGGUUAUAUUCAUUAUUGAAACAGGGGUAUUGAAGUCUUCAAAUAUUAUUAUAGAACUGGAUAUUUAUUCAAUUCUGUCAGUUUUAGCUUCAUAUAUUUUGAUGACAUGUUAUUAAGUAUAUAAAUGUUUAUAAUUUUUAUAUCUUCUUGUUGCAUUGAGACUUUUAUUAAUAAAUAUGCCUUUUUUUGUCUCAUAGAUUUUUUGAUCUUAAAUCUAGUCUGUGUGAUAUUAGUAUAGCCAUUCCUAUUUGCUUUCAGUUACUGUUUGUAUGGAACAUAUAUAUUCAACUUUUCAUUUUCAAUCUAAUUGUGUCUUACAAUCUAAAAUGAGUCUCUUAUAGAGAGUAUAUAGUUGGAUCGUGGUUUUAUUUAUUUAUUUAUUUUUUGGUCCAUUUUGUUGACCUACAUUUAUUAUUCUGAGAGCUUAAUCCAUUUACCUUUAGACUAAUUAUGAUAAAGAGGGACUUACUGUGUCAUUCUGAUUUUUAAUUUCUCUGUGCAUUCUAGCCUCUUUUAUCCUUCAUUUACAUUUACUGUCUUCUUUUGUGUCUAGUUGAUUUUUUUUUGUAGUGAAACAUUUGAAUUCUUUUCUUAUUUCAUUUUGUAUAUUAUUUAUAUAUUAUUCAUAUAUUUUCUUCAUUGUUACCAUGGGGAAUAUACUUCAUAUCCUAAAGUUAUGAGACUAUAAUUUGAGUUUAUACCAGUUUGGCUUUAAUAGCACACAAAAAUAUCUUCUCUAAUGCCUUUGUCCUCACCCUUUUUGAUUGUUAUUGUUACAGAAUUACAAAUUUAAACAAUGUGUGCCUCCAAACAAAUAAGUAUUUUUAAAUUUCAUUGUUCUCGAUUAUGUAAAAAACAAAAUAUGGAGUUACAAACCAAAGUUACAAUAAUACUAAAUUAAUUUAUUUUUUAAAUUAAUCUCUUAAAACAAGAAGAAAGAACAAGAAGAAAUACAAAUUAUUGUUCCAAUAAUACUAGAUUUUAUAAUACAGAAUCUUAUUAAGAUAUUUAUUUCUUCAUUCAGCAUUAAGUCACUCUUUGGUGUCCUUUCAUCUUAUCCUGUUCUCCCUUAUUAUUUAUUGCAGAGCAGAUCUAAAGGUAACACACUCAUUUUCUUUUGUUUGAGUAUUUAUAAUUUCUCUGUAGCUUUUAGGGGUAGUUUUCCCACAGGUAGUAUUCUAUGUUGACUAGUUGAUAUUAUUUCUGUUUUUUUUUUUUUUUCUUUUAGCACUUUAGAUAUAUUGGCUUACUACCUUCUGGUCCUGAAAGUUUCUGAUGAGAAAUAAGUUGACUGUUUUAUUAUGGAUCCCUUGUGUGUGAUAAGUUUGCUUCUCUCUUGUUGCUUUAAAUAUUCUCUUUUUAUCUUUGGCUUUUAGAAGAAGUUUGAUUAUAGAGACCUUUAUUAUGGGUCUUUGUAAAGAAACACAUAUAGAGGAAUACCUGUGAGGAGGCACAUGAAGAACAGAUACAGAUACACAAAGUUCAAGCAGACAGACAGGAGGAGUGGAGAGGAUUGAAAUGAAGUGGUGAAGAAGAAGUACAGAAGAAGUACAAAGUGAAGUGUCCUCCCCUACCUGUGAGUUUAUUAACUAAAAGAACACAUACCUCCGUUACCAUGACUGUAUUCUAAUUAGUAUGUCUUUAACCUGUGUACUAGCUAACUGAGAUAAAGUCCAGGUUAGAAGUAACACAGGGCUCCUACCUACCAAGGGCAUAUCCAAGGAAACCAGAUAGUGUCUGCAUAGUUGGCUCCCUAGCUCAGAGGGAGGAGGCUGGGCAUCCUAGGUCUGGGAAGCAGGGAAACUUGUGAAGGACAAUGCUAUGGCAGCCAGGCAUCCUGUGCUUUUGCACAGGAGUUUCCCAGUCACCAGGUAUUACCUAGCAGCCAGGAAUUCUGUAUCUUUGCACAGAAACUUCCUAGUCACCAAGCAUGUCACAAUCACAAAGUUUGUAGACCCCAAUUAUAAGCACAGAAUUCCUACAGGUCUUUUUGUGUUCCUCUUACUUGGAGUUCAUUGAGCUUCUUGGAUAUUUAUAUUGAUAUCUUUUAUUUACUUUGGAAAGUUUUCAACCUUUAUUGCUUUAAAAAUUCUCUAUGACCCUUUGUCUCUUCUCCUACUGCUCACACAAUGCCUAUGGUAUUCUGCUUUAAAGUGUCUCACAAGUUCCUUAGGCUUUGUUCACUUUUUUAUUUUUAUUUUUUCUGUUCCUCAUGCACAAUAAUUUCUAUUGCCCUAACUUCAAGUUUGCUAAUUAUUUCUUUUACCUUCUGAAAUUGGCCUUUGAAUUCUUUUUUUUUUCAUUUCAGUUAUUAAACUUGCCAGCUCUUGAAUUUCUUGUACUUAUUGAUAUUCUUAUUUUUCUCUAUCACAUUGAUUGCUUAACUUCCUGCACAUAAUUAAUUGAGCAUCUUUAGAAUAGUUGUUUAAAAUUUAUUUGUUUAGUAGAUCUAUCAUGAGGUCUUUCUCAGGGGCUAUGCUUUCCUCUUUUUUUUAAUGUGAUAUUUUUUGAAAAACUGUACACGGAAUCUCUUUUCGUUUUCAUAAUAUGCACCCUACCAUGUGUAUAGUGAUUUCUCACUGCUGUUUAGAUUUUCAUUUUCCUGAUAAUUUGUGUUGUUGCACACCUUUUUAUAUACUUAUUAGCCAUUUGUACAUCUUCUCUAUAGACGUAUCUAUUCAAAUUCUUUGCUUGUGUUUUAAAUCAUAUCAUCUGGCAUUUGUUUGUUUGUUUAUUUGACUAUUAGAGAAUAUGAAGUCCUUAUAUAUUUUGGACAUUGACCUUUUGUCAGAUACAUGGUUUACAUGUACAUUCUUCCUUUCCAGGCUUUGCUUUUUCAUUUUGCUGAUUGUUUCCUUUGCUUUGCCAAAGCUUUUCACUUUGGUAUAUCCCCAUCUAGUUAUUUUUGCUUUUGUUGUCUGUACUUUCAGAGCCAUUUCCAAGUCUAAUUAACCUAUUUCCUAUGAUUUAUUCAAGUUUUAUGAUUUUUGGUUUUAAAUUAUGUCUUCGAUUCAUUUUGAAUUAAUUUUUGUUAGUUGCACACGAUAAGGUUCUACAUCAGGUAGUGUUGUCAUGCACUAGUUGACUGUAUAUGCAUGAGUUUCUUUUUUUAUAAGCACUCGAUUCUGCUUCAUUGGUUUAUGUGUCUGUUUUUAUACGAGUAUCAUAUUGUACUGAUUACUGUAGCAUUUGUAUGACAGUUUGUAAUUAGAAAAUGUGGGGGCUGGGGAUGUGGCUCAAGCGGUAAAACGCUCGCCUGGCAUGUGCAGGGCAGUGGGUUCAAUCCUCAGCACCACAUAAAAUAAAAUAAAGAUGUUGUGUCCACCAAAAACUACAAAAUAAAUAUUAAAAAUUCUCUCUCUCUCUCUCUCUCUCUCUCCUCUCUCUCUCUUAAAAAAAAAAAAGAAAAUGUGAUACUUUCAGGUUUGUUCUUAUUUUUCAAUACUGAAUUAUUUAUUUCAGGACUUUUGUAGUGCCAUAUAAAUUUUAGAAUUUUUUUUCUAUUUCUGUGAAAAAAAUGUCAUUGAAAUUUCAAAAAGGGUUAUAUUGAAUUUAUAGAUAGCUUUGGGUUGUAUGGAUAUUUUAACAAUAUUAAUUUUUCUAGCCCAUGAACUUGAGGUAUUAUUCCAUUUGUUUAUGUCUGUUUAAAUUUUUUUCAUCAGUCUUAGUUUCCAGUAUACAGAUCAUUCACCUCAUUGGUUAGAUUUUUCAUAAGUAUUUUAUUAUUUUUGACAUUAUAGUAAAUGGAAUUGUUUUCUUUCUUUUUAGAUAUUUAAUUGUUAGUGUAUAGAAAGAUGACUGAUUUUUGGACUUUGUACAUCACUGCCUCAGCAUCUUAUCAACCUAGCUGGACCAGUAAUGUUAAAUGGAAAAUGGAAAAUUAAUGACUUGUUCCCCAAAGCAAAGCAAGAGAAUGUAUUUCCUAUGCUGGGAAAUUUACCCAGAAGAUUCUCUUGGGACUCUGACAUUUAAAAAUAAGCAAAUGCUUUAGCACUAAUCCUAUGUCACAAAAUACCCUCCUCAGCAGCUGCAUGCAUGUUAAACUUGCAGCUAUAGGGAAUAUUUGCAAAAAAAAUGAAAAGAGCUCAUUAUUAUUUUUAGCUGAGAAAUGACUAUCAUCAGGGAGAUAAAUCAUUCCUCAGUGAAGGAAACCUCAAUUACACUUCAUAGAUUUAUAUGUCAUUUAGAUAUAGGGCAGAUAAACCUGCUGGGAUAUCUGGAGAAAUGAUCCUUGGUUUGAGGAAGUUUUGUUGCUCCCAAAGAAAGCUUUGAAAUACAUAGUGCUAACCAGACUGUGAAAGUUCCUUGCAGAAUUGUUUUGUCAAAUUGAAGAAAUGUUUAUCAUAGAGGUAUAAAAUUGGAGAUACCUUAAAUUAGCUAAAUAACUCAUAUGCUUAAAAAUUACUUUAAUGGGAAUAUAAGACAUACAAAAUCAGAUUUUGACAUGAGAUGGAAUCAAAAUUAUAGUGGUUGAGAUAAACAUAAGAAAAUAAACCAAUUUAUUCUGAAAAGGAAGUGUGCAUAAUACUUAAGCAAUAUAAGAGUAGAUAGCUCUAGGUUCAAUGUUUGGAUUACAAGACCUUCCAUAGAAGGUUAGUGAAGAUUUUGCCUCCUAAUGCCUCUAUCUCUACAGAGUUACCUUCUGGGUAGAGGUAACUAUCUUGUUAUCAAGAUCAAGGAACUUCAUCACUGGAAACAAAUUCACUGAACUCUGAAAUUCUUCCCUUUUGAAACUUAUUAAUAUAAUUGUUCUUGAGAGAUUGAGGUUAAUUUGGAGAAAAGGGACAUGUGUGAUCUGCAUAGGAGAUUUCCUAUGAGGUAGGGGAAUUGGCCUUAUUGAUAAUUUCAACAUUAGGCCAAGAGGAUUGUGGGGUAGCUGGAUGUGAAAUAGUGUGUAACUGAAUGGGCAGAAGUACUCUAGGAAUAGCUGAGAGUCAUAUAUACAAAUGAGUAGUGACAAUGAAUACUGAAGCAUGGGAUUCUUUCUUGUCCAGUAGAGGAAUCUGGGUCUGUCAGGUGUGAUUGCAAUGGUGAAAAAGGAAAGAACAAAUUUUAUGGAAUGAGUUUUUAAUAGUUCUGGGGUAGGAAGAUGUCCGUUAGAGAAGGAGACAGGGAGGGAUAUAACUCCAAAAUCUGCUUUCCCAAAUAGACUGGAGGAAGGUGAGGUUUGAAGAGAGGUGUUUUGGAGACUGUGUAUGUGUGUGUGUGUGGAGAGAGAGAGAGAGAGGGAGAGAGAGAGAGAGAGAGAGAGAGAGAGAGAGAGAGAGAGAAAACCUAUCUAUUUGCUGCAAAAGUGAAAAGCAGGUUACUCACUCGAGACAGAGAUUCAACCAAGAGAUUUUAUUGGGGAGCUGCUGCCCGAAGGGUAAGAAAAGAAAAGGAAGAGAGCAGAAAAAGGGAGAAAGAGAGCAGAGAGUGUGAACUUGCAAGCUUCAGCUUAAGAAGGGUUCUGUAGGAGACAGGGCGUGUGCUGAUUGGCAGCGUGACUCAGGAACUGGAGAGCAGACACUGUGUCUCCAGGGAUUGAUUUAGAAAAUUUUUGACUUUGGUGCCCUUUGGCAUGGUGCCCUUAGGAGAGGAAGGGGAGGGGUAAGAGAUAAUGGUGAUGUUCUUCUCACGAGAUGGAAACUUAACUUCAGCAGGGAGAAACUCAAUGGGGGAAAUAAAACCAAAAGGCAAGGUCUCCCACAUACCCAACAAAAAGUAUUUAUUGGGUCCCAAAUGAUGUUACAGGGAUGUUCUUAAUGGCUAAUGAGACAGGGCUGAAUAACAGAAGACAUGAUGAUCCUUUGCACAUGUGUUCACACUAAAUGCUGCUUUAUAAUUCACUUUCAAUGUCUGACAUACAUAACAUCACAUUUUAUGAAUGAUGAGACCAUCCCAAGUAAAGGUUAAUGGCAAGGAAGAAAGGAGGGGAAUAAAACUGGAAUCUCCUAAUCAAAAUUCAGUGUUCUAAUUUAAUUUCCAAAAUUAUACAGAUCUAAUAAGGUUAUUGGAGUUUUUGAUCCCACAAAGGGUACCCUGUUAUAAUUAGAAUAGAUUCCAAAAUGUAUAAAAAUGAUUAGCACGCUCUGGUCUCUGGCAAACACUCUAAGUUCUAACACUCUAACACUUUGCCAUCUCUCCCUCCUUUCACUGACCUUCAUUAAUUCCUCAAACAUAGAGUCCUUAAGUAUACUAUACUCCAUGAUAAUACUUGGCACACUAUCCAUUUUAUUAUUAACUAGUAGAAAUUAUUUAAUAACUGGCUUCUGAUCUGGACUCUAAGCCCUGUGUUGAUAAUUCUCCUUCUAUAUUGCUUAUUUGGUCUAUUCUCAAUGCUUUGCCCAGUGUCUGGCACAUACAAGUGCUUAUUCCAUGUCUUUUAGUUCACUCCAAAUAAGAAAAUUAUCUUUCUUUGACUUUGUGGGAAAUUAUCUUGCUAUGACCUUGUUCCUAUGCUUUUUGUCUGAUAUUGGGUAGAUUAUAUCCUCCUUCUUUGCUCAGCCUGUGUAACUUUGGCCCAUUCUUACAAAUCCAAUUUAAGACUCUCUCAGACAAUUGUUUCUGCCUCUUCUGAUCUUUUCACACAUUUACUGUGAUAAUGAAGCAGUCAACAUUUGAUUACAUUCAUUCUUUCUUUUUAUAAAACAGUGUAUAUCUCAUGGAUUUUUCUUUCUAUACAAUAUUUUAAAAGAAAUUCUGCAAGUCUUUUCCCCCAUUAUUAUUAUUAUUAUUUUUAGAGCUGUGAACCUUCUGGGCAUCUUCAAGGUGAUGAAUAACAACUAGCUGACAUUGAUUUGGAAGAUGCUCCAGAAUAGAGAGCAGUUAGGAGACAAAGGUUUCUGAUAGAGUACAGGUCUGGAGCUGAUCAAAGAGAGGGCAUAGGGGAGACAGACUUAUUAUUAUUUUUUUAGGAGGCUGAAUGUCAGAGAUUGUAGUGAACAUUUCAAAGCAUAUCAGAGAAAAUAACAGGGUAGAUAUUUGUCUCUCAGGAUGCAUCCAUGAGAAAUGUACUGAAAAAGUCCACUUGAAAACUAACAGGAAAGUCAAGGUUAAUAGGAGAAACAUUGAAUGCCCAACAAUAUCCACAGAGGUUUUAAUUUAACAUUAUAUGAAAAAGCUACACAGAAAGUGAAGUAAAUACAUUGGAAUUUAAAUCACUUACCAUAAUCUGUGUAUUGGGCCCUUUUAUUAAAAUAUUUUUAUAAUUUUCAAACAUUGAAUUUAAUCAACUCAACAAUACAAAAGUUGGCAAUCUGACAGAAAGAUAAUAACUGAAUAGACUUUCGUUUUCAACAUGAAUAGAACUUGUGGACUGAGGAAAACUAUUUUCCCCCUAUUCAUUCCAUGUCAUAAAUCUAUAGAAUUGAAUAACCUUGUUUUGAAAAUCCUAUUCAGACAGGGAACAGGGGUCUCUUAAUCUCAAAAUCCUAUGUACCAACUUGUAUUGCACUGAUAGGUUUGCUCUUUUUCUUAUUGAACUGUAAAUUCCUAGGGUCCAGAGAUUUUCUUUUUUUUUCAUGCCCCUAAGUGUCUGGUUUAUGCAAGGCACUUUUUAAAAGUAAAAGGUUAAAGAAGAUGUAGCAGAUGAUGUUGUUGUGAGCAAAAAUAGUUUCAAAAUUAUAUUUGGCAAAAUAUGGAAAACUUUCCUUCAACCACAAAGCAGGAAAAUGAUUUUUAAAACAGACUUGACCUAUUUAGGGACAAAGAUGCUGAAACCCCUUUUUCCAGAAUCUGCAUUCUAGAGUUUCUGAACUUCCCUUGUUUAUUUCAGCUUGGGAUAAGGCACAAUAAGGCUGCUGUUAUAGAAUCAAUAUGAUGUCUGAAAUAAGAGUAGUGAACAAAAUAUUAAUAAUAGAUACAUGAAUUAGUAUAUCCAAUAUGCCAAGUCAGACUAGUUGAAACACAGGGACCUUUUUUUUUAUCCCCACUGGGACUUGAACCCAGGGCCUUAUGUAUAUUACGCAAGUACUCUACCAUUGGGCUACAUUCCCAGUCCCAGGGACAUAAGUUUUGACAAGAGGGCAAAGAAGUAAUUAUGACCUUUGUUUGUUCUCAAAGAGGGAAAUGUUUGUGACCACAAGGUUAGAAAACAGGAAUAGAGGUAGAAAAGCCCAAACUACACAGUUUACAGUUGGAAGUGGACUCACCAGUUAGUUUCAUCCAGUGGUGUGACUAAGGAAACUGCAGUGAUACGGGAAUUACAGAAAUGAGAAAAAUGAAUGAUAAUUCUCUCAGAGAAAUGUCCCUGUAGAAGUAUAAGAAUAGAUCGUAUCUCCCUAAGAGUUACUUAGCUUGUUAUUUUGACAUCUUUAUACCUGUUUAUGAGCUACUACUAGACCAGGUACAUAAAGCAAUUAAAAUAAGUUUUGAGGCUGGACAGAAGCAAGGGACACGUGGAUAUGGUCAAGCUUGGCCUCUUCAUAGUUUUAUUUUUUUUUUCCCUCUCAGAUCUCAACUCCAAACAAAAAUUUACACUUUUUGAAUUUGAUUCUUUUAUAAUGUAGAUGACUCCAUGGAUCAAUUAUACUGUACUUAUAAAAUAUAUAUUCUCAAAAAUAUUGGAUGGGCUUGUGAAACCCUGGGAAUUUAGAAUGGGUAUAGAGCAAAGACUUCCUUUACUUCUUCACUGAUGCUGGUUCAUGUGGUCAGAAUUUUAUAAAUGGUACCACAAAUGUAUCUUUGCCCAGUCCUAGAACCUGUGAAGAAAAUGAGUUAUUAUGCUUGUGGUUAUAUUAUUGUACAUGACAAAAGAGAAUUCCUAGAUGUGAUAAGGUUACUGUUAAUCAACUGCCCCUUACACUGAGAAUAUUGUGCUGGAUUAUUCAUGUGGAUCUGGUGCAAUCACAAGAGGCAUUAUAAAUAAAGCUCCUUCUCCUGCCAGUAGACAUAGCAGGAAUAAAAAAGGGGAGGUCAGAGAAAUUUGAAGCAUGAAAAAGACACUGUUGAUGAGUUGAAGAUGUGAUCACAAGAUGGAAUGCCAGCAGCUUUGAGAGACAGCAGACACUGACACAGACUUACAGGUGCAAAGGAACUAGAUUGUGACAGUCACCAAAGGAGCUCAGAUGCAGAUUCUUCCUGUAAACCUCCAGAUAAAUAAGCCUAAUAAGCCAGUGUCUGGGUUUCAGUAUUGUAAGCUCCUGCACUGAGAACUCAGUCCAGUCUACCUAGACUUCUGACCAACAGAACUGUUAGAUAAUUAAUGGGUGCUAUUUUAAGAUAAUAGAUUUAAAGUAAUUCAUUAUACAUCAAUAGAAAACUAAUAAAGCUACACACUGACAUGUUUAUGGAUGAAAUUAUUCUAAUUUGUGUCAAAUUAAUCCAGUGUAGAAGCAUGAAAAUGGGGGUAAGCAAAACUAUAGUUAAAUAUAUUUAAAAUAAUCUGUAGUUAAAAUAUUAUAAAAAGCUAGAAUGUGUGCUUGAAACAGUUUUACAGAGGAACUAGUAAAAAAUGAGUUCUACAACUCUUUGAUAGUCUACAUCCACCUUGAGACUUUAAAAGGGUAAAUCAAGAAAAUUUGUGUCAAUCUAAGAUGAAUUUUUGCCCCUGUGCUCAAGUGGAGGGAUGGUAUGGCAGGUGUUCCCUCAUUCAUUUCAAGACUAGAGAAUCUUUUUUUCAACAAAACUGUUUGGAACAGCAAAGUUUCUCAACAAUUGAGUGACAUCAUGACAUGAUGUCACAGACAACUAAAGUACAUGUGAAAGUAAUCUGUGUUGGGGAUAGGGAAAGGGGGAGUGGGGAGUUGCAUUUUGAAUAGACUCCCACCAUAAGAGGAGCAGUGAAAUAUUUCCAUGGACUAGAGAUAGUGUAACAUGUAGAGUGAAUGGAUGAGUUCUUUGUCUCCUAAAUUUGAGGAAUGAAAUCUAUGGAUACAAGGAUGAGAGCAUAUUAACAGGAUUUACAGAAAGAAAUAAGAGCUCCUGAAGAGGGAGUGUCCCUAAGGAGAGAUGUCCACAGGUGUCUGUUGUCUAGGGGUUUUUAUGUUCUUUAUCUGUCCCUAUAGACUGGUGGUGACUAUGUUAAUGGGGGAUGCUAGCAUGGACCAAUUAAACUCUCUAAGUUCUGAGUUUAAUAAGCCAGUCAGAAGUUUAUAAUAUCCCUUAUUUAUAUAAUUAAGAGAACAGGUCUAAAGUUGGGCAAAGUGGCACACACCUAUAAUCCUAGCGGCUCUGGAAGCUAAGAUGGGAGGAGAGCAAGUUCAAAGCCAGCCUCAGAAAAAAUGAGGUGCUAAGGAACACAGUGAGACUCUGUCUCUAAAUAAAAUACAAAAUAGGGCUGGGGAUGUGGCUCAGUGGUUGAGUGCCCCUGUGUUGAAUUCCCAGUAAGAAUGGAUCUAAUCUUGUGGUUUGGCAUAUCUGUGAAGGCAAGGAAGUGCUUCAGGAGUUGAUUUGGUGGACAGUCUUUGCUAGGGGUAGGCAUGGGGUAACUAAGGAAAAGCUACUGUAGUUGAAGCUGUUAGGAACAAUAAUAGGUGCUAAGGAACCAUUGCAGAUGAAGCUCUUGGGGGCACCAAGUAACAGAAUGUUCUACAGACCAUCUCUUUCUAGAAUGGCAUGUUAUUCUCCUCCCCUCCUUCCCUUCCGCAAGGCCUUAUCCUAUCUGCCUAUGGGAGGUCUACCUUUCUGCCUCAUUAGCUCAAUAGAUUGCAUGCAAAGAAAUCAGGUGUGACAUUGUCUUAGAUCAUAUUUGUAGUUUUUUUACGGAAGGUAAUGAUGGUGCACUCUGAACUUUUUUGGAGGGAACUAAGUGACCUCUGGGAAAGAAGGCAGUGGUGACAUUCUUUGAGUGACCUACAGGAACACCCCCAUGAGGAAAGUCAUGAUAUUGAAAGAUUUUACCUUGUGGUAAGAUUUCCCUGUCCCUGAUCAUUUUUCAUUUUUUAACAAUUCCUAGAGGGAUCAGAAACCUUUGUAAGUAUGUGGGUGUGAGGGAAACAGCAGAAAAGAUGAGCAAGAAAGAAUGUAGUUUUUCUCUGUUCAUGGCCCUGCUUCAGCUGGGAAUAAGGGAGUUCAUUUAAGACAAAACAAGUUCGGUAUGUGAUUAUUACACAGAGUUUUACUUUCUGAUUGGAAGAUGGAGACUGUCUCUUAUAGUGAUGGUAAUAUUGUCAAAAUAGAAUAUGAUCACAUCUGUAGACAGCCUGUUCAUUCCCUUACUUAUUGCUUCCCAGAAUAAAUUGAUGAUGUUGGAGAUGGUUCAUUACAUGGGACUCGGGGGGCCGAAGGUGGAGCAGUACUUACCAUCCAUGCCCUCCUGGAGUCUCUGAACUGUAAAAUGUUAUGAUACACAAAUACAGGAAGUGAUGAAGUGGAGAGCCAGCACUGGCAGUGAAGAGCUGAGACUUUGUUCCUGGAGCAUAAAACAUACACAACUUUCUUUGCAUUUCUCCAUCCCAUCAGUUCCUGCUUUAUUCUCACCUGGGGUACUAAAAUAAUCUUGAAGUUGGUGUCCUUUCCCCAGGACAUCUACUGUCUCUCAAUCUCUUUCGCAUACUGCUCCAAAUGAUAUUUAUAAAACUGAAUUUUGUUCAUAUCAAUUCUCUUAUUAAAAUCUCUCACUGGUUCUUUACAACCCAUGGGAUUAAAUCCAAUCAUGAAGAUAAAUACAUCCUUCUAGAUCUGUUAUCUUCCUCCCUUUUUGGUUUCCAUUUCAUAUGAUCUAGAUAGUCUAAUAAGUCAUUGGAUAUUUAGAGACUAUUUCAAACUCAUAAUAAAAGUGACAAAAGAGCUUCCAAAGUACACAUUUCCAAAGUUUUAGAAUUUUUUGUGUAUCAGUCAAAUGAAUUUUUAUUACUAGGUACACUGUGCUGUGAAUUCUUGAAGAUAAAAGUUAUGUUGUAUCCUAUUCCCUGCUAUAUAUCUAAGCACAAAUGCAUAUUUUACAGAAAGAAAAAGAGAAAGCGAGCUCGUUAAUGUAAAACUACAUUAAUAGUGCAUAUAGAACAACUUAGAAGGCUCCCAGAAAGUGCAUUUUUAGUUAAAUAAAACUUCAGAGAAAAACGCUUUGUUUGAACCCCUACUGCAAAGAAUGCUUUCCAGACACCUUGUUGCUUAUUUCUUCAAGUAUGGCCCACCAGUCAUAAUUGAAUUUUUCUUAGUUGAAUACUUGAACAGUCCUUUUAGUCCCCAUUCUAUAUAAAGUUUUUUUGAGUUUGAUGUGAAUUGAGCUGAAAAAAAUAACAAAAGGAUAUGAUUAUGAUUUUAUUUAAAAAAUAAAUGCUCAUGAUUACCGUAGUUUCCCAUGAUUUACUUCUGUUUGUUGAAGUCCAAAUUCUGGUGGAUAUCAAUAAGUAUAAUGUAAAAUAUACAUUAUAAGUAAUUUGUACUCACUGGUUUAGUUGCAUUUUUAGAAAGACAGUUAAGGAAGUAAAUGUCCCAUUAGCAGUUCUCAAUCGGCUGUUAACUUGCUUAUGUGAUGAUAGAAAAAUGAAGAAAAAAAUACUGAGGACUUUAUGUAAACAUGUGCAUACUAAAAUUAAUGUAUUAAAUUAACUUAAACUCCCUUUGCACCUAAAAUAAUAAACACAAACAGGAAUUCUUUUAUUUUUUUAGUUCCUGGUACAUUACAGGCACUGUAGAAAUAUUUCUUAAUUUAAGCCUCUUACAAAUCUUUAACAUUGGCAUUGAUUCCUUUUGGAUAUAAGAAAACUGCAGUUUGAAAUCAGAGAUUCCCAAAAGUUCUCAUCACAGUGCUCUUGGUCAUCCUUAUUCUUUUUAUGACUGUUAGAUCAAAAUAAAUGCCCAAGUUUCAGUUAUUAAAUGGAGAUAGAGCCAAACAACUCAAGUGUUGAUAGGUCGCCAGUGAAGACAAAGAUGAAACCAAACUACAGUUUCUUCGAUAGUUAUCACAACAAACUGUAUAAACUGAUGCAUCAAGGAAUAAUAACUCAACAAGUAAUGCUCAUUCAAGGAGUCGAUUUAUUUUGGGAGGAAAUGGACAUAUUGAUAGAUUCCUCCACUUUGAACUGCUUGCAGAACUUGCCUGGACUAUGUAUUACUUAUAUGCAUUGUGAUCUAUCUGUUGAUGCAGCGAAUUAUGGUAAUGCUGGUGUAUCUUUGCUGAUGUGUCACCAGUGAUGCAAUUUUUCCUAAGGAGCCGUCAAUUGGCUUGGUGUCGUGGCAUUUCUGUAUCCUCCUCCCUUCUACUAGUGAUGGUCUAAUUUGGGGGCCAACAGAGUUGAGGCAAAGAACCUCACUCCCCCACCGGCACCAAGGCCAAAUUUGGGGGCCAAAAGAUGUGAGGCAAAGAACCUCACCCCCCCACUGGUGCAUAGGCCUAUCCACAAGUAUGGCUAUAUGCUGGACUGGUAGUCAGUGACGGGUAUGAUCCAAUUGCAGUGGUAUCAACCUAAGACAGGAGGCUGACGCCUAGAGGUCAGUUCAUCCCAUGACGGGUAAGAACCAUAUGUUGAAUUGGACAAACCUAACAGGCAUGGUCCCUAGCCACAUUGCUUGUUGCUUAAUUAAACAGAAGGGGGGAGAUGCUAAGAGCCACAGCCAAGUAAUAUGAUGAAUGACAUUUUUGGUUGAAAGGUGACGCCAGCAAGCCAUUGAGAUGAUAUGAUUAUGUUAAGAUCUGCAUUCAUAUGGAUAUUGGACUCCUGCUGUCCACCUCGGCCUGCUACAGGACUCCUGGAGAGUUCCCAUUGGUUGGGGAAGUGCAGUAGGAGGGAAUUCGGAGGAGGGACUUCCUGAGGGGGUCCAGGAGAAUGCUGCGUGGGUCAGUCGGCAAUCUUCCCGGGAGCUUACAGGGCAUUGGCGGCAGUUUCAAAAAUAAAGUUUGUUCCUGCUUGAGUGGCUCAUGAUUUUGUGCCCAGCCAGACUGUGGCAAUUGGACACAGUCAUUUCAUUGCCUGUUCUAUAGUGAUCUUCACAUAGUACUUUUUUUCUUAAACUUUUUUUAUUUACCACAUACACAGCUUCAGGAAAAAUACAUCAUAGGAAGAAAGAGUGUGGGAUCUAAUGUAAAACUGAGUAGACUAAAGCUAGUCAUUGUCCUGAUUCUGGCAGUUUUCGAGUAUGACUGUUUUCUUUGAGAAAUAAAAGUACCCUGGGGUUCUCAUCUGCAGAACCUCAAUGUUAUGAGUCAGGCUAUAAAGUCAAUGACCAAACAGACUUGAUUUUACCCUGAGACUCCAUGUCAUGUAAGAAAUGCUUCUUCUUUGGGAACAUCCUUCCUCUGUACACCCAUCAACAGUUGCUUAGCAUAGCAUGUUUGGCAACACAAAAUGGCAAUUCUUUAUUAUUAUUAUUAUUAUUUUUUAGUUGUUGAUGGACAUUUAUUAUUUAUUUAUUUAUAUGCAGUGCUGAGAAUCAAACCUAGUACCUCACGCACGCUAGGCAAGUGCUCUACCACUGAGCCAAGACUCCAGCCCCCAACUGGCAAUUAUUAUACAAUGUAAAAUUGUUGUCUUUUUGGUUCCCAUUUUUCUUGGACAAUGUACCCCAACUGUACCCUAACAGCAUAGAAUAUUAAUGUUUGUCUAGAUGUUUGUAACCAUUCUUUGACUUGUACUCAACUAGGAUAGUUUUGAUCCACUCUCCUUCUGCUUAUAAUUUUAGACCUCAUGAUUUUUGUUUAUGGUUUUAAAUCAUAGCAACAGCCACUUAAGAUCAAUAUACUGACAUGCAUUAAAAGGUGUGCUCUAACCCUUCAAGGGUGUCAUAUGGUGGAGACUUGCAGCCUGCUCCUUGGCCCGCCAGCUGGUGAAUGUGGACCACCAGCUGGUGAAAAAAGAUGGUUCCAACUCAGGCUUCAAGACUGAGCUGGUGAUUUAUUGCAAUCUUGCCAUAACAUCAACACUCUUUUAACUGUGUAGCAAAGUAACUUGUUUAAGACCACAUUGGCAGAAAGUAUAAAUCUGCAAUUUGAAUUCAAUUAUCUGUGACCCCAAAACAGUUUUGGGCUACUGAAAUUUCCUGGGGACUUACUGAGAGAUAAGAAGUCUCCAGGAUCACUGGAUAUCCCUAGCUUAUUAUGAUAUUAGCAUUUUCAGCUAAUAAACAGCCUUAAAUUUUGCCUAGGUGAUCCUCUAGUUACUCAAAUCUUUAUUAACUACUGUGGGGUCUAUGAGGAAAUAUUUUUAAAAUCCUCUAUUUUCCAGCAGUUUAUGUUUUCUAGUUGGGAAAAGAGCAUGGAUUUUCAAAAUUUAACUGAAGUAAACUACUAGAAUCCAUAAGUGAAAGGUCCUUGUGUUCCUUUUGUAGAAGCAUUUUCUAAAUUAUAAUUUUGCUUGCAGGAAAGUGAUGUUUAUGCCUGCAAUAAAAUGUGUAUAUUUAAUUAAAAAUGCUGGACUUUAAGGAAACAACCACUUUAAUUUCUCUGGUUAUUAUUUGAAUUUCAGUGGUUAUAGUUAUUUAAAGAAAAAUUCCCAUGUUCUGUUUUUGUUAAUGCUUAUAUAUAUUUUUACUAGCUUAUUCAUUUUAAUCAUUUUAAUAUUACUUGCUUUUUUCAAAAAUUGAAAAUGAAACAACUGAAGAUAAAGUCCUUUGUAUUUCAAAUAAAAUUGCUUUAGUAAGUUUGCAAUAAUAACGUUGGUAUAAUAAUGGAAAAUCCCAUGAGGUCCAGAAUAUUGUCAACCCACUGCCAAUCUGCUGCUGUAUAAUUUGCUUAUAUUCAAACUGUUUUUCAAGUUGUUAUAGUAAAAUAUGGUCAUGAAUUUAGAAGAUUUCUUAAAAAGUUUCCCUGCAUCACCCAAUGAAAGAUAUAAUAUUUCCUUUAUAAUGUAAUGAAUAUCAGUACUGAGCAAAUUUUCUAGAACAUAUAUUUAAAGUUAAGUUAGUUCAUCUAAGUGGAAUAAAGAUGACUCCCUUACAAAUUGAUUCUUUGUAAUAUUUAGGUGUGAAUUACACAGUGCAAGAUUUGAGAGGGGGGAGCUCAAAUGACCAUCACAGAACCUUUAGGAUUCAUUUUCAUUUCAAAUGCUGAGAAUUGUAAUUUCAAUAUUUAUCAACAUGGAAAGCAAAUCUCACUAUUGUACCAAGUUCUACAGCUUACUUUUAAGAAUCAAGACUGAAAUAAAUUGCAUAGCUUAAGCAAAGUCUCAAACUGUCUUUUGUAACUGUUUCUAUGGAUUUUAAUGAAUUUUUUUGUCAUUUAUAUGCUGUUUAUUAAAGAAUCUGUAAUAAUAAUACAUAUAUUUUUUUCUAGAAAAUAAAAACAGUAAUUUUACAAUACAUUUAAUGGCAACUGGUAGUAACAAAAUUUCUGUAUUUUCUUUACAUGUUCUUUUAGACAAGUCUGCAACUUAGUAUUGAUUAUUUGCAAGUUACCCCACUAGCUGUACUAUCAUUUUUCAAAAGGUAGAUCAUGAUAAUGUAGAAUCAUAGUCAUAAUAUGAUCAUACAAAAUGAUCAGAUUGUAAAUCAGAUUGGGUUUAUCACCAGCACUUAUAAAACCAGACCCAGGGAAAGAACUAGGUCUGGGGAUACCAUGCAUGGUCUUAAUAUAGCGAAUGUUUAGCCUGCCCUGAUUAUUACAAAAAUCAGAACAGCGAGAAUAUUCGCAGUAUUUUUUUUUAAUCCAAGAAAAAUUUUGUAGUCAUUAGCUGCAGUACUUACAUACAUUAAAAAAAAACAAAUAAAUUCUUUCAGGAGAAUACCAUUGGAUCAGUGAGUUAGUUGAUAAGCAAUGGUAGCUGCUUAUGAAAGAAAGGCAUUUUAAAAAUAUUUGGCUUUAUUUAAGCUGAGUGGCACUUUAAGCCAGAAAAAUAAGAUACAAGAGGAGUUAAUUUUAAGUAUUAAGUAUUAAGGUCAUGGAAAGAGUAUAAAUUUCAAUUUGUCUGCAGAAGUGUACUGAGAGAGUUGAAUAGUAGCUAUUAAUGUGGAAGCACAAGUUGGCCCAAGUUUCAUCAUUUAUAUUUCAUAAGAAAUCCACUGCAACCAUAUUCAUAAUUCUGAUUUGACUCCUUGGGAUUGGCUGUUUCAUAGGAGUCAACGUUGGCUUUCUUAUCUCUUCUUGGUUUCUAUAUUCUUUGGGAUUUGUGUUCCUCAUUGCCAGCACAGGAUUUUUCUUUCCUUUCCUUUUUCUUUGGGUUCUGAUGGCGGUGCCUUCCACGAGCAUAGUUAGAAUAGGCAACUAAUGGUCUUUUCUACAUACACUAAAAAAUAACAUUUAUCCAGCAUCUGUGAUGGUUUGGAUGUGAGGUGUUUUCCAAGAAAGCUCAUGUUAGACAAUGUAGGAAUUGUCAGAGGUGAAAUGAUUAGAUUAUAAGAAUUGAAUCAGUAUAUUAAUAUACUUCAUGGGUUAAUAAUUUAAAUGGAAUUCGGUGUGCUAACUCUAGACAGAGUGUUGCUGAAGGAAGUAUACACUGGAGGGAUGCCGGGGAUUAUAACUUGCAACUGCCUUCUUACCUAUUCACUGUCUGCUUACUGGUUUCCAUGAGCUGGGAAUCUUUCCUCCAACACAACCUUCACCCAAGAUAUAAUGCCUUACUUUGGUCCCACAGCAAUGGAGCCAACUGAUCAUGGACUGAACCUAUGAAACCUUGACCCCAAAAUAAAAUUUUCCUGCUCUAAAUAAUUCUUGUCAGGUAUUUUGGUCAUACUGAUGAAAAGCUAACACAGCAUCUAAUAAUCUGUUAUUCAAGAUAACCAAUAUAACCUGGUACAGUAUGACACAAAGUCACUGGGGCAUAUAAGAAUAGAAAAGUAUUUCAGGAUAGUAAAACAAGGAGAGACGCUAGAAUAUAACCAUUCUUAUAAAGAACAUUCUUAUUUGUACUAACCUAGAUUGGUUAUGGGCAUUUACAAUUGUUAAUUGAUGGCUACAUUGGAUAACUGUAUCAUCUAAUUUUAUGCCAUCCAAAAGUAAUAACGAUCUCAGGAUAUGUCUUUUAUCAUGUCAUUGCUAAGUGAUUUUUCUAUUUGUUUUUCCAUUCAAGUAAUUAUUCUCUUAACUAGAGAAUCUUUUUUUAAAAAAGUAAAAUAAAAUUGGGGACAAUUAUAAGGUAGUAGAAAGUUUUCAAUAAAGAUUGGGUAUGCCUGAGAUUUAGUUUGUAUCUGCUUUAGUGUAUUAGUUUGCUGGGGAUUCCAUAAUAAAGUACUUUAGAUUGGAGAGUUUAAACAAAAGAAAGUUUUCACAAUUCUGGAGGUUAGAAGUUUAAGAUCAAGGUGUUCACAGGGUUAGUUUUUGGAUAGCUGUUUCCUUAAUUUGUAGGUGGGUGUUUUCCCUCCAUGUAUUCACUCUGUCCUAAUUUUAUCUUCUUGUAAAGACAUCAUGAUAUUGGAUGAGGGACUACUCUCAUGAUUUAAUGAUCCUAGUUAGCUAAUUUUAACUUAAUUACCUUUCUAAUAAGCCUACCUCCAAAUAUCAUCAUUCUGAGGUAGUUGGGGGUUAGCACUUCCACAUGUGAAUUUAUGGAGGAUAGGUUCUAUAGCCCUUAACAAUUAGCUUUGGUGAUUUUGUUUUGUUUUAUUGGUGGAUUAUUCUUAUACAAAAUAAUGGGAAGUAUUGAUACAUUCUUAUAUCCACAUAAAAUUAUUGGGUUAAUUUCAUUGCCCGUCAAUUCCCCUUUCCCUUCUCUCCUCUGUUUCCCAGUCCCCAUCUUUUACUAUACUGGUUAGUCUCCCUUCUUUAUUCAUGAACGUCUUUUUUUUUUCCCUUUUUUUUUUUUCUGUUGUCUACAUGUGAGAUAAAACACAUGCCCUUUACCUUCUGAAUCUGGCUUAUUUUACUUGACAUAAUAUUCUCCAGUUCAGUCCAUUUUCCUGAAAAUUAUAUAAUUUUGUGCUUCUUUAUGACUGGGUGUUGCUGUUGAGAUAUUCUACGCCCCCCUUCCCCCGAAAAAUAAAACAUCAUGUGGUAGGCAAUGUUGGAAUGUUCAGAAGUGAGAUGAUUAGAUUAUGAGAGCUGUAACCACAUCACUGGAUUAGUCUAUUUCACAGAUUCAUAAUCUGAAUGCACUACUAGGCUGUGGGGUGUGACUAAAGGAAGUACUCUUGGGAUAUGCCCUUGGACUAUAUUUUGUUCUCUUUUUUUGUUGUUGUUGUUCUGUUUCUUCACUGCCAUGAAAUCAGUAGCCUCUUCUACCAUGCUCUUCCUGCAUGAUGUUCUGUCUCAUCUCAGGUUGAGAGCAAUGGAGUUGGCCAACCAAGGAAAGAUCCCCAAAUUAACUUUUCCUCCUCUAAGUUGUUUUUCCAGGUAUUUUGGUCAAAACAUUGAAAAGCUGACCAACACACUAUGUAAAUCUCCAUUUCAUUCAUAUAUAUAUAUAUAUAUAUAUAUAUAUAUAUAUAUAUGAAUAAACAAAAUGGUAUAUAUAUAUACUUUGUUUAUUCAUUUUGUUUAUUCAUUUUUUUUUUGUUGAUGGACACCUAAGUUGGUAUCAUAACUUGGCUAUUGUCAAUUGCACUGUCAUAAACAUGGGUAUGUAUGUAUCACUAUAGUGUUCUGACUUCAGUGCUUUUGAAUAAAUACCUAGGAAUGAUAUAGCUGGGAAAAGUGCCAAUUCCAUACUUAGUAUUUUGAGAACCUCCACACUGAUUUCCACUGUGACUGUACUAAUUUACAAUCCAUUUUGUGACUUUCUAGACUUCAGUAAGAAGUUUUUAGUUUUAUUCUCUACAAAAAAUCUGGGUGUUUAGCAUUCAUAUGGUCUCACAUCCUUGAGGAAUGUGAUGAUUAUAUCAGCCUUGUUUCCCAUUGUAUGAAAAAAAAAAACCUGUUGGAAAAAAUUGGAUUUUGAACAUAUUCAAUAUGUUGACUUCUGGUGAUCACAAUAAUGGUAAUAAAAAGUGAGAUUUUCAAAUGCCUUCUGAGUCAAUAAAGAUUUUAAUUACAUAUAUAUGCAUAUAUAUUAAUCAAAAUGAUAUGAAAAUUUAAAAUUUAGAGCUGAUAUUUAAUGUGUACAUGUCCAUGUGUAAUGCACUUGACUAUUUGUGUUAAACUGUCACAUCUUUAAUAUUUCACAUUUAUGGAUUGUCAUAAAUUUUGUGAAAUUAGAAGGGAAAGCAUUACAUCUGUUCAGUUUUACGAAAUCUAAAAAUAAAAUACAAUGAUGGUGUAAUAUCUAAAAUCGCACAUUUAAUGACAAGCAAAGCUCAGACUCAUAGUUGAAGUUCUUCAGAUAUUAAACCCUGCUCUUUACAAACUAUAUGAUAUUCCUUCUUUGAGAAUACUAGAAGAAAAUUUUGAACAAACAUUUUCAUUUAAGCCCUUGCCAAGUUUAUAUAGAAUCUUCUUUGAUUUAAAUACCCCUACAAUGAUUUAUGUUAAAUUUAAUCUCUGUGGUGAGGUAUCAAGCAUGGAAGAGUAAUCUGUGGUAUUUAAAGAUGGGAGAUUUGGGAGGUAAUUAGGGUUAAAUGAGGUCAACAGAUUUGACCAGUAGCCCAAUGGCACUGCAGUUUUGUAAGAAGAGGAUUCUUGAACUAGGAUGCUCUGUUUUUUUGUGUGAUGCCUUGGCUAUCUGCAGAGUCCUUACCAUGCAAGAAAGACCUUCCCAAUGCAGCCACCUAGGCUUGAACUUUCCGGUCUUUAGAAUUGUGAGUUGAAUAAAAUUUGAUUCUCCAUAAGUUAUUCUACAAUAUUCAGUUAGAGCAACAACAACAACAACAAACAAAUAAACAAAACCAGCCUACAAAAGAGCCUUUACUAAAGAGGAAAAGGAAUUUAAAUUUUAAGAGAAUAAAACAAGAUGCUAAAUUGGUAGACAUAGAAAGAGAUGACAUUCACUAGAGCAAAUAAACACUGAGUAAACACAGAAUUCUGUUACUGUCGUUAAAGGGUUAAAAAUAUUUCUCAGUGCUGAGACUGAGGCUGUGGCUCAGUGGUAAAGGGCUCUCCUGGUGUGUGUGAGGCACUGGGUUCGAUUCUCAGCACCACAUAUAAAUAAAUAAAAGCUUAUCAACAAUUAAAAAUAAAACAAAGUAGCCAAUACUCUUUAAAAAUAUUUCUCAAAAGAAAUUAAGUGCAGAAAAUUAGAAAAAAAGAAAAAAAAUGAAUGAGAGGAGAUAAAUUCAAUUUAUGGAACUAUAAGUGAAAUUUUUAUUAACCUGAAUUACAAUAUAAAUGCAAAUACUAAAUCAACAUAUCCAGUUAGCUAGAGAUUUGCUGCAGGUGGAAAAAGAAAUCCAUCUGACAAGUCCAUACUAAACCUUAUGCCUGUUACUUAGCAUAUAGACAAAAUUAUUCCAAAUAUCAUUAAACUUUCUCCAUCUGCAAAUCUAUUUAUCACAUUUUGUUUUUAUAUAUUCUAUGAAAAAAGUUCCUCAAAGAAAUACCAUAAUCACUCCAUUUCUUAUGUUCUUAGUGUAUUAUUCACUGAAAUACACCAAGAUUAAGUCUAAGCAUAGAAUAAUUAGUUUUCAUGCAUUAUCAAAUUAUUAACUACAUUCCUGACUUCUGGCUAGUGUCAAGUCCUUUCUUCUACUAACAAUGUGGAUACUUCAAGUAGUUGGACGUUAUUAUUACUUAAAUAUUAGGUGUCCCCAAAAAGCACAUGUAUGAGACAAUGCAAGAAAGUUUCGAGGUGAAAUGAUUUGUGUCAUGAGAGCCUAAAUCCUUAAAUAGGGAUUAAUUGGAUGGUAACUGGGCAGGUAGGGGUGGCUGGAGGAGGUGUGUUCCUGGGGGCAUGCCUUUGGCGUAUACAUUUUAUCAUUGUUGAGCACACACCCCUCUUACCCUUUCUCUCUCCCUUUCUCUCCCCAACUCCCUCCUUCCCCGCUCCUCUCCCUUCCUAGUUGUUUUCCCAGCUGUUUUCUUCCAUCGCUCUCUUCUGCCUCACCUCAGGUCCCAGAGAAUGGAGUCAGGUAUCUAUGUUCUAGGGCCUCUGACCCCAUGAGCCCCCCUUCUUCCUCUGUAUGUUCUUGUUAGGUCUUUUGAUCACAAUAGUGAAAAAACUGGCUAAAACAGUUAUACUGGUGCCAGUGGCUAUAUUUGCUUCAGUAAAAGAUUUCCUUCUUUAUUUUAAAGUAAGCUCUCAGAUAAGGGAUAGGCAGUGAUUGUAGUCUUUAUCAAUAUUAAACAAUUAAAAAAAAUUAAGACUUUUUUCUAAAUUAGUUUGGAUAAAGAUUUUAAACUCUCAAGACAUCCACAAAAUUCUAAAACAUUUGAUCAAUCUGAUUUUCCUGCUUUCUCUCAUCUCUGCCACUUCCAAAUACACACAUAAUGGAGUGUUUCUGCAUUUUAUCAUUUUUUAGUAAACACUGGAAGGAAGGCAGUGUAGUACAGGCAAUGAGUGUACAGCAUGUUGGCUUUGAAGAGUUCGAGGGUCCUAUUCUGUCAUUUUCAUCACCAUUUGUCUAGCCAAGGUGUGAAUGCACACUAUCCCAACAUAGUGUGAAUGAUGGAGAGUUAUAGGAGAAGGAAAUUGUGUGAUAGGUUAAGCAAUGGGCAUAUCCCAUAGUAUAGAAAAGAAAAGUUUCUGAAAAAAUAUUAAUGACAAUUUGGAACAGAAUAUACACCAGCAAAGAAUCACACUCAAAAUUGUUAAGGCAGAUAGGCUCUUAGUGACAUCAGAGGAACAGGUAAGCAGGCUGACUAGUCAGGGAGGCAGAGAUGAGAGAAAAGCAAGUGUGAGCAGAUUCCUGGGCUCCCAUGCUUCUUUGCAUCCCUAUUUUACUCUCUCCAUCCAUGUCAAGGCCACCUCCCAUGAUUCAGAUUUCUUCCUUGCUUCUCCUACUUACAUAUUUGUCAGUUACUUGCCCCAUUCUCUUAGCAAUCACAUUCUUUGACACUAGUAAUUAGAUCAGUUAAUUUACUAAGCAACACCAGUGGUUGAAGCUAACUCACUGCCUCUUCCUGACAGAGUGCAUUUGUAACACACUCCACAUGUGCACACUCACAUUUCACCUAUGUAUGUACAGGACCACGGUGCAUUUGUCUGGAGCAGGCAGGCAGGCAGGCAGGAAGUGAAAUACUUUAGGAAAAAAGGUUUGCUCUUCUCCAGUGAAUGCCCAUCUUCUGCUAAUGGGUACUGAGAGGUAUUUGUCUCAUCCCAGUGAUUCAGCUGUGACUGGAGAGAAAGAGAUUGAUAAAGGAGGGAAGGAAAUGCCAUGGGGAAAUGCAGCAGAUAGGGCUCAAACUUUGGGGGCCAAGUAGAGUUUCUGCAGGUUUAUUGAUUUUCUUUUUGAAAUACUAUUUGAAAGGCUUCUCUCAAAGUUCAUGAGUGAGGACAUUUUUAAGCAAGACUGUGGCAAAGACAUGUUUAUGGUUGACACUGUGUCAUUUCCCAGUUUAUGGUACCCAUUUGGGGAAUAUGUUUAUACCCUUCUUAGUGCUGGCAUUUACCAAGCAAAGAUGCCACUUGGAAAGGGUGAUUUAUUUUUUGCACCAUUAUAUUUUGAAAGACUUUCAGGUUACAAGAACCCUUUGAAGUUAAAGCCCGUGAUGUUAAGAUUAAUAACAGUAAUUAUAGGGCUCUGUAAUAGUAGAAAAAUCUGUAGCUUGCCUUUGAGAUUGAAUAUGAAAGGUUCCAGGUCCAAGGGAGUAAUAAAAGCUUUUUCUUUCUGCAAGGACAGCCAGGAACAGGAAGAAGUUUCUUCCUGGAAAAUACACAGGGGUGUUGAAUGUUCAAGUUUUUCUGAAGAUAAGGUGAUCCUCUGUAACCUGGCCCCAGGGACUACUUUAGGUCAUAAUCACUUUUGUUUGAUCUUUUUUGUUUUGCUUUGUUUAUAAUGUCAAUGCUCACCUGGGAAAUUAGGAUUGUUUUGACCCUUUCUCCCUUGCUGCAUACUUCAAAGUGUGCUCUGAUUUAAAAUGUUCUUCCUGGUAGCUGUGGAGAAAAUUGUCCCCCUAAAAAACCCUUUAAGUUCUUGUGAUAAUGAGAAAUGGCCAAAUUAAAUACUAUUCUAAUGAUUUUCUCCCAUUCACUAAACUUUUUAGGAAGCCCUUUGAGAGGAAGGAGAGGAAAAAGUAUAUGAUAAAUGAGGUGGAAAAAUUAGUGGGAAGUAAGUGAUAAUGAAUGAACAAGGGGUGAAGGGGAAAAUAUAAGCAAAAAGGUGAAGAAUAGCUUGGAAAAAUAAAGAGGUGGAAAUUGUGUAAGAAAUAAAGAAAUGAAGAGAGAAAAAAAGCAAGACACAGACAGGAAGAAGAAGUGAAAGAGGAGGUGGGCAAUUCUUUUCUCUUUUUUUUCACAGUCUUCACACAAAAGAAGAACUGAAAUUCAAGCUCAAAUAUAGAAUCUGAGCAUUGCAUCACCCACAAUCUAUAACAGGAAAAGAUAUAUUUGGAAAUGUACAAACAGAAAGUUUGUGCUUGAUAGUAUUCCUCAGACUGCAUAAGAAAAACAAUAAUGCCAGGUCUCAAGUGUAGAAAGACAUGGGGAAGCCUGAACCUGGGAAGUCACACAGGGCACACAAUGACUUGGGAAUACUUUGUCCUCUCCUUAGGGGACUCUGGAAUCCCUCAUGGGCAUGUACCUCAUCUGGAGAACUUUUGUAUCUACAUACUCUUUCCCUUGUCCUUGUAAGUCUAUCUUUAAUCUUUCCAUUCUUUCUUUUUAUAAAAAAUUCUUCUCCGUUUUUUUCCUUCUUAAAAAAUCUAUGAUAGAUCGAAUUAUGUUUUCCAAUUCCUCACCCCUCUCCCCCCACCCCAUAUCCACACCCUUUUCCAUGUAAUGUUUAAAUUCUUCCCACUAGUUGCAAGAUGUGCCCACUUCUACCCAUUGACUUUGGGCUUGGUCAUGACGAGGAUGUCAACAGAUAUGAUGCAAGUGGUUUAGAAAUGCUUCUUGGGCCUACGCUCUUGUGCUUCUGCUGAUGCCAUGAGAGGAAUGUGUCUCAAUUAUUUUCCAAGGUCUCAAUAAAUGAAAAACAUUUAGACUAGAUAUAAAGAAGACAGGUAGAAUGGAGUGAAACCCAGAAGAAUUCAGCAACCAAGGUCAGCAAAAAUAUUCUAGUCAAACCACAGCUGCAUGAACAGAAAAUAAUUGCUCAUUAUUUCAGGUAGUAAAAUUUUGGGAAAGUUGUUGCAAUAUAGUAUUUUUUAAAAAUGCUGUUUUGACCCAGUUUUAAGAUUCUGGCUAUAGGCAAGUCAGUUCCCCUUCUUGAACAGUUAAUGAAGUCCACGUCCUACCCAUUUCCUUUAAUGGACUUUCACAUGCAUCCCCUCUAAUCACUGUGGGAUCAGGCACUUGAUAACUAGGACCAUCCCAGAGAUCACAGAAAUUAUUCCAAUUAGUCAAUCCACCAAAGCUUGAAAACCUAACUGUACAUUACUUGCCUUAGAUAAGUGGUUUCCCCAAAGCUCCAGCUUACAGUUCCCCUGUGCUCUUUUAUCUAUCCAAAUAUCUGUGUGCUGUGGCCCACCAUCAAACAGUUCUUUAAAUCUUAAAAAACAGUUGUUAUGAAAUAUUAUUGAAGCAAUAUAUGCCUGAAAUAGCCACUCACUUUAAAACACUUAGGAUAAAACCACACUUCUCAGCAUCAUUGGAUAGUAUAGCAAAUCACUAUGCCCUUUUCUGCCCUUGAUCUCACACACCUUUCCUAUCAUGUUGUUUGAUGUGUGAAGUGAUAACAAUGUUUGGUUGAAUUAAAUAAAAGGAAGUUUGAAAUAAUCAUAGAACUUUAUAGAUAUUGGGAGAGACAGAAAAGCAAUUUAAUUCCUUUCAACUAAUAACAUAAACCCAUUACUUCCCUUUCUUUCUUCUAACUGUUCUUUCUAUGGUAUUAGGUAAAGAAAGACCACAGAGUUUGAGAAUAUGACUUUAUUUCACCUAUUCUUUCAUAAGUUACAGUACUAUUGGCAUGACACUCAUUUUGAGUUCCUGUUUUCUAAUGAAGUAAUCAUGAAAAGUCUUUAUAAAAGCAAGGGAUAUACAAUUGAUAUUUAGAGAUGUGAAUUAAUAAGACAAUGCUUUUAAGAGUUUCAUCAAUUUCAAAAUAGUUCAUUAACUAUUUACAAUUAUGAUUAGUAUGUUAGUCAUAAAGUUGUAAAUGUGAGUGCUUCAUAAACUAGAGCUUCUAUCUUACAAUAAGAAAUUUCCAACUAAUUGAAGCACCCAUCUAGUAACAAAUGUCAAACAGCCUAAUAUGUUUGCCAUAAACCCAGGAAGAUCUGACAACUGAAGAGGUUUUUUGUCAGGAAAAAUUCUCCAUCCACUUGCUAUCUCAUAAUUUCAUAUGACCUUAUGUUGAGUCUCUGAAGAAAGACAAAAGUGAAAUAUGAAAUUUGGAAGAACUUGGAUGGAGUAUCUUGGUUGAAAUUUUGAUUUCCCCUAUCACUAUUUGAUGGCUCAGAAUUACAUCAUUCAUGCAUGUGAAGGCAUUCAGCUUAAAUUUUUCUUCCUUUCUUUCUUUCUUUCCUUCUUUCUUUCUUUCUUUUUUUAAGGUACACAUGUCUUCUAUGUAUUCAGAACUCAAAGAAAGAAUAGUCACAUACUUCAGUGGAAUAGUUUGGCAGGAAAGUAAAUGCAAUUUGUACUGAGAUAUUCUAUGCUUUGAAUUCUGGUUAUGCUAUUUGCUACUUUUACUACUGUAGGAAAUUCACAUAACUUCUUUGAAUAUAAUUUUUCUCAUUUAUAAAUUAGGAUAUUAAUUUCAACAUCAAGGAAUUAUUGAAGUUAGUAAGGGUCACAGAGAAAAAUAUUGAAUCCAUCUUCUGACACAUAGUAAGUGCUUAGAUCUUUAUAGUAUCUAAAAAGGCAAUGAUAAAGGAGAGCAACAAAUAGAGAAGAUGAAAUUAAAAAGAGAAGGAUUAGUGUUGUUACAUCAUCUCUCUGAUAACUCAACAAGAAUGGAAAAUUAUCUGUCUCUUAUUAAUUCUUUAACCACUUGAUUAUUCAACAUUUUUGAUACCAAUCAUGUCCUUGGCAGUGUGGAAGUCACUGAUGCAGUUACAAAGAUAUAUGACAUCUAUGAGGCCAUUAAUAACAUCUCCUUCCAGGAAGAGAUGAGGCACUAUUACACAUAACUAUAAGUCAAAAUUUCCCAACAAGCUCACCAUCAGAAAUCUAUUUACAUGAGACCCAGGGGUCUAUUUUCAAGUUAGUUUAAAUACAUGCACAGAGGACUCCUCAUUCACCCUUGAAAAUUCACAAAUUGAGGCUUCUCUGAGUGCUUCCUGUGCAAUUGGUAGGGAACAAGGAUCCAUUGUUCUAAGCGAAUUUUCCUCUUCGAUGACUUGUGAGACUACUGUUGCACACAACACCUUUUGCAAAAUGCUUCUAAAAUGAAGGUAGAAAGUGAUAAGCAACAUAAGGAAAGAUCAUUCAUAGGAUGUUGAUGUGGGAGAAAUUACAUCUUUUCCAGGGAAGAGACUGGAAGGAUUACGGACAAAAGAGCCACUUUAGAGUGAGACUUAAAACAUGAUUAGGGACUGCAGAAGUAGAAACUGCAUAGAGAAAUUACUAAAUUAAAAGGAGACAUGAAGUUUAUAAAAUCUACACAUAAAUGGAUUUAUGUGCCAAGUAAGGGUAAAAUGAAGUGAUUUCUGAAAUGAUCAACUCAAAAUGUUUUUAAUUCUGAAAAUCACGAGUUUAUUCCAUCAGCUCUGAAAAACUGCUGACGAUUUUGAGCAGGAAAGACCAUUGACCUGAAUUAUGUUUGGGAAGAUCAAUCCAGCAGUUGUAUAUAGAACAUAUUAGAAAAAGAGAAAAGUAGCAGGUAUACAACUUGCAAAGAAUCAUGAAUAAGUACAAUGAUCAUCCCUUCUUUUCCACCAACUGAGAUGCCAUUCAAAUUCCUCCUCCUGCUCUCCCAAGAAAGAGAAGGCCUUCAUUAUAGACCUGGAAGAAGGAUGGGCCUGAGUUUAUUUACCUGACCUUCAGAGGAAUUCAGUCUAGAAUUUACUAUAUGUCUCAUAGUGAAGACAUUGACUGUUAUAACUUUUCUCUCCAAAAAUUACUGGCAUAAUAAAAAAUAUUGAUAAAGUUUAUCAAGACAUAUAAAGGAUAUUUUCAUGUUAUUUUGAAACAAAUCACAUAUGCAAAUUAAGGAUAUUUAUGGAAUGAGAAGAACAUUAGCAAUAUGAAGUAUGCUUCUUAGUUUCUGGGAGAACCCAUUUCCUUUUGUAAAAUAAUGGUGACAAUUAUAUACACCUUCAUAAUUAUAGUUAUUUUCUAUUGAGUGCAUUUCAAGCAUUAGGACUUAUUCAUGGUGCCUAAUAUUUAUUAUUGCAUUCGAAUUUUAAAAUACCAAUGAGGCUAAAGUUUCACAUGAGGUUAAGCUGAGAUUGGGAUGUGUUACAAAAAAGCACUCUUGACACGGUCUCAGCAAACUAUAGAAUAAUUGCAGAAUAGGACUCAGUUGUUGCCUAGAAGAACAAAGCACUUAUUCUGAGCUUUUUAGUAUUAAAUAAUACUAGAUUCUCCAGUAAGGAAUUUACCCCACUGCUUAGGCUCAAAGUCUAAGAAAGUCUUCCUUUUCCUUUUAAAAAAUGUUUUUCUGAGCUAAUAUCUUGCAAGAAGCAUUAUUAUCUUUCAACACUGAAUCUGCCUGUUACACCAAUGUGACAUUUGUUUACCAACUUCAGUAUGCAUCCAUCAUGAAAAUAAGAUUGGAAUCAACCAAAGUGCCCAUUUACAGGAGAAUGGAUGAAAAAAAAUGGUCUAUACACACAUACACAAACACAAACACACACACAUACACACACAUACACACACAUACACAUUAUGGAAUAUAUUUAUAUUGAAGAAUAUGAUCCUGCCAUUUUAAAUAACGAAUGGAUAGUCAUUAUGUUUAGUAUAAUAAAGCAGAUACAGGAAGACAGAUACCACAUGUUCUCACUCAUUUGAGCAAACUAAAAAGUCAGUCAUUCAGAAGGUGGAGUGGAAAGGUGGACACAAAGAUUCGAAGGGCAGGGAAAGUAGAACAGGAAGAGGUUAGAUAAAUGGCACCAAACCAGUUGGACUGGUGGAAUUAGUUUUGAUUUUCUAUACCACACUAACGUAACUAUUGUCUAUAUAAAUCUAUGGAAUAGUUAAAAAAAACUAGAAAAGCAAUACAUUUAUCAACACAUGGAAAUGAUUAAUAUUUGAGGAGAUGAAAGUGCCUAGUACUCUAAUUUAAUCAUUACACAUUGUGCACAUAUAUCAAAUUUUAUAUCAUACUCCAUAAAUAUGUACAAAUAUUAUGUCUCAAUAAAAGUAAAUUUAAAAUACCAUAAGUUUUUUUUUAAAGUGGCUCUUUUGUCCGUAAUCCUUCCAGUCUCUUCCCUGGAAAAGAUGUAAUUUCUCCCACAUCAACAUCCUAUGAAUGAUCUUUCCUUAUGUUGCUUAUCACUUUCUACCUUCAUUUUAGAAGCAUUUUGCAAAAGGUGUUGUGUGCAACAGUAGUCUCACAAGUCAUCGAAGAGGAAAAUUCGCUUAGAACAAUGGAUCCUUGUUCCCUACCAAUUGCACAGGAAGCACUCAGAGAAGCCUCAAUUUGUGAAUUUUCAAGGGUGAAUGAGGAGUCCUCUGUGCAUGUAUUUAAACUAACUUGAAAAUAGACCCCUGGGUCUCAUGUAAAUAGAUUUCUGAUGGUGAGCUUGUUGGGAAAUUUUGACUUAUAGUUAUGUGUAAUAGUGCCUCAUCUCUUCCUGGAAGGAGAUGUUAUUAAUGGCCUCAUAGAUGUCAUAUAUCUUUGUAACUGCAUCAGUGACUUCCACACUGCCAAGGACAUGAUUGGUAUCAAAAAUGUUGAAUAAUCAAGUGGUUAAAGAAUUAAUAAGAGACAGAUAAUUUUCCAUUCUUGUUGAGUUAUCAGAGAGAUGAUGUAACAACACUAAUCCUUCUCUUUUUAAUUUCAUCUUCUCUAUUUGUUGCUCUCCUUUAUCAUUGCCUUUUUAGAUACUAUAAAGAUCUAAGCACUUACUAUGUGUCAGAAGAUGGAUUCAAUAUUUUUCUCUGUGACCCUUACUAACUUCAAUAAUUCCUUGAUGUUGAAAUUAAUAUCCUAAUUUAUAAAUGAGAAAAAUUAUAUUCAAAGAAGUUAUGUGAAUUUCCUACAGUAGUAAAAGUAGCAAAUAGCAUAACCAGAAUUCAAAGCAUAGAAUAUCUCAGUACAAAUUGCAUUUACUUUCCUGCCAAACUAUUCCACUGAAGUAUGUGACUAUUCUUUCUUUGAGUUCUGAAUACAUAGAAGACAUGUGUACCUUAAAAAAAGAAAGAAAGAAAGAAGGAAAGAAAGAAAGAAAGGAAGAAAAAUUUAAGCUGAAUGCCUUCACAUGCAUGAAUGAUGUAAUUCUGAGCCAUCAAAUAGUGAUAGGGGAAAUCAAAAUUUCAACCAAGAUACUCCAUCCAAGUUCUUCCAAAUUUCAUAUUUCACUUUUGUCUUUCUUCAGAGACUCAACAUAAGGUCAUAUGAAAUUAUGAGAUAGCAAGUGGAUGGAGAAUUUUUCCUGACAAAAAACCUCUUCAGUUGUCAGAUCUUCCUGGGUUUAUGGCAAACAUAUUAGGCUGUUUGACAUUUGUUACUAGAUGGGUGCUUCAAUUAGUUGGAAAUUUCUUAUUGUAAGAUAGAAGCUCUAGUUUAUGAAGCACUCACAUUUACAACUUUAUGACUAACAUACUAAUCAUAAUUGUAAAUAGUUAAUGAACUAUUUUGAAAUUGAUGAAACUCUUAAAAGCAUUGUCUUAUUAAUUCACAUCUCUAAAUAUCAAUUGUAUAUCCCUUGCUUUUAUAAAGACUUUUCAUGAUUACUUCAUUAGAAAACAGGAACUCAAAAUGAGUGUCAUGCCAAUAGUACUGUAACUUAUGAAAGAAUAGGUGAAAUAAAGUCAUAUUCUCAAACUCUGUGGUCUUUCUUUACCUAAUACCAUAGAAAGAACAGUUAGAAGAAAGAAAGGGAAGUAAUGGGUUUAUGUUAUUAGUUGAAAGGAAUUAAAUUGCUUUUCUGUCUCUCCCAAUAUCUAUAAAGUUCUAUGAUUAUUUCAAACUUCCUUUUAUUUAAUUCAACCAAACAUUGUUAUCACUUCACACAUCAAACAACAUGAUAGGAAAGGUGUGUGAGAUCAAGGGCAGAAAAGGGCAUAGUGAUUUGCUAUACUAUCCAAUGAUGCUGAGAAGUGUGGUUUUAUCCUAAGUGUUUUAAAGUGAGUGGCUAUUUCAGGCAUAUAUUGCUUCAAUAAUAUUUCAUAACAACUGUUUUUUAAGAUUUAAAGAACUGUUUGAUGGUGGGCCACAGCACACAGAUAUUUGGAUAGAUAAAAGAGCACAGGGGAACUGUAAGCUGGAGCUUUGGGGAAACCACUUAUCUAAGGCAAGUAAUGUACAGUUAGGUUUUCAAGCUUUGGUGGAUUGACUAAUUGGAAUAAUUUCUGUGAGCUCUGGGAUGGUCCUAGUUAUCAAGUGCCUGAUCCCACAGUGAUUAGAGGGGAUGCAUGUGAAAGUCCAUUAAAGGAAAUGGGUAGGACGUGGACUUCAUUAACUGUUCAAGAAGGGGAACUGACUUGCCUAUAGCCAGAAUCUUAAAACUGGGUCAAAACAGCAUUUUUAAAAAAUACUAUAUUGCAACAACUUUCCCAAAAUUUUACUACCUGAAAUAAUGAGCAAUUAUUUUCUGUUCAUGCAGCUGUGGUUUGACUAGAAUAUUUUUGCUGACCUUGGUUGCUGAAUUCUUCUGGGUUUCACUCCAUUCUACCUGUCUUCUUUAUAUCUAGUCUAAAUGUUUUUCAUUUAUUGAGACCUUGGAAAAUAAUUGAGACACAUUCCUCUCAUGGCAUCAGCAGAAGCACAAGAGCGUAGGCCCAAGAAGCAUUUCUAAACCACUUGCAUCAUAUCUGUUGACAUCCUCGUCAUGACCAAGCCCAAAGUCAAUGGGUAGAAGUGGGCACAUCUUGCAACUAGUGGGAAGAAUUUAAACAUUACAUGGAAAAGGGUGUGGAUAUGGGGUGGGGGGAGAGGGGUGAGGAAUUGGAAAACAUAAUUCGAUCUAUCAUAGAUUUUUUAAGAAGGAAAAAAACGGAGAAGAAUUUUUUAUAAAAAGAAAGAAUGGAAAGAUUAAAGAUAGACUUACAAGGACAAGGGAAAGAGUAUGUAGAUACAAAAGUUCUCCAGAUGAGGUACAUGCCCAUGAGGGAUUCCAGAGUCCCCUAAGGAGAGGACAAAGUAUUCCCAAGUCAUUGUGUGCCCUGUGUGACUUCCCAGGUUCAGGCUUCCCCAUGUCUUUCUACACUUGAGACCUGGCAUUAUUGUUUUUCUUAUGCAGUCUGAGGAAUACUAUCAAGCACAAACUUUCUGUUUGUACAUUUCCAAAUAUAUCUUUUCCUGUUAUAGAUUGUGGGUGAUGCAAUGCUCAGAUUCUAUAUUUGAGCUUGAAUUUCAGUUCUUCUUUUGUGUGAAGACUGUGAAAAAAAAGAGAAAAGAAUUGCCCACCUCCUCUUUCACUUCUUCUUCCUGUCUGUGUCUUGCUUUUUUUCUCUCUUCAUUUCUUUAUUUCUUACACAAUUUCCACCUCUUUAUUUUUCCAAGCUAUUCUUCACCUUUUUGCUUAUAUUUUCCCCUUCACCCCUUGUUCAUUCAUUAUCACUUACUUCCCACUAAUUUUUCCACCUCAUUUAUCAUAUACUUUUUCCUCUCCUUCCUCUCAAAGGGCUUCCUAAAAAGUUUAGUGAAUGGGAGAAAAUCAUUAGAAUAGUAUUUAAUUUGGNNNNNNNNNNNNNNNNNNNNNNNNNNNNNNNNNNNNNNNNNNNNNNNNNNNNNNNNNNNNNNNNNNNNNNNNNNNNNNNNNNNNNNNNNNNNNNNNNNNNNNNNNNNNNNNNNNNNNNNNNNNNNNNNNNNNNNNNNNNNNNNNNNNNNNNNNNNNNNNNNNNNNNNNNNNNNNNNNNNNNNNNNNNNNNNNNNNNNNNNNNNNNNNNNNNNNNNNNNNNNNNNNNNNNNNNNNNNNNNNNNNNNNNNNNNNNNNNNNNNNNNNNNNNNNNNNNNNNNNNNNNNNNNNNNNNNNNNNNNNNNNNNNNNNNNNNNNNNNNNNNNNNNNNNNNNNNNNNNNNNNNNNNNNNNNNNNNNNNNNNNNNNNNNNNNNNNNNNNNNNNNNNNNNNNNNNNNNNNNNNNNNNNNNNNNNNNNNNNNNNNNNNNNNNNNNNNNNNNNNNNNNNNNNNNNNNNNNNNNNNNNNNNNNNNNNNNNNNNNNNNNNNNNNNNNNNNNNNNNNNNNNNNNNNNNNNNNNNNNNNNNNNNNNNNNNNNNNNNNNNNNNNNNNNNNNNNNNNNNNNNNNNNNNNNNNNNNNNNNNNNNNNNNNNNNNNNNNNNNNNNNNNNNNNNNNNNNNNNNNNNNNNNNNNNNNNNNNNNNNNNNNNNNNNNNNNNNNNNNNNNNNNNNNNNNNNNNNNNNNNNNNNNNNNNNNNNNNNNNNNNNNNNNNNNNNNNNNNNNNNNNNNNNNNNNNNNNNNNNNNNNNNNNNNNNNNNNNNNNNNNNNNNNNNNNNNNNNNNNNNNNNNNNNNNNNNNNNNNNNNNNNNNNNNNNNNNNNNNNNNNNNNNNNNNNNNNNNNNNNNNNNNNNNNNNNNNNNNNNNNNNNNNNNNNNNNNNNNNNNNNNNNNNNNNNNNNNNNNNNNNNNNNNNNNNNNNNNNNNNNNNGGGUGGACCAAUGGUACAGAAUAGAGGACACAGAGACUAAUCCACAAAGCUACAACUAUCUUAUAUUUGAUAAAGGAGCUAAAAGCAUGCAAUGGAGGAAGGAUAGCAUCUUCAACAAAUGGUGCUGGGAAAACUGGAAAUCCAUAUGCAACAAAAUGAAACUGAAUCCCCUCCUCUCGCCAUGCACAAAAGUUAACUCAAAGUGGAUCAAGGAGCUAGAUAUCAAAUCAGAGACUCUGCGUCUGAUAGAAGAAAAAGUUGGCUCCGAUCUACAUAUUGUGGGGUCGGGCUCCAAAUUCCUUAAUAGGACACCCAUAGCACAAAAGUUAAUAACAAGAAUCAACAAAUGGGACUUACUUAAACUGAAAAGUUUUUUCUCAGCAAGAGAAACAAUAAGAGAGGUAAAUAGGGAGCCUACAUCAUGGGAACAAAUUUUUACUCCUCACACUUCAGAUAGAGCCCUAAUAUCCAGAGUAUACAAAGAACUCAAAAAAUUAAACAAUAAGAAAACAAAUAACCCAAUCAACAAAUGGGCCAAGGACCUGAACAGACACUUCUCAGAGGAGGACAUACAAUCAAUCAACAAGUACAUGAAAAAAUGCUCACCAUCUCUAGCAGUCAGAGAAAUGCAAAUCAAAACCACCCUAAGAUACCAUCUCACUCCAGUAAGAUUGGCAGCCAUUAUGAAGUCAAACAACAACAAGUGCUGGAGAGGAUGUGGGGAAAAGGGUACUCUUGUACAUUGCUGGUGGGACUGCAAACUGGGGCAGCCAAUUUGGAAAGCAGUAUGGAGAUUCCUGGGAAAGCUGGGAAUGGAACCUCCAUUUGACCCAGCUAUUGCCCUUCUCGGACUAUUCCCUGAAGACCUUAAAAGAGCAGGGAUACUGCUACAUCGAUGUUCAUAGCAGCACAAUUCACAAUUUCUAGACUGUGGAACCAACCCAGAUGCCCUUCAAUAGAUGAAUGGAUAAAAAAAAAUGUGGCAUUUAUACACAAUGGAGUAUUAUACAGCACUAAAAAAUGACAAAAUCAUGGAAUUUGCAGGGAAAUGGAUGGCACUAGAGCAGAUUAUGCUUAGUGAAGCUAGCCAAUCCCUAAAAAACAAAUACCAAAGGUCUUCUUUGAUAUAAUGAGAGCAACUAAGAACAAAGCAGGGAGGAAGAGCACGAAGAAAAGAUUAACAUUAAACAGAUACAUGAGGUGGGAGGGAAAGGGAGAGAAAAGGGAAAUUGCAUGGUAAUGGAGGGAGACCCACAUGGUUAUACAACAUUACAUAUAAGAGGUUGUGAGGGGAAGGGGAAAAUAAACAAGGAGAGAAAUGAAUUACAGUAGAUGGGGUAGAGAGAGAAGAUGGGAGGGGAGGGGAGGGGAAAUAAUACAGGAUAGGAAAGGUAGCAGAAUACAACAGUUACUAAUAGGGCAUUAUGUAAAAAUGUGGAUGUGUAACCGAUGUGAUUCUGCAAUCUGUAUUUGGGGUAAAAUUGGGAGUUCAAAACCCACUUGAAUCAAAUGUAUGAAAUAUGAUAUGUCAAGAGCUUUGUAAUGUUUUGAACAACCAAUAAAAAAAAAAAACUUAAAAAAAAAUCAGAACACUUAAGUUAGAGAUGGCCUGAAUUUAGGCAAGAGUUGGGACAUGCAUUUAUACUCAUGCAUAGGUAGUGACUGUUCAGAGAUGAAGCAAGACAUCUUCCUUUGGUCAUGAAAAAUUACUGAGGAGGAUUCAGCUUUGAGAAGCCUAUAGGAAAUGCUUAGGAAACUGGAAAGUCAGUCUUGGGUACUGAAGAUAUAUCUGGGUAGCCUACCAGAAUAUCCAAUUUUAGCACUCACUAACGGUUUAACUGCACAUGAACCUCCAGUUCAGAUAUUUUUUUUCUAGGAUAAUUGGAUCUAUUGUUAAUUAGAGGUUUAAUUUUAUUUUCUCUUUUUUUUUUCUUUUUUCUUCUCCCUUUCCCUCUCUGUUCCUUUUUUUAAAAAAAAUAACUUUUUGUUUUUAUUUUCUUCUAUUUGUCUGCCCCUUGGAAUAUCUUCAUUUUUUCCUUUUAUCAGCUUUGUUUUCUUCAUUUACUUUUAGUUAUUUUUAUUAAUUUUUACUGCUGGCUUUCCUCAUAUCAAGACCUCCUCCAUUCACUAUAUUUAAUAAUGUAGGUUUCCUCUGUCAUUAUUUAAGUGGCUCUUUUUAUUUAUUUAUUUUUUUAUUUAUUUAAGUGGCUCUUUUUAAUGGUGAGUUUCUCUUUGUCACAUGAAAACUGGCUAUAGACCAUGUCUACUUGAACAGAACAUGUUAAAAUGGCACAUUUUAUCUAAAGAGGAGUUGAACAAUAGGAAUAUAACUCAAGCCACACGUUCAAGUUAAAAUUUUCUGAUAGCCACAUUAUAUUUCCAUAUAUAAACAUAUAUGCACAUAGGUAUAGACAUAUAUCUGUAUAUAUGAAUACAUGUAUAUGUAAAAUUGCAUUUCAUAAUGUAAUCAAUUUACUAAACUGUUAAUGAGAUGUUUUAUAUUAUCAUUUUCAUUUUAAAUUUUCAAAAUCAAAUGUAUAUUUCACAUUAGCAGGAUAUCUCAAUUCAUAUUACUCAACAGAAACUCAAUAGCUACAUGUUAUUAAGGGCCACUAUAUUUAACAGAAUAGAUCUGAUGCCAGGAUGCAGGCCUGUCAAAACACCAAAUGAUGUUGCUUUAGUCUUGGGUACCAGAAGGUUUAGCUCUAUUUGGAUAAUUUUAAAUUUGUUUAGAAAAUAUUUGGCAGACUUUUACUGUUGGGAUGCCUGCUUGUUUAUAAGUGGGAACCACUAAAGCUAUUUCUCAUGUAGACUUUUAAUUCAUCAUCUCAUUUCAGGUUCAUAUCUCCUUGCUUCAUUCUGUACCUGCUGAUUCAAUCAUCUUGAAGCAUGGAUGUUAACAUCCUUUCUUAGGAUUAUUAUAUUAUUACAUUUCUAACUUUUUUACUUUAAACCUUAUCCUUUCCAGAACCAAUAAUAAAGACUGGGCAAACAUCACUGUUUGAAAUCAUAAAUCUGGUAAUUUAUCACCCUGAUUAAAAUGUUCACAAAUAUUUGUAUUGGCCAUAUAAUAGAUUACAAAUGCUGUCUGUGACUUACAUUGGUCACCAUCCAACAGAGACAUAAAAAGUGAAAGGAUGGUGGAAUGAGAUGGACAUUAUUACCCUGUAUACAUGUAUGAUUUCCCUACCAGUGUAACUCUGCACCAUGUACAGCCAAAGGAAUGAGAAAUUGUGCUCCAUUUGUGUACAAUGGGUAAAAAUGCAUUCUACUCCCAUGUACCACUAAUUUAAACAAAUAAAAAAAAAAAGAAAUGCAAAGAAAAGCCACAAAUUAUAAAUCGAGCAAUAACAGAGGAUUUAAAGUAAUUAUAACAGUUAUGAAAAUUAAAAUUCCAUUGGUGGAAAUAAUAAUGAUGAUGAAAAGAACUUGUUAAAUAUCUUAUAUACCAAUAGAUAUCUUUUCUAUCACUGUUUUGUUCUUGAAUAUAUAGCUAUUACAUUUUAUAGAUUAAAUCAUCUGAGAAACAGAUAUACUAAAUAACUUUCCUGAAGUCAGAGAAUCAGAAAGCAGAUAAGAAUUCUGGUAUAUUUAAUCUUCUCUCACAUGUUCCUAAUUCAAUAGCACGUUAGUCGGCUUUCCAUUAUUACACCAAAAUAACUUAAAAAGAGCAGUGAUUUAUUUUGGUUAAAAAUUUUGGUUUUAGUCCACGUUCAAUUGGUCUCAUUGCUUUUGGACUACAGUAGGGGCAGCACAUCAUGGAAAGCAUGAAUGAUGGAAGACACUGCUCACCUCAUGGUGGCUGGAAAACAGAGAUAGGAAGGGACAGAAGUCAUAUCCCAUCAGAGGCACUGCCAGCAAUGACUGAAUUUCCUCCCAUUAGGACCACUUCCUAAAGUUUCUAGCAUCUCCACCAUGAGCAAGACCAAACUUUAACACAUGGGUUUUUGGGAGACACUUUUUCAAGCCAUAGAAAAUGUUUUGACACCAAAUACUGCCACAGGCUUCAUGAAAACAAGAUGUUUUUAUUGUGAUUGGAAAUAUAUAUAUAUAUAUAUAUAUAUAUAUAUAUAUAUAUAUAUAUAUAUAUAUAUAUAUAUUUUAAGUUUUUUCGUGUUUUGGAAUUUGACAAUUUGACAUGUUCAAUUUCCUACCCAUUUCAUUUGAAGGACUCAUAUAAUCUAAUUUAGAAUUAAAUGGUUAUAAGAAGAUUAUCAAGCAUAUAAUCAUAACAGUGGUGCUAGCUCUCCCAGAUUCUUCUUCUAUUUAGUUUAGUCCUCAGCAAAAUAACAACAAAUAUAUAUGUGGGUGAAUCCAUGGUUUCAUUAAUCUGUUCAACUAAUGCUAUGCAGCAUCUACUAUAACCCCACAAGAACAAUAUGCAGAUUUAUUAAUUGAUCCUUGUUAUUUCAGAUCUCCAGGUUAAUAAGAGAGAGAACAUGUUAAAAGGUAAUUACAGCACAAUGUGACACAAAGGAACUAUACAAUUUUAACUGAUGAAAGUAGUUAGAGUUAUUAAAAAGAUGUGGAAAAGACAUUGUUGAGAUAUGAACAAGAUAUGACAUCGUUGAGCUGAAUAGUAAAUAAUACAUAUGUUCCAGCCAUAUAUGAUGGAAAAAGUAUUCCAGAGAUAGUAAACAACAUGCACAAAGAAUGAUUGCAUCAAGCAGCCUGGUGUUAGUUAAUUAAACUGAUGCAACACACAGACAAUAUAAAGAGAGAGGACUUAUGUUAACAUUCAUUCUUUUUGCUUUUAUUUAAUUCAUAUUAAUGUAUAAUUCACAUACCACAAAAUUAAAGACUUAAAAGUGAAAAAAUCAGAGGCAAUUAGUGUAUCACCUCUAUCUGACUCUAAAACAUGUCAAUCAUGAUAAAAUAAAACCCUGUAUUCUCUAAGCCAUUACUUCUCAUUUCUUACUCUGCCUAGUCCCCAAAAACUACCCCUCUGCUUUCUACUUCUACGGAUUUACCUAUCUGGACAUGUCAUAAAAAUAAAAUCAUACAAUUUAUGACAUUUUGAUGUAUAGCUUCUUUUACUUAGCAUGAUGAUUUUGAGGUUAGUUCACAUUAUAACAUAUAUCUGUAUUUUCUUUCUUUUUAUGGCUUAGUAAUAUCUAUUGUACACACAUACUACGAUUUUUCUAUUGAUGGUCAUCAAUGUGUACAACUUAUUCAAGUAUUAGUUCUCAUACCAGUCUUCAAGUACUUUGAUUGUAUACCUAGAAGUGAAAUUUUGGGGUCAUUCUGUUUUACCUUCUGAGGAAUCACUAACCAUUUUCUACAGUGACUGAAACAUUUUCAGUUACCAGUUGGGAUUCUCUUUGCUCAUACAUAGUAGAACACUUUAACAAAAAUGUUUAAAUAGAGAAAUUUAUUGUUCCUUCAUAAAAAUAUAGAGGCAGGUUGGGGAUUAUAUGACAUUCUGCUUUGUUUAGCAAGCCAGUCUUAUUAUUUUCAGAUGUAAACAGACUAUUUUCCACAGCUGCCUAUAUCUGUAAAUUAAAUUUUACUGAUGUCCAGCUAUUCCCAUUCAUUUAUAUACUCUCUAUUGUGGUUUAGGCAUUAUAUGGCAGAGUUGAGCAGAUGACACAGACACUUUAGCCUGCAAAACCAAAAUACUUAUUCUUGGCCUUGUUACAGAAAAAGUUUGCUAAAUUCUUUCUUUCUCUCUUGGCCUGUCAUCUUGGGCUUCCUACUAAUGGGCCUAGAUGGCUUUUUAACCUCUAGUCAUCAUGUUCUCCAUCCAACCAUCAGGAAUAAGGAAGAACAGAGAGAGGGCACUUUGCUUUCUUUAAAAUACUUCUCCAAGGAAUCUCAAUUACUUUUGAUCCUGCUAUUAUUUCCACAUCCAUGACUAGCUGUAAGAGCAUAUUGGAAAUUUAGGUGGGUAGGAGCCCUUCUAAAAACUGGAUUCUCUUCAGAAGGGAAAAGGAGAAAAGGCAUGUUCUGAAAGACUAGAUAGCUCUAGCACAGAGUCAGUAUCUUAGUAGAAAAGACCAUUAGCCUAGAUAUAGCCCUGAGCCUCAAUCUUUUGCUUUUUAUUAAAUUUAUUUAUUUAUUUAUUCUAAUUAGGUGUAUAUGACAUCUGAAUACAUUUUGAUUCAUUAUAUACAAAUGCAGCAAAAUUUUUUAUUUCUCUGGCCGUACAUGAUGUAGCGUCCUACCAUAUGUGCAGUCAUACAUGUACCUAGGUUAAUGAUGUCCAUCGCAUUCCACUUUCUUUCUUGCCCCCAUACCUCCUCCCUCCCCUUUGCCCAAAGUUUCUUCAUUCUUCCCAUGCCCAGCCCCAUUAGGGCCAGGGAUAUAGCUCAGAGAUUGCCUCGCAUGCAUGAGGCUCUGGGUCCCAUCCCCAACACCACACACACACACACACACACACACACACACACACACACACAGAGAUCAACCAUAGCAAUAGUUAAAAAUACAAAUAACAUUUCUCACUUCUAAUCCUUGACAAUCAAAACCCCUAGACAUGGCUCAGGAAAAUGAGUCUCAGUCUUCCUGAGAACUGUAGAAUCUGGAUAGGCAGAACUCUUCAGGACCAGGCAAAGACUAUAAGAACCAAUUAGAGUUCUUCUUUCUCACUUCAAAUAUCUCACAGCAAUUAGAAAUAUGUAGAUCAGUAAAAAAUCUCUAUCUUCCUUUAUAAACAGAGUGAUUUCUAAGUUCACUAGGUCUCAUUUUCUGCUUAAUUUAAAAGACUGAUUAAAGUUUUACCUCUCAUAAUUGAGAUCAAUGUAGCAUAAUCUCUUGUUCUAAUUGGAUUUCCAAGGGUUUGCAUUUGGAAAGGAAUUGAAAUUCAGGCAAGUUAUCAAUGGCACACUUUUCAGAUUGUGACAACCAAUAGAUACUAUUUUUCUGAAUGGGAAACACUUUAAAUGUUGUUUCUACAUGAGUUUUAGCCAAAAUAGCCAUAGAAGAAAUAAGAAUGAGAAAAUUAAACAUAUGUUUUAAUUUGGGACUAGACACAGGAGUGUCAGAGUAGAAUGUAUGUAUACUUGCAUAAGGCACUAAAUAAAUUUAAGAGAAAAUGUGUAGUAUUUCUUUCACUUAUUUUUUUUAAUUUGCCUACAAAAAGUGAAAUAAAUAUGAGAUUGUUUUUCUGUGAAUUUUCAAAAAUCUGAGUAUAAAAUAAUGGGAUAAAUUAAUUAAGCAUGCAUUUUAUAUUUACAAAGUCCAUCACUAGGUUACAAAAAAAGAGUAAAGAAUAUUAUAUUUCAAAUAAAUAGGCCCAGAAGCUUAUUGAUUUAUUCACAUCAAUGUCAUUCUGUUUCCAAACUGUGCUCAUAUUUGAGCAGAACAAAUGGGAACUUUUUAUAAGAUUGCAAAACUCCAAUGUUUAGUUUUCUUUGCUUUUUAGGCUUUUUAUUUUUUAAUUUUUUUCUGAUACCAGGGAUUGAACCCAGGGUCACUUAACUACUGAGUCAUAUACCCAGCCCCUUUUUGUAUUUUCAUUUAGAGACAGGGUCUCACUAAGUUGCUGAGGGCCUCAUUAAGUUACUAAGGCUGGCUUUGAACUUGCUAUCUUCCUGCCUCAGCUUCCCAAACUGCUGGAAUUACAGGCUUGUACCACUACACCUGGCUGCUUUUCAAUUUUUAAUCUGUUUGAUGUAACUAUCACUCUGGUUGUAUAGUUCUUUGUUUUGAAAGAUGCAUGGAUCAUAUGACUUCUGCUACAAUCAAGACACAGAACUCUUCCAUCACCCCCAAAAUGAUCUUGUUAUGUCACUUUGAAUUCAUUCCUUGUAGUUUCCAGGGUAGGUAGCCUGUGAGUUUUUCUUAUUAAAUUUAGCAUAAUUCAUUUAAGAUUCACCCAUAUUAACACACAUAAUAAUAAUCUUUUUCUUUUUACUGCUGAGUAGUAUUUACUCAUAUGGAUAAAAAUUCAUUUGUAUAUCCAUCCCCAAUUGAAGGGCUUUUCAGUUGUUUUCACUUUUAUCAGUUAUGUAUAAAGACUGUCUACACAUGUACAGAUUUUCACUUGGACAUACAUUUUUAUUUCUUUGGGAUCAGUAGUUAAAAUAUAUUGUUGGAUCAUUAGGGUAAAAAUAUUAUUAAUUUGAUAGUAAAUUGCCAAACAGCUAGAGUGCCAUUUGCUUUUGUACUAGCAAUUUAUGAAUGUCCCAGUUACUUCACUUCCUCCCCAGUUCUUGGUAAUGUCAGGAUUUAGAUUCUCCUUUCCUGCUCUCCCCUAACUUCCUUUCCUCUGUCUUCUCUUCCACUCUCAGGUUUCACUAUUGUAAAUCCUUUUAAUUGGCUCUGGCACGCCUUUGAAAUACAUGUAUCAAGAUGCUUUCUAAAUAACUUCCUUACUUUCUGGCACUUUAAUAUGUUUCAGCCUUAUUUUAUAUACUUCCUGUCCCAAUUCUAGAUUCUUGCCCAUUUUUAAUUGGUCUUUUUAUUUUCCUGUUUUUGAGUUUUAACAGUGCUUUUUUUUUCUUUGAUAAUGUCUUUAACAGAGAAAGAAUUUUAAUUUUGAUGUAUCCUUUGCUCAUGGGUCAUGCCAUCGGUAUUCUAAGAACUCCUUGCUCACUCAAUAUCAAAAAUAUUUUCUAAUUUUUUUUUUUUUUGCAAAAACAUUAGGAUAGUAAUUCUACAUACUUAGGUAUAUGAUUUACCAAGAUAUUUUUAAAUUUCUAUAUUGUAAGGUGUAGAUCAACAUUUGUUUUGUAUACAUGAAUAUUCAAUCAUUCCAGCAUCAUUUCCUUAGUAGAUUUUUCCCCAUUGAAUCAUAUUUAUUUAUAACCUUUUCAAAAAUUAGCCAUAUGUGUUUGAGUCUAUUUCAAAGUUCUCUAUUUUGUACCAUUGAUCAGUGUGUUUUAUUUUUCAUCUUUAUCACUACACUGUCUUAAAUACUGCAGUAAGUAUUGAAGGUAUUUGUGUGAGUGUUCUAGGUUUUAUUUCUUUUUUAAAUUCAAAAUGUAUUGGCUACUCUAAUUUCUUGUCUUUAUUUGUAAAUCUUACAAUCAGUUUUUCAAUAUCAUUAAAUAUCCUUCUAGGAUUAUGAUUUGGAAUAUGUUUAAUUUAUAGAUAAUUCCAUGGAAUUUGACAUUUUUUUACAAAAUUUUCUUCCCAUCCAUGAAACUAGUAUAUAUUUUUCUCAAACUUAUUUGUUUAUUUCCAUUUCUUUUACUUUUUAACCUGAAGGCUCGUUGCUUGGAAUCAGUCCAGCACUAGCUUUCAUUCUUAUUAGUACUGUAGAAUUAGGUGCUAGAAUAGCCCCUUGAUAAUCCUCAUUGCUGAUAUUGUCCAUGUAGUAAUUAUCUGCUUUUUUAAUUUUAUGAACAUAUUUUUGCAUUCCAUGUCUCCUAAGUGUUACAUACUAUUUUUGGAAGUUUUUUUUUUUUUUGCCUUCUCGGUCAAUGUUUAAUAGGGAGACUUGUCCAAAAACUUCCUUUAAGAAGUCUACAGGUAUUGGACGUAUUUAUUUUUUUCAGUAUUUCAUAGGCAAAAUCUAUAUGUCACAAAUAAUGAACACUGAAUAAAAGCUUGAGGACUAGAUGUGUCUCUAAGGUUCAGUAUUUUAUCAUUGAUAUGUAUGGCUCAUUUACAGGUAUACUCCUCCAACUGCUUUUCAUGGGUUGUAGGUUUUUAUGAUGAUGAUAGAGGGUGGUGAAGAAUAAUAAAACAGGGAAGUAUUUUACAAUGUCAUUGGAGUCUAAACUUUUGGCAAAAAGAAAUUAACUCACUUGAGUUAGAUAUCAGACAUGCAUUGCUUUCAAAGCCAGUUAUUGUAGGGCUGGGAGUCUUAUAAACAUUAUUAUACCAUCUGAGAUUUUUGUACAAAGAUAUCUUUUAUAUGUUAUCUUAAAACCUCAGUGAGGUAAGCUAUAAAUGAAGGGGGACAAGUAGUUGUAAUGAUAGCUACUAGUAAAGCCCAGAAUCUUCUGACAUCAAAGAAAUCAAUUUCUAACACAAUUCUGUGUGAGUGAGGAUAUGAAUCGUGGAUAUGUUAAUGUUCUUUCCCAUAGUCACACAAAAAACAUAAAGCUAGAUCUUAUCUUUCCAUCUUCUUUCACCAUAAUAAAAUAUUUCUUGUAUUUUUAUUUAAAAAAUAAAUAGUCUUGAAGAUUCAAGAUCCACAAUGAUCAUGAAAGACAUAUAGAACAAACUAGACAUCUACUCAUUUAUGUAGCAGUGUCUCACACAGUUCUAAUAUUUAACUGAACUUCUGGUAUGUAUCAGGCACAGUUUGGGGCCCUGGAAGAGCUAAUGAGCAGACAGAAUUUCCUGCUGUUAUAUGGCAUGAAAUCUGAUUAGAAAAACUGAGCACAAAUGCAGUAAUUAAUUAAGCAUCUACUGUAUCAGAUAAAGAUAAAUGCUAUGGAAAUAGAGAAGGAAAAUGUGGAGGGGAGAUAGUAAGUUUUAGAGAUUAUAUUUUUAGAAUUAGGUGGCCAAUAGAAGGUUUUGCUAAGAAGGUGAUAUUUGAAUAAAUUACUGAGAAGAUAAAGGAGUAAGCAGUUUGGAAGUGUAGAGAAAAGAAUUUGUAGACUGAGGGAGAAGCCAGCAGACAUGUGUGUGGUCCCCAUAUACCUAUGUUGUUGAAGGACUAACAAGAAGGUUCUUUGUGCUCAAAUAAAGGGAGUGAGAAUGAGCACAGUGAGGAAGAGUUGGAGGAAGUGUCAUAGGUGAAUAGGGGGUGGUGAACUCAUUUAUAUGACUUUUUUUGGGCAUUGUAAGGAGUUUGUGUUUCUCUGCGAAUUAAUAGAGAAGAUAGAUCUGAGCAAAAAGCAGACUCGGUUCUUAAAUUGAUUCUUAAAUUUUUGGCUAAAAGUCAAGUGGGGGAAAGAAACUUUGAUCAAAUAAUCGUGAAAAUGAAUAUAAAAGCAAAAGUGAUAGAGGCUAAAAUGAUAACCACUCAAGUGGAUCAGGGUUAAUUAUCAAAUAAAAACUGAUAUUUGAUCUUGGAUAUGAGAGAUCAGUAGAUGUUGACUUGCUAAACAAUAUAAUGUUAAUAGUGAUGUUUUAUUGAGUGUUGCCUUCUAAGCAGCUGUGUUUUCAGCACUUACCACUGAUGAGCUCAUUUUAUCUUCACAGUAAUGCAAUAAGUGACACAUGGUUUUUAUAUUUUGUAGGUGAGGAAGCUGAGGAACACAGAGAUCAAGUAAUUUGCUCAUUUACUAUUUAGUAAACAAGAAAAAAAGGGAUAGGAAACCAAGAAAACCUAUCACAGCAAUGCUACUGAUCUUACAUGGAAAAAAAAAAAAAACAACAAAACCCUCCUGGAUCUUGACCUAUGAAAUUCCCUUACCACUCUUGUCUAUUGGCUCUAGCUGUCAUAUUUCAAUGCUUGCCUCUAAUUCACUCUGUAUCCUUUUCUCACCUUUCCCGCCAUUGUAGAUGAUUUUUAUGAAAUUCUGAAGAAAGGAUGAUCAUUCAGUGACCUCUAUUUGGUAAAUAAUUGCUCAUUAUUAUGUGGCAUCUUUUCCAAUUGAGAAGAGUUUUCAAUAAAUUGUUUAUGUAAUUUCAUGUUUUUUGAACUUUAAUUUUGGAAAUUGAUUAUAAGUCCAUAGAGGUUUGAGCAAAGUAAAAUGCAAAUGAGAUGAUUGCUUAUUUAUGCCUCAUAUAUUAUUGGGCACAAAGUCCUGCAAUAAUAUACACCAGACAUAGAACAAAACAGAAAGGGAUCCAGGAGUAAGAAGAAAUCUCUCAAAAAUCACUAGUGAUUUACACUUUUUUUACAAAUCUAUUGACUGUUAAGCCUAGGUUAAUACCCAAUAAAUCUAUUAUUUAUUAACACUGUUUUAUAGUAUUCAAAGUAGCAUAGGAGACAGCUAAACAGUAAGUAGAUAACUGAGUACCAAACAAGCAUGAAACUCCAAUAGAUGUUUGGGUGCAAGAACAACCUGAGAUCUAAGACAAGAGGUGAAAUAUUUAGUGCAAAAUGGAAGACGAACACAAAACAAUUAAAAGAGAAAAUGCCAGCCAAGUUGCUUUCUGCCAUUACCCCUUCAGUUCUCUGUGGUGCUUGUGAGGCAGAGCUUUCCUAUGGACAGGUUAUCCAUAACACCUGGAAAAUGUGAACUGCACAGGACAAAAGGAUAAUUUCUGUCCUUUUUGGCUCUUAGAUUACUAGCCAAUUGGAUGUUAUUAAGUCUCACAGGAGAGUUCACUGCUUCUGCCCUGGGCCUGCUCUCAGCUUCACUAGGACUCUAUCUAAUGCAUCCCUUCUUUGGGGUAAAAAUUUCCUGUUGUUUAAAAUGAAUGAAUUGAACCUAACUGUUUCUGAUACUCUGUACUUUAUGUCCUUCCCUGUCUUAUGUACAAGUAGAAUUCUGUGCAGAAGUUGAAUUUUUCUUUUUCCUUCCUCUUGAAGAAGUGUACAUUUACUUGUGCCCAUCUGUGAUGCAGCACUGCUCUAUGGCAAGUUCUGCUACAGUCAAAUGUGCUGCAUGGAAGCUGGCUAUUUCUGAGGUUUAGUGUUAAGAUGUUAUAAUCCCAAAUACAACACACUUCAAGUAACGCAUCAAUAAUACAGGGAUUAUUUCACUCUCCUAAGAGUUUAUAAUUCUUGGCCUGACAAUUUCUUUUGUCAAUGUUGAGAUUUUAAUUCAUCUGAAGUUGAUUUGGUUUUCAAAUUGAUAAGAUAUAGACGUUUUAUUUGAAUCAUUUCCUUUCUUGAAAAUAAAAUAAUGGUAUUUCUAAGAGUUGGUGGAAUCUUUGGUCUGGUGGAAUAUAAUAACAUAUUAACAAUUGGCUUUGAAAUGUGGUAUCUAGUAGUGCAAAUAUUUGUCCCUUCUAAUGCUAUGUUCUGGGAUUAAUAAGAAUAUGCUGUUUCCAAGAAUGGCAAGUACUCAUUUGGAGCCUGGCUACAUUUGAAAAUGAAUUUCACAGUCCAGCCAAGUUUGCCAUGUUUUCUACCAAAGGAUAAUUAAAUGGCUUCACUUUUAAGAUUGUUUUUGCAUUGCUUCUGGAUGAAAACUGCCCCUGCAUACCACUCAUCCCCAUGUUUUUAAUUCAUAAAAAUGCCAUUUGUACAAAUAGAGCAAAGGCCCAAGGGCUUCUAAAUGAGGCUGUUAAUAGGACUUGUCAAUUAACUUCAGUGCAUUGAAUGAAAUAUAUUAUGUGCUUAAUGAUCUUUAAUGCUCUCAGCUCAAUCAUAACAAAGAAUCCAACAUGUAGAUUUGUAGCAGCUGGUGGUCUCCAUUUGUCUCUUCUUUUGAAAGUAGAACGUUCAUUUAAUAAAAGCUGCUGAAACAAUGGUCUUCAUGCCCUGUGUGUAUUCCUGAAGUUUCUGAAAAGAAACAAACACGUGGCAGAUAACAUUUUUCAAGGUUUUAGUACAUAUUUGGUGGAAAGCAGAGAAUAGGUUAGGUUCCAGCAAGUGAUGGGAGAGAGUAACAUGACGUGAUGUUGGGAGUUUGUGGCUUUAGCAUUGGUUUCUGUGGCAACUGACUUUCCUAUAGUUACAGCAGAAUGUGAGCAAUAUAGGAAAACACCUAUAGGAAAGAUACCUGCACAUAGACUUAAAAACUGUCAACUAUGAUUGUGCCAAAUAUUAGAGGGCUAACAUAGAGUGAGGGAAACAACAGAAUAUUAUAUAAGAAACAAAUAUGAGAGAUAUAAAAUUCCCUGAAAUAGACUAAAAGAUGGUUGUGCAGUUAGUAUGAAAAAGAUAGAGUUACUCUUUAGAGAGUCCUCAGCUAAUUUCUUAUUUACUUGUAAACCAAAAUUUAGAUCUUUCCUUUUAGAAUACACUAGUAUAAGUGUCACAUGUCUAAUGCAGUUAAAUGUCAAAAGUAAAAAAUAAAAAUAAAACAUCUGUUGUAUAGGGCACAUACAUGAUCCUCAAAUAUAGGAGGCCUUUGUCAAUAUUAAAAAGAUUUAUCAACUGAGUUGUAUAAGAUAUUGUGUGGCAAUUUCUAGCGGGGCUUCUAGUUCAGGAUAAUAAAUGAGUAGCUAUUUCUCUCCUUUACUUCAAAAUUACCUCUGAAAGAAAAAAAUAAAAGAUAAGUCAUUCAUAUAUGUGCCAAUAAUGGGAAGUGAGAACAUCAGUGGAUUAUAGAUUUGACAAGUUUCUGGAAGAUGGAGAGUGGAUUGAAUCAUGGUAGGCAAUUUGGAAUGACCACAGUCCAGUCUGGCUGCUGAAGGCUGUUGUACAAGUAAGAACUGGCAAAGCCACCAGGUAACCACAGACCAGAAUUCACAGCUUGACAGAUUAUGAGUAGUAGUGAUGACAAAGGCUAAGAAAUUAAAGAAAUGUCUAUCUGGAAAGAUUUCUUCCAAAAUAUGAUGAAUAUUACAGCAAAUACACUUCCUGCAAAAAAAAAAAAAAAAAAGGAGGAGGAGGAGGAGGGAAUAAACUGCUUAGAGAAAUGCUGGUGCCAUAGGAAAGUUUUCCUUAUUUUGCUUUUAGAGUAAGAAGUGGGAGAAUUGAAGAGGCCAAACCUGUGUUUUCUACACUCAAACAACCUAUCCUGAAACCUGGCAAUGUGAUAGACCCAAUCCGCAAUUGACAGAAAUUAUACUGCUCAGAUAAAGAUGGCUGACAAAUGAACUAGGACUUCUCAGAUGACAAAGAAGACUAUCUUCCUGCUCCUAAUUCAUACAUAUGGAUAGGCAGACAUGUUAGGGCAUUACAUUGUUAGAGUAACAGAAUACAUACAUCCCUUUUAAAAACAACAUUGGAUUUUGACAAUUACUAAAUAAAUAACAACAAUGAAAAAGAGAAACAUAUUCCGUUUUGUGUAAGACUAGGAAAUAUAAUGAAUUACAAUGUAUGAAGAUUAGAAUAUAGGAUGGAGUGGAAUCUAGCAUAAAAACUUGAAAUAAAUGAAAACAGAACAGAACUCCUCAGAAGGAAAUAGGAAUAAAUAUUCCAAUUCAAGCAACAUGCAACUGCAAAGCUUCAGGUGGAGAAUAUCAGGUGCUUCAUGUAUGAAGAUGUGAGGAAAAAAAAAAGAAUAGCGUUACCUUAGACUAAGUGGAGAGAAGUGAUUGGAGAGGAGGGGAGGGGAUGNUUGAGAGGUAGAUGUUUUGGUAAGUGAUUUAGAUAUUUCUCAAAAAUGGGAUCAAUGCCUUUAAAGUAGACUGAAGCAUGUUUGGUGUGCUGCUUCUGCCACGUGAAGGCACAAAAGCAAGGUGUCAUGUCUGAAACUUUUAUUAGACACCAAAUCUACUGGGGCUCUGAUGUUGGACCUCCUAGAUGCCAGAAACAAAAGCAAUUAGUUUCUCUUAUUUACAAAUCAUCUAGUCUAAAUUAUCUUGUUAUAGCAGCCUGAAUAGACUAAGACCAAAAAAAUGAAGCUGUAGGGAAAAAACCUUAUUUUAUUUUAUUUGCCCUAAACCUCAGCCUAAAGCCCAGAUGCACGUCAUCUGAGGUCAUGAGAUGUACUGUGGCAACUGGCCCUACAUCACUGCCUGACAAAAUCUGAGGCUAACUCCUUUUGUAGCAGGAAAAUAUCAUAAAGAACUUCAAAUUAAUUAUUUGAUUUAUUUCAACUCAGAUCAGUUAUCUAUUACAAAUCCAUAAUUAUGUUCUCUUUGAGGACUGUGACAAUACUACCUAAAAUUACAACACUUUCCCCCAGAUUUGCUUUAUUUUUCUACUUAGGCCUUGCUGAUAGCACAUAAAUCACUUUCAUUUUUAGAUUGUUUCCUGUCUCUCUCACUACAGUGUACACACUGGGAAAGCAGGGGUGGUUUGUUUGUUACUGUAUCCCCCAAAUCUAGGUCAGUGCCUGGCCUGGAAUUAUUUGACAAAUAAAAAAUAUCCAUUGCCAUUCAUAUGAUAUGCCAUUCAUGUGGUUACAGGACUUGAGAGAAAUACAUCAACAGUCUAACAGUGAUUACAUCUUAGUGGGAGACUGUAAUUUUGUUUCCAGAGUUUUUUUUUUUUUUUAAUUUCCAUGUAUUCUACCAUUGCCACAUAUUAUUUCUGAAAGUGUCUUAUAAAUAUAUUAUUUUGUUGAAAGCCACUAAAAUAGAAAUUAUAAAGUUUAUUCCCCCUUACAAUUUCAAUGUUCAAACUCAGAAAUAAAUUACAAAAAAUUACAUGUGAUCUUUUAGUACAGUCAUGCUGGUAUAAUCACAUAAUCUCCUGUGUUCUCCAUUUUGACACACUAUAAGCUGGCCAGGUUAUAUGACUGUGGUGAUGGCACAGAGCCAGGUUAGCCAGACUGCGAAUUACUCCCUCCAGCCUGUUCAUACAGUCCAGGAUUCUAUUAUGUUGCACAAUGCCUCAAAAAUACAGACACUGUUAAGACAGAAAGAGGCUUUGUUCCUGACAUCUAUUUCAUGGGCUCCUACGUGUUCUAACAUCCAAUGUCCAUUUUUCUCCAUAGGCAUUGAGCAUUGUAAAAUAUUUAAUUUAAUUGAAAAUAAAACCUGUAAUUAAUAACCAGUGAUUAAUCAUAUUUAAUGUCUUACCAAUAGAUGGCUUCUGUAACUUCAUUGACUGGCUAUAAUUAUAGCAUACAAUAGAAGAACAUAAAGUUGGGAGUGGACCAAAACGUUGGAAUAGAGAAAUUCAAUUUCCUGUUUUCUCCAAGGCAUGAAAACAAGAAAGCAGACAGGCAGCUUCUCAGCAAGGGAAUUAGGAAUCCUGAUAUUCCCAUUAAUGGGCAAAUGCACAAGUUUCUUCUGAGUGUUAAGGAGACCACAUCCUGUCACUUGUGGAAUGUUAUCUCUUCCAGCAGUGGAAGAGAUAAGAAUGUGUUGCAAAGAGGUCUGGGCAGUGCCCCCAGUGUGGAAAAUAGUAGGAGCAAGAACCUUAGCCCUUGGAGCAAUGAUGGGGUAGAGAUGGCAGCAGUCAAGGAAUCCACAGAGCAGACUAAUACUAGCAGAUAGUAUUGAGAGAAGAAAUUCCCCACCUGAGGAGUCUGACCAGGCAGUAGCAUGGCCACAGGAGAGGGAGACACCAGUCAUGGCAGGAGAGGUGGAAUCUUCAGAAAAGUGCGUCUGGACAUGUAGAAUCUGUGGGUGAAUGUAGGAGACCAACCUUGCACGUGACUGAGUCACACUCCCUGGCUGGGUGCUGAGGUGCUCAGUGGCAGAAAUGUGGCAGAGCUUUCACCAGACUUCUUGGGUUCGAGGGUCAGUGUCUUCUGCAUGGGUGUGUCUUGCUACAGCCCCAUGGGUGAAGCUAUGCUCACCUGUUCCUUUGUAAUAUAACCCCUUUCCCUGUUUAGGAUAGAAUCUUCCAUGGAAGUGCCUUGUGUGUGUCCCCUGCUCUUACUGUGCCCUUGGGUGUGGCCUACCCAGGUGUCAGUCAACCUGCUGACAGUGGACAACAUGAAGAUGGACUCAGCCCCCUGAAACCUGACCCCUUGCCUCAUUUGAAUAGCUUCUCCUCAAUAAAAGAGGGUCAGCACGUGUUCUCGCUCUCUCUCUUUCUGCGAACCCUUAAGGUCAGAGGAGCCAUCACAGCGACCCCAAAGAAAAAGAUAUUUGUGUCUCUUGUGUGGUUAUUUUGUGCAGCCCAAUUACUCCAGUUUAACUGGAGUGACCCCUGAGACUUUUAGUCUCGAGAACAAAAACUCGGCCAGUGAAUGUCCCAAUUCUGCGGCUUCAGUGGGAGUUACUGGGGUGAAGGUUUGGUAUGAUGGUCUCUCAGGUCUCACCUGUCAGGAUCAGAGGGACUGAACUGCAAUGGACAUUGGGGACCAGACAUGUAACAUCAGGUGUGCAGCUUUCAGAUUCCGUUUACCACUUUAUGGAACAAAUUUUGUGGGUCAUUGAAUUCAUGAUGGCAUCUUCACUUAAUUAUGAUGACCCAGUCACUGAGCCACCAUAGAAGACUCAGUAUCCUCCCCCUUGAGCUCCCUUGCUUCCCAAUACUGUAUCCACAAUCCACCUUCUCCCACAUCUGCUUUCUGAAGAGGAAGUUUCAUCGGUCAUUUCCACCAGGGAAAAGGAAUCGUACUGUACGUUCACUAUCCAGAACCUGCACUUUCUCUACCCUUUUGCUGAUGCAAGUAAGGAUGAGGAUCUGCUUCCUGCUGGCACAGAAGAUCAAAUCCAUUAAAAAAAAAAAAAAAAAACAGAAACUAGUGAAAGCAUUUAAGGAGAAAUUUACCUGCAAUGGUACUGGAAUUGAGAAUCCAGAAUAUAGAGAAGAAAUUCAGCUACUGGGUAAAUAGCACAAGAGCAGAGAUUGGACCGAUCAAGGAUGAUCAGCUGAAGGUUCAUGGGUUUUCAAUGUGUGUGGCUCACUGAAGCUUAAGUGAGGAUUUCCUUGCAAUGAGUACAAUUUCUCGUGUCCCUUGUCACAAGUUUAAAGCUCUCACAGCUUUUUUUAUGUAACCAUUUUGGAUCCACUAUAAACUUGGGACUAAUAUAACUCCUUCAUGCAAUAAACUGAAAAAAAUCUAUGCAGUCUAGUCUUGAAGUUUCUCAUUUAAACAGACAUCAGGCAAUAGGUGCCUUGCAGUGUCCACCCUGAAACAAAACAAUAAUAUGAUGUUUCAGCAAAACCCAGAGCCCCAAGAUCACAGGCAUCUGUUUCUGGCCAGAAGCUCCUUAGCUCUCCCUGAGCAGAGUCCCCUGCCCUAAGAGUGUCAUGACCUGAACAAUAAAGAGAGGAUGAGAUAAGGCAACAACAGCAGCUGUACCACUAGAGGGAAUUUUUGGUAAUAAAAAGAGCUCAUAGUGUCUCUAACCUGAUCAGGUGGGCAGAUUUCAGAGACUACCUUCCUUCUAGUGAGAUGAUGCAGCAUCUGGCUUUCCACCAAGGUCUUCUUUUGGACUAGACAUCUUCUAGCUAAGGGGUGUCCAAAACACCAGAAUGUGAAGCCAGCCGAAUAUUGAUACUGGCGUUGAGAAUCAGGUUUGAGUCCCGUUCCCCAAGGUGCUGAAGAUUGAACACCCAAGAAACACUGAGGCAAUGCAAAAUGUUUUAUUUAAAGGAGACAGAGAGAGGCAGACAGAAACUCCUCUACAGAGGAGGGCUUCCAAGUUGGUGCCUGAAGGAGUGUGGGUGUCCUGACUUUUUUAUGGAUUUCAGAUUUUCUUUGUUCUCAUGCCCCCCUCCUCCGGAUACAUUGCCUAUGUGACCAGUGACCAAAAUGUGGAGUGACCAGCGUCAGGAAGAGAGUCAUCCAGGGGUUAUUCAUUAACAACUUCAUGUAGGGAGGAACAAUUCGCUGGAGGCAGGUAACGGGGCAAAAGUUUGGAGGAGAGGGAAGUGCUCUGGAGGUAUUAGCAUUUUAUUUCCUCUUGAGUAUGUCCCAUCUUCCUGACACAAUCAUUCACUACCUACACUGUCCUUUGCCCCCCCAUCCUCAAUAUCAGUUAAUUUUUUUGAGGGAGGUACUGGGGAUUGAAACAAGGGCACUCAACCACUGAGCCACACCCCCAGCCCUAUGUUGUAUUUUAUUUAGAGACAGGGUCUCACUGAGUUGCUAAGUACCUCACCAUUGCUGAAGCUGGCUUUGAACUCAGGAUUCUCUUGUCUCAGCCUUCCUCCCAAACCGCUGGGAUUAGAGGCAUGUGCCAUCAUGCUUGGCAUCAGUUAAAUUUUUGAAAAGGGAACAAAUACAAGCUGUUGUUAUCAGUCCUGUAACUAGCUAUAGAGCUUGCAACUUACCUGCAACUCACUAGCUAACCAGUGCCAAGUGAAGUAAUAAAUUGGUUUAUGGUUUUCUUUUUAACUUCUAGUUUUAAUAUUACAUAAUGUAUUUAAAACCUGAUAUAAAUAAAACUUGUUUUCAGGGGAGAAAAACAAAGCUUUAUUGACUUGUACAGCUAGAUACAUUAUCUACAAUUUUUUUUUAAAUACGAGCAAUAUCUUCCAGAUUAAUGUUAAUGUUUUCAUGGGUACUUCCAUCUGUGAGGACAGCUCUUGAUUCUUAUUCUCCUCUCUGCCAUCCUGCAUAGGCUAUGAAAUUUAUGUUUCCCUUGAGUGAAAUGAGCUGUCUGAGAAAAAUGGCAAAAAAAUCACACAACACAGAAAUAAUUUUGAAAAGUGAGGGUGAGACAGUGUUGUGACCUUAGUGGUCCUGUUUCCACACUGGAAGAAGAGAGAGAGAUAGGAGCCUAGUUUGCUUUAUUUAUACAAGGGUCUUCAAAGGAUUUCAAUGGAAUGUUCUUUUGCCAAAUAAAGUAGGAGGGGGGCAGUCCAAGCCCAACAGGUAAUGCCCUAGUCCAAAGCUACAGAGCAAUCUCUCUAGUCCAGCGAAGACUGAGGUCAUCACGUGAUUUGCAUAAUAAGCCACAAAAUGACUUGCAAUGCCAAACCAAAAUCUCCUUGGCUCCAAGGCCCAGUAGAGGCUAUUCAAAUAGCCCAGAGGUGGCCCCCUACAGAAGGCCAUUUGGAAAUUAGAUGAAGUAAACUUCUCAGUCCAAUUUAUAGAAUACUGUCAUUUAGGCUUCUGACCACCACCCUUUCAUUACUCUUCCACAUCACAUACUGGCAAAGUCUAGAAGAUGACACAAGGAGUGGAAAGUGUUUCCAUAAGAAAAUGCCUAUUGCAUCUGGGGUCUAGUGAUCCUCCAAGAAAAGGUCAGCUCCCAUCUGUUUGAUCAUUCUACAUUUAAGCUUAUCAGUCAGAAAAACCGUAGCCUUCUAAUCACUCUCAAAUGUAUUUAUACAAAGUGAACCUAAAGGAAAGAAAGAUGGAAGAGAGUAAGGGAGGGAGCAGAAGAAGAAGAAAGGAAAGAAAGAAUAAAAGCAAAGUCUCUCCAAGUCAUUUAAGGCAUUUUGACAAAGCUCCUAACAUGAAAGUUGUAGAACAAAGCAAAUUCCAAAAACACAAAUAUAUCACAGACUAGAUGAAUAUGUCAACAGUGUGUUUUAAUUUACAUGCACAAAAUAUAUUUCAUUGAUGAAAAUAAUAGGGUGCUAUUAAAAAUCAAAAAAAAAUGUAUUAAAAUGAGCAAAGUAUUGAAAAAGAACUAUUAUAGGGCUGGGGAUGUGGCUCAAGCGGUAGCGCACUCGCCUGGCAUGCGUGCGGCCCGGGUUCCAUCCUCACACCACAUACAAACAAAGAUGUUGUGUCCGCCGAUAACUGAAAAAUAAAUAUUAAAAUUCUCUCUCUCUCUCUCUCUCUCUCUCUCUCUCUCUCUCUAAAAAAAAGAAAACAAAAGAAAAAGAACUAUUAUAAAAAGUAAACAGAAUGAGGUAAGAAAAAGUCAAUAUAUUUCAGUAGGCAAUCAAAAAAGAUGAGAUUGAUUUUAUGUGAGGAAAAAGUGUAAAAAAAAAUUUAAUUAAAAUAAAAGGCAAAUCAGACAAAGGGGCACAACCUACCAGUAAGCAUCCUAGUAAAAUCAAGGAAAACAAAGGAAAGGAAGAAAGAAAUAAUAGAAAAUUUUCUGGAACUGAAGAACUUCAGGUAUAAACUGAAAGAGCCAUAGUGUUCCUGUUGCUUAUUCCCACGAAUGAAAUAAACCCAUCAUUAGUAUUAGCAAAGUAAUGGGUAAAAAUCUAAUUUGCUAGAGGAAAUAAUACUUAAUAAGAUUCAAAACUCAUUAUCUAAAGUAUAUAUUAACAUGUUAAUGUAUAAAAUCUUUUUUUAUUGUUGUUUUAUUUUGUGUUUUGGUACUAGGGAUUGAACUCAGGGGUACUCGAACACUGAGCCGUAUCCCCAGCCCUAUUUUGUAUUGUAAUUAGAGACAGGGUCUCAUUAAGUUGCUUAGCACCACACUUUGGCUGAGGCUGGCUUUGAACUUGUCAUCCUCCUAACUCAGCUUCCUGAGCCACUGGAAUUACAGGUGUGCACCAUUGUGUCAGGCCCUUAUGUAUAAAAAUCUUAAUUUUAUGGAGGAAGAAAGAAUAUUCUGCAAGAUUUAAAACUGAAUAUAAAAAAUUCAACACUUAUUUAAAAAAAAAAACUUGAAUUAAACUAAGAAUGGGAGGAAAUGUCUCUAAUCUACUAAAAACAAUUUAAAUAUUACCCCAUUCUAAAAGUGACCUUUUAUGAUAAAAAAAACAAAAUAUAGUUAGAAAUAACUUUGUCAUUAUAUUUAAUUUGCAAUUCUAUUAGGCAAUGUUAAAAAAAUUAAAAACUGGAAAAAUUGUGAACAUAAAAUAUUAUAUCUUGUAAAUUAAAUAUUAUGGUUAUUUGUAUAGAAGGCACAUGAUAAUACAGAACAAACAAUAGCUAUAGAAUUCAGAAAUAUAGUGGAAACAUUUUAACAAGUAAAACUUUUUAGUAAUUUUUAAAUACUUUUAUGUACUUGUAGUUUAAGAAUUAUAAUUACUCAAGACUGAGCAAAUAUAAAUUUGCAAUGACCUUAUGGUGAAAAUGUCAAAGUGCUAUUAAAGGGCUUGGAAGAAAAGUCAUAUAAUUAUGAGAUAUAUCCACAUAUAUACAAAGUCUUGCUAUUAUAGUGAUGUGAUUUGCCCAAAAGUAAACCUAAAAAAUUCAGUGUUAUUUCAAUCACAGAGCUAAUUAGACUAGAAAUCUAAUUCUUAAAGUAAUUUGAAAAAAUUAAUGACAAAUCCAAAGUGAACAAAUAUUUAGGAAAAUGGGAACUUAUAGAUACUGUUGAUAGUUUCAGUUGGUAUAGUUACUUUGCAGAAGAGGUUUGUAAGAUCAAGUCAAUUUUCAGAUGAACAUAAGUAUCACCUGAGAUUACAACAUAGCUUUUUAGAUGCUUAAGAAGUCUAUGAUCUAAUUACAAAAUUGUUUAUAAUAACAAACGGCUGAUCAAUAUAAAUAUCCAUCAGCAGAAGAAUAUAUAUAUAUAUAUAUAUAUAUAUAUAUAUAUAUAUAUAUAUAUAUAUAUAUAUAUAUAUAAUCUAUUAUGGUAUAUUCAUAAGGUAUAAACCAGAGAGCAACUCAACUAAAUAAAAAAGAGAAAUAUAUCAUAUGGGAAUGAGUAGGCAAGAUCCAGAAUGAUAUAUAAUGCAUGAUAGAUUUAAUGGCAUGCAAAACAACAAUAAAUACUGUUUAUAGAUAUGUACAAAUGUAACAUGCUGUGAAAACAUUUAAUGCAAAGACCCAUAUCAUUUCUAUAAUGGUGGUUAUCUCUAGGAGAAAAAGUACAUUGGGACGGAAAGGAAUAUAAAAUGUUUUUUAUCAGUCACGUUUGACUUCAAAAUAGUUUGGAAAGAAUUUGUUAAACAUAAGAAUUGAUUAUGUAUGUUUAUUAUAAUACUCUAUUAUUUUCUGAACAUGAGAAACUUUUAAUUAAAAUUUAUCAAAAUAUAUACUUGAGUUAUUAUUUUCCUAGUUUCUACUUUAAACUAUUUAAAACACAUUGCUCUUUUGGUUGCAUUAAAGUCCUUUUGUAAAUUAGGCUUUAUACAAAAAGUAGCUAAACAUUACCAGAUGGGGAGGAGUUGAACAUUAGGUAUAUAAUGACAGCAAUUAAAGAGAGAGGUUUAAGAUAUUUUAUAGGUAGUGCAUUCUCUGUAAUGCAAGGAAAAAAAUAGUAGACAGAUGUCUCAUUAGCUAAUGCACCUCGUAUAUUUUUCUUCUGUAAUUUUUUGACAGCAUCACCCAGCAUCCCAAAUAAGCAUAAGAAUGAGUUUGGUUGUGAAAUGAAACAAAAUAUAGAGGGUUUGCUAUGGCUAUCUUUCAAUCUGGACAGAUGACAUUCAUUCACUGGAAAAUAUAUUGGGCUUGGUUAAAAUUGCAUGGUGAUUUAAAUAGGCUUGGCAUGUCUCCAGGGCCACUGGAGGGUUGUCUUCAGCUUUUGAGACUGAAUUUCCUGGAGGUGUUCCUUGGACUGGUGUGACUUAGUUUAUCUCUAUUCAUAACAUUAUCAUUUUUUUUACAUAAUCCCAUGUAUAUCAAUAACUUUCUAAUUAGAAUAUAACAGCAGCUAUUUAGUUUCAAAUCUCCAGGAAAGUGUCACCUUGUCAGGGAUUUUUAAUGUGCAUUGAUAACUAAGAAAAUGGAUGUUCUGAGGCCAUAUAACAUGAAGGAGAUGAAUUUAUUGCUGUUAGUGAGGACUUUGACAUCAAGAAAUAGUUUUCUGCUUAUAGUCUAUAUACUUCUCAGGCUCUAUAGUGCUGAGUUGAUCUUGUUGCCCUUGCCUAUUCUGAACUUUCAGAGAUAUAAAUCGUCUCUAUUUUAGAUUCAUAAGUUUUAUACUGUUUCUUUUCAUCAGGGAUAUUGGAGUUGAAAUUAGUUUCAUUAGAAUUUCUCCAACAGUGCUUGAUGAAAAGCAUUAUCACUCUUUCCAUAUUAUUAGUGUAUUCAAAAUGAAACAUUUUGAGGAAUUGAAAUGAAUGAUGGAUGUAUAUACAGUAUUGGUUAAAACAGUUGCUGGAAAUGGCCUUGCCACAUGCCUGAGAAACAGGAAAAUCCAGUACCUUUGAUCAUAUGUUAAAUGCACACAUACAGUAAGUAAAUAAGAGAUAAAUAAGUAACUGUGACUUUAAAAGUAGUGAUAAAGUUUGGUUAUUUUCAUUAGCCAAUGAGUCCAUCAAGCAGGAAUACUUGAAAUCUGGUAUAUUAAAUUACUAUGUCUAAAUUUUUGAGAAAGUAAAGUGAUAUUUGCAACUCAAAUGUGUAUGGAAAGCAAUAGUAAUGGAAAAAGCAUGAACCUUACAGUUAGGAAAAUUAUGGUGACUUUUUGGCUUAGGUGUCACUAUUCUAUUUCUGUUGAGUUUUGUCCACUGUUAAUUGUACGAUGAUAUUUUAGUGAUUGUCAUGAGGAUUUCAUUGUCUGAUCUACAUUCAAUUAUCUCUAAUUUUGUCAGGCACAUAGUAGGGGACUCACAACUAUUUUUGAAACAAUGGUAUUCAUAUACACAAACAUUCAUGAAUGCAUGAAUAAGUAAAAAGGGUAUGGUCUUGCACAAAAGUGGUUAAUAAGUAUUUGUUACACUUCUAUUCCUUCUGCCUUCAGAAUAGUUGUGAUCAUUAAACACGUGAAUAUAUAUAUAUAUAUAUAUAUAUAUAUAUAUAUAUAUAUAUAUAAAGAGCUACUGAAAAAAAGUGUCAGCUUUCUUUCAACAUCGUUGCACACACGCCCACAUAAACAUGUCUUUAUCUAGCAGUCUGUAAAUGCAUACUUGCUUCUAAAUUAUUGUACAACAAAAUACUUAACCACUUAGCAUGGCAAAGACAAAUGUGUAGUAGGUUAACAGCAAGUUGAAUAUGUGGUUAUUAUUUAAUGUAUCUAAAAUUAAACUAUUCAUUAUACUUCCCAUCCACUCUGAGUCCCAGAGUAUGUCCAAUGUAUGAGAUAUAAUUCAGCAUUCAAUUCUAGACGCUUAUAAAAUUCUUUUGUCUAGGUACAUCUGCCACCUCCAACUUUCUGAUACAUUACAGUUCUCUGAUAGUAGAGCUAUAACUUCUCUUAUGCCAUAGCACAAAGCUAAAUAUGUCUAUCAAAUUACAUUAGUUAGGAUGAUGUGAAUUAAUAUUCCCUGGUAUGUCCUUUCUUAUUAUCAAGUGAACAAUACUUUUACCUGUUAUUGUUACUAUCAUCAUGCAAAUAUUCAGGGAAAUCAAAAUAACCUAGCUAUUUAUAAAAGACAUACCUGAAACAAAAAUAGUAUCAAAAACUUGGAAAAAAAAGAUAUAAUUCACUAUGCAAAAAAUAACAAAAUACAGUGGAAAAGCUAUGAAUAUGACAUAAAAUAAAAGUUUAAAAGAAUUUAGUGAAAUGAACAAAAAUUUUUGAUUGAUAAAAGAUAAAUUCUGCUGGGUACAGUGGCACAUUUCUGUAAUCCCAGCAGGUCCCAAAGCUGAGGAAGGAGGAUUGUGAGUUCAAGACCAACAUCAGCAACAGUGAGGCACUAAGCAACUCAGUGAGACCCUGUCUCUAAAUAAAUACCAAAUAGGGCUGGAGAUGUGGCCUAGUGAUCAAGUGCCCCUGAGUUCAAUCCCUGGUACCCUAACCACUGCCCCCUCCAAAAAGAAGAUAAACUCCACUGGAGAGGUAUAUCAGUUAAGAACUUUUAAGAACUUAAGAAAUGCAAAGAAAAUAUAUAUGAUCACAGAAAUUUCCUCAGAAAAUAAAAGAACAAGAUAAGAAAUACAAUCAUCCUGUUUCUAUACAGAUGCAUAGGUACAUUUAGAUAUGAAUCUUGUAUGUAUUUGGGUAAGAUCAGACUCAUUUCUCUGAAACUUCAAGUAGUACUGAUGGACCAAAAAGUUUCAAAAUACAAAUGUAAUUAGGUUAGAGUCAGUGGUUCAGAAAGACAUAAUGAUCUUCAGCUUCCUUCUGGGGUUCACAGGCUUCACUUCUUGCUACUCAUGCUUAACCUUCUGUUGUGGCUAGGGACAUGAGAUAAAGCCUGUGUGAGUAGACCAAGCUUACCUGGUCACACAGGUUAGAGACCCUGACCAUUCAGCUGCUGGCAGACCAGGCCCAUUAUGUGUGGUUUCCAUGACUGCAUAAUGGUUAGUAAUCACUCAUUCUCAUCAUGUAACUGAUAAAAAUAACAUCAGAUGAGUUAGGGUAUAGAUUAUAGCAAAGCCUAUAGAUAACAUAAAGUAUAGGAUAUGCCUUUUAUUCUUAAGUGUGGGAUUUUAUGAAGAAGCUUGGGAUUCCCAAGUAUCACAUGCCCAGCAGGAUACCAAAGAUUUGCUACCUUAAAUUUAUAUGCUCACAGAUAUCUGAACAGAAAAGAUAAACAAAAUAAAAUAUGUAAGGUACAACUAUGUCCCACAUACCAUUGAAGAUAUCUUUUAUGGUAUAGCUGGAUAUAUGAGUGUUAGACACUGCUAACAUUUUUGGAGAAGGCACAGUAAAACUGCAUCCAUUCAUUGCUGAAGGCCAAUGGAGAUUAACAUCUUUAAAAAGAUGCUCUACACUUUUGAAUAAUUUGAUGUGUUAAAGUUUAAUAAUGUAUCACAGCUGGAGGCCACAGUGGUUUUUUUUCAUUGAUUUAAUAAACUUUGUUAAAAAUAAUUUAAAUGAAAAUCAAUUAUUUUGACAGAAUAUUAAAACAUGUUAGGAAGUACAGUAAAGAUAUUAAAUUAAUUAGACCUUUCAUUCUGCAAAUCUCUAAAAUUAGUGAGAUAAACAAAUUUUUAAAAAUCUUAAAUAUGAAAUGAAGAAACAUUUCAGAGUGUAGUACUUUCUUUCGGCUAACUUAAAAGACAGUAACCAAGAAACUGUUGUAAUUAUGAUUGCCCAUUAAUAUAGGCCUUGAGAUACGAACAUUCUUUGUGAAGAAUAUGGGCUUUGAGACUGCCAACAUUACUUCUGUGAAAGGGAAAAAACCCUGGGAAUUAUGUUUUUGUAUGAUCCUGGAUUUUUUGAUCUCAUGUAUAUGAUUUGCAUCCUUGCUAGAAAAACAACAAAAUAAAACAAACAAACAAACAAACAAACAAAAAAGAGAAAAUAAUGAGAAGGAAAAAAAACCCUCAAGUUCAUAUUACCACUGUUGCUGGAUUCUCAUCCCUAGAACCUCUGUGGUCUUCUGAUGCUCAGCAAGUGUCCAUAAGUGUGUACUUACGGGUAUUUGAAUUCAACAGAAUAGUCCAUUUAUAAGAAAACACCCACAUGCAUGACCCACUGUACAUAUGCACACUCACAAAUACACAUGACACCCCAAUAACUGCCCAAACACAGGAUUUAUUUGAUAUAAUCUCUUUAAAAAACUCAAUAAAGGGGGCUGGGCAUGUGGCUCAAGCAGUAGCGCGCUCGCCUGGCAUGCGUGCGGCCCUGGUUCGAUCCUCAGCACCACAUACAAACAAAGAUGUUGUGUCCACCGAAAACUAAAAAAUAAAUAUUAAAAAAUUCUCUCUCUCUCUCUCUCAAAAAAAAAAAACUCAAUAAAGCCAAAAUUGAAUUUAACAGGUUGUAAUAAAGCUAAUCACACUAGGAUAAGUAAUACUGUGAUUUUAAAAAUACUAGCAACAAAAGUAGAAUAUUUGAAGAGAAAGUAGAAAGAAAACCCUCAGAAUUCCAACCUAAAGGAUCUAGCCAAAAAGAAACAAUCUGGAGAAUUUAUAGUCUUGAAAAUAUCCUUUAGGGAAUUCGACACUGCCCAUCCCCAUUCCACCCUCAAAAGGUGACUAGAGGUAAACAUAGUUGUGUGUGUGUGUGUGUGUGUGUGUAAGGAGAGAGAGGGAUAAUCAUCCCUCACUAUCCAUGGGAGAUCAUUCCAUAACCUCUUCUGGAUACCAAAAGUCACAGAUGCUUUAGUCUCUUAUAUAAAAUGACACAGUAUUUGCAUAUAACCUGUAAAUAUUCUCCUGUAUUAUUUAUCAUACCUAAUACAAUGUAAAUGAUAUGUUGUUGUAUUUAAUCAUUAGUGAAUAUAGUUACAUAGUAGUUAUAUUGCUUUGGGAAUAAAGACAGGGAAGUUUAUAUGUUCAGUAUAGAUGUGGCUGUUUUCCUUAAUGUAUUGGUUUUGUAGGUAUAGAACUCAGAUAUGGAGGGCAGACUGUAUAUGAAAACCACAGUAGAAUUAAAGAAUUAAGACAGAAGCAGAAAAUAAGACUUUCUUAAAGUUAUGCUAUGAAUUGAACACAUUUUGUAAACUUUUCAUUCCACUGUAAACAUUAAAACAUUGUAUACUGAAUGUUUUAAAUUAAAAAAAAAAGGUUUAAAAUGCAAGAAAAAAUGAAUUUCCAGGGAUUAAAGUAAAAAAAAAAUCACCACGUUAAACUAUGAUUGGAACCUGAAGCUACAUAAAAUAAGAAGUGAACAUAGCAGCCUGGUUCUUAACAUAUGUGUACAAUAUGGGAAGCCUGUGUAUUGCAGCCUGUGUAUUGCAAGAGGUAAAAUUGGAUCCACUGAAGAAAGUUUGCAAUUGCCUAUUCAUGGAUAGAACUAAAAUAAUUUUAGAUCUUAUCAUCUCCCAUAUCCACUCCCACUCCUGCUCAAACUAUAAACCAAGUUAAAAGAAAAGCCACAGAUUGGAAAAUUGUUAUGAUUAUUGUAAUUGUAAUAUUAUCAUUGUAUGGGUUAUAAAAAGAUACUUAUAAUCAAUGAAAAUAAGGGGAAAGCGAUUAAAAAAUAGUAGUUCAAGAAUAUAAAUAAAACAUUCACAGAAGAGGAAAUCCGGCUGUGUUUCUAUUUACCUUCUCAGGUUCAGGGAAUUGGAAAUUGCUGAAUAAUGACAUGCCAUUUCCAGCUAUCAUACUUUUAAAUUGGCUAUAUAAUCUUUUAGUUUUAACUAGGAUGUGAGGAAGUAAACAUUCUCAUGACACGCUAGGAGCUGUGUAUAUAGAUGACUUUUGCUGUAUACAACUUAUUAACGAACUUUCAAAAGCUACAUGAAAUAAACGUAUUUUAGAAAAUGACAAAUUAAUUCAAGAUUCAGAGAACAGACUAAUAGAUCAACUAUGUUACAGGAAAUUGAAAAUAAGCAUAAGAAUGCUGCAAAAAUGUAGUAGGCUUACAAAAGUUCAGAAUCAUUUUUUGAUUAAACAUUCCAGUAUAGAAUAUUUGUUCAAUAUGUCAUAUUAACUAUUCAUAAUGCACUUAUUUCCCCAUAGGAUAUAUAAGGUCAGCUAUGAUACAAAAAUUAGAGAAAUAAUACACAAAACUUAUAAAACAAUAUUAUUUAUGGAAAUCCAAAUAUCCCAAAUACAGUUUUUAAUUUAAAUUUCAAUAUAUUAUAAUAAAUAAUCAUAAACAGGAGAUUAUCCUAGUGAUAAAAUGGUAUUUCAAUAUUUUAUUGUAUUAUAAACUGUUAUAUUAAAAGAAUAAAACAUACUGUAAAUAUCUCAGUAGUUGAAAAGCUAUAUAAUAUAGUUCAACACUUAACUUUUUUAGAACCUCAUGAUAUGCUAAUAAAAUCAGUAAAAAUGGCUAAAUAUUUUCACAUAUAUAGCUAGAUACAUAUAUAAAAUAAAUAUGCAUCUAUCAUCUAUCUAUAUAUAAUUUCAGCCAAAUUUAUUGUAAAAGAUCAGACAGUAAAAUAAUUUUAGCUGUGUUUCAUAUUCAAAUUUGCUCAAUAUUGCUGUAUAAAAGUACUUAUGGAUGAUAUGUAAAUAAGUGAUGAUGGCAGAGUUCCAAGGAAACCUUACUUAUUUAUAAUAACCAGCAACUGGGAAUUUAGUUCAUGGGUCCUAGUUUGCUAAAUUCUACCAUAGAAACUCUGUUGAGACUUAAACUCAUGCAUGAACAAUUAGAAAUAUUGCCACAAAAUUUAGGAACAAUAUAUAGAAACACAUUUUCUUAAUCCAUUUUAGUUGCUAUACGAAAACACUCUAAUUUAGGUCAGUUAUAAACAACAGAAAUUUUGUUUCUCCCAGUUCUGGAAGCCAGGAAAUCUUAGAUCAAGGUAAAUUUGUUGUUUGAGAGGGCUCUUUACUCGUGACAGCUACUUUCUUACUUUAACUUUCCUUGGCAGAAGAGCAGAAGGAUUUUUCUUGAAUCUCUCUGGUAAGGGGAAACUAAUUCUACUCCAUGUGGCUCUGUCUUCGUGAUCUAAUCGUUAAUUAAACCAUCCAGUAUAGAAUAUUUAUUUAAUAUGUCAUAUUAACUAUUCAUAAUGCAUUUAUUUCCCCAUAGGACAUAUAAGGUCACUCCUAAUAUAAUCAACAAGAGGUCAAGAAUUUCAGCAUAUGAAUAUGGGAGUGACAUAAUCCCAAAGAGCACAACCCCAAUGACCUACUUCCUCCAGCUAUCCCUCAUUUCCUACAGUUACCACCGAGUAAUCAUUCAAACUAUUAAGGAAGCAAAUGGAUGAAUGCAAUGAUUAUGUUUCAGCUCUCAUAAUCUAAUCAUUUCACCUCUGAACAUUUCUUCAUUAACAUGUGAGUUUUUACAGUUAUCACUUCAUAUCCAAACCAUAACAUAUCCUUAUAUCUAAGAUCAACUCUACCACUCUAUACUCGUUUCAUGUAUUAUCCCAGUUUUGUUCUAAAUAGUUGACAUCAAAGCAUUUUGGCCAACUCCAACACAACCCAGUGUUUGCUAUUUUCUCCAAUAAAAAUGUGUGUGUGUGUGUGUGUAUAUAUAUAUAUAUAUAUAUAUAUAUAUAUAUAUAUAUAUAUAUAUAUAUAUAUAUCUUAUAUUUUAAAUAUACUUUUCAUGUUUCUGUGAUAUUCUAGGUCUAAAUUCUGUUAUGCCAAUGUUGUUUCAAUUAGCUGUGACCAAAAUUUCUGACAGGAGCAGUGUAGAGGAGGAAAUAAUUAUUUUGGCUCUUGGUUUCAGAGUUUGAGUCCAUGGUCAACUGGCUCUAUAGCCCUGGGCCCAAGGUAAGUCAGAAUAUCAUGGCAGGAGGGUAUGACAGGGAAAAGCUGCUCAGGACAUGACAACCAGGAAGCAGAGAGCUUUGCUUACCAGGGACAAAAUAUAAACUGGAAUGACAUGACCCUAGUGACCUACUUCUUCCCAUCACAUCCUACCUGCCUACAAUUAAUGCCCAGUUAAUUCAUAUCAGUGAACCAAUCCAUUGAUUAAUCAAAGAUUUCAUCAUCUCAUCAUUUUAUAAUAUUCAUAAUAUUAUAUAUAAUAUAUGCAAUAUUAUAUGUAAUAUAUAAUUCAUAAUAUUAUAUAUAAUAUAUACAAUAUUAUGUGUAAUAUAUAAUUAUUAUAUGUAACAAAUAAUAUUGUAUAUAUUAUAUACAUAUUUUAAUAUUCAUAAUCUCUGAAUAUUCUUGUAUUUUCUCACACAUGAAAUUUUGGGGGGGAUACCUCAUAUUUAAACCAUAACAAAUGUAGAAUUCAAAACAAAACAUGUUAAAGACAUAUCAGCCUCAUAUCAUAUUCAGCCUCUAUUGUUUCUUGUUUCUAAAGGCAGAUGAUUAUAGUUUAGCUUCUACUAAUGAAAGAACACAUAUGGGAUGGAACUCAGAACUGAGUAAAAUGGAAAAAGAGAUUGGACCAAGAGUAGUCAUUUUUGUUGGCUUGUGUUUAUCAAAGACAGCUGAGUUCUAGAGUCAGCCACUAGGAAGACAAAUUCCUGAUUCUAUUACUUUAUGAUCAUGACAAAGGCAGUAUUGGUACUACAUCCCUACAUCAAAACAACAACAACAAAAAACAAACAAACAAACAAAAAACCGCAGCUUUGGCUUCCAGUUUUUUAUAGUUUCCUUCCUAAGCAUGGAAGAAAGUACAAAUCUGGAAACAAUAUUGAUGUAAGUAGUUUCCUCAAUCAGAUCUUCCAGUCAUAGAGAGAGCAGUGAAUCUUGCCUAAAGGAUCUUUCUUGGCAUGCCUUUUAUGUUCUUCAAACUCUUUAUGUUUCCCAAUAAAUCUCUUUCUGAUUAAAUUAUCUAUAGUGGAUUCUGUUAUUGGCAACUAUGAUUCCUAAUGGACCAAACUGCUGUGGGGUUGGUAACAUAGAGGCCAGAAACAAUGAGAUAAAAUACAUUGCAAAAGAAAUGGUUAUUAUUGUUACUAUUACUAUUAUUAUUAUGUAAAUUAUUUAUGAAUGCUUAAAGUUGUUUAUAAUUAUGUAACAUUCUGGGUUCAGUGAUAAAUUGUUUGCUUUGUUUUGUUAACACCCAUCCACACCUCAACAUGAGCCAGCAUUCCAAAAGGAUAUAAGAGGCUGACACUAGAACCACUAUUCUAGUUUUUACUGGGUGUUUGUAAAACUGAUUUUCUCACAUGACAUGUUCUCAAUUCUUUCUCAUGGGACUGUACUUUACCUAAUAAGGAAAAAUUGGUGAGGAGUAAGUAUAUAAAGUUUAUUCUUAGUUUCUGCCUGUAUUUCAUGCUCUAGUCAUUCAAAUACCCUUACCUACAGCAUUACUAUAGGCAAUUUAUCACUGAGCAUAGCCUCAGAGUGCUUAAAUCUGAGUCCUCUUGCUUUUCAUUUCAACAAAUGCUUAGCACAAAGGGUUCUUAUUUGUUGUUGGGAAAAUCUCUGUCUUUAACAGUCCAUUUGUUCUCUCAUUUUGCAGUAAUAGAAAACCAGCUGUGUAACUAAAAUGCAUGCAUGACAUAAUUCUCAUCAAAUGAUAUUAACUUACUCAGGUAAAAUAUUGAACAUACAAUAACUUGAAAAUAAUGUAUUAUCAGCCACCGGUUUGCUUCAGUUUUAUGUUUUGUAUACCUAGCCUAAAUUAACUUUUUUACAAAGGAAUAAGAAUUUUAAAAGCACUAGUAUGGUGUACAUUCCAUAAGAACAAGGACAGUGUGUUAACUCAUCUUUCAUCAAUGUGACAGAAACAACAACAACAAAAUAACAAGAACAACAUAGAGGAGUAAGUAACUUCUGAUAUCAGAAGUUCAGUCCAUAGAGAACUGACUCCUUUGCUCCAGGUUCAAGAUGAGGCAAGAGCAUUCUGGUAGAAGGAUAUGGUGAGAGGUGCUGCUCCAUUCAUUGCAUCAAGGAAGCUUCCUUCCAGGGCAUACCCUCAGUGAACAACCUCACCCAAUCACCUGCCUACUGUUAUCACUUAGUCCAUUCAAAUUAGGAUGGACUGAUUUGAUUACAGCUCUUGGAAUCCAAUCAUGUCUCCUCCAAACAUUUGUGUUAUAACACAGGGUUAUUUUAAGGGACACCACAUAUCCAAACCACAACAGAAAAGUUCUUAAACUCAUCUCCAAAGUAAAUUUAAGGAAAAGAGCAAAAAAUUGCCUGCAUUGUUCAGAACUAUCAGUCUUUUGUAUUUUUUUUAAAUCCCAUUUCUUAAAGCCAUGGGGGAAAGAAAGAAUAGAAAUGACUGAGCCCUAGAGAAGAGGGGAUAAACAGCUGAUAAACAUAACUUGUUUUUUCCUAGAAUAUUCUGAGUUUCACCCUCAUGGUUUCUGUCAAAGAUAAUAAUAACAAAAAUAACUAAAACAAAAACAAAGAAUGAAUUUGCUUUGAAUCAGUCUGCGUGGCCCAGACAUCUUUGAUGAGGAAGAAGAUUCAGAUUCUUCAUUAUAUUAAGCUAUAUAAUUUUUAAAAAUUUUUUAGUCUGAGUCUUUCUUUAAUUUAGCCUUCUGAUAAAAUAUAUUCAAACUUUUUAAUUAGUGUAGAAUAUUUAACUAGUUUAAAUUUAACAUUAUGUGACUAUUAAGUGGGAAUUAAAAAAAUAAAAUAAAGAGGAUUCCCUAGUUACCUUCACUCCCUUUCUCCACUCUUCUGGAGAAUUUCGGUACCCUAUAUUUGCAUUAUGCAACUGGUCUCCUUGUUUCAAUAAGUUCCCAACUCAAAAAUUAGUAAACUUUUUCUGUAAAGAAUCAUUUAGUGGAUAUUGUAGGCUUUUGUCUCUGUUGCAAAUACUUAACCGUAUUGUGCAAGCACAACCACAAACAAUAAUUAAACCAACAUAUCUGACUAUGGUACAAUAAAACUUUUUUUUAAUAUAAAAACAGGGAUUAGACUAGAUUUGGUGUAUAGACUUCUGUUUUCUGAUCUCUGCCCUUAAAUUAAUUAACCAAUCAAUCAAAAUAAUUUGUUUUAAAAAAGCACACCACCAGUUUGGUAACUAUAACAUUUAAAAUAUUCUUUGGAGAUGGAUAUAGUGGAUUUUUUAAUGUCAAGUAAAUGUUAUUUAACAAAGAAUAUCAAAGGACAUUAGAUUUGGGGUCCAGGGCAGAAAAGCAAGUAGUGGUUUCAACAUUUACAAAAAAAAUGUCCAGAAAAUCAAAAGCUUUUGCAUAGGAAAUAUGGUCAGGAGAAAACAGAAGGUUAUUUGCUCCUUCAGAGCAUUAUGUUCCAAACUUAUAGACAUUCAUCUUUCUCUUCUGCUUUCCUUCCAAAAUCCAUUUGAUGAACAGAUUUGUCUUCUGGUAUAAAGACUAUGGAUCAUUCGAAUUAAGUAACCUGAAAAAGGUGAACAUUGAAAAGUGUUCAAAUGAAUUGUACUUAGCACUUAGCUUGAAGGGGACUUUCAACAAACAAAUGUUUUGGUAUCUUUUUUUUCUUUGAAAGGUAAUUAUUUAUUAUGGUAGAAAUUACAUAAAAUACACAUUGAUUUAUUGUGCAUGUUUCAUGUUAAUUGAAUCUUCAAGUCGGAUAGCUGCUAUAACUUGAUACAUUUACUUCUUGGUAUUGUCUUGGCAAUGUAUGUAAUUUUUGAUUUCUUAUUGAGGAUAAUGCAUAUAAGUUUCAGAAAUAACCUCUAAGCACCAAGACAGAACUUUUGAUGUCCAUUUUGAUUGUAGUUAUUUUAGGCUUAAAACAGCCAAGAUCCCAUUCCACAUGAAAACAUACACUAACCCUCUGAGAGUUGUCAAAAGAAACAUUAAAUCCCCAUAUUCAUUGAUAAAGACAAUUUCAUUUUGUUGCUCCUUCUUUCCUCUCCAUUUCUUUCUUAAUAGUUUUAUUUCCAAGUAUUCAUGCUAGACAUACAAAAUGACAUUAAUGCACUUGUAAGAGUUUGGAAGAUGAUAGAGCAGAGCAUAUCAAAACUAUCCUAGAAUCUGUGUCAACAUUUAUUCUUUAUCUCGAAAUAAAGAAAUGAAGAUUAUUAAUUUGAAAUGAACAUGUAUUUCUAAUCAUUAAUAUAACAUGCUUAACAUAUAUACCCAUGUUUUAUAAUACACAUUUAUCCACUUAUAUUUAUUGUAUAGAUUGACAUUAGUAACUUCACUUAGUUUCUAUUAAAGAUGACCCUGUCUCAUAUGGAAUUGCCAAUAUAUCCUGAGCAAAGAGUCAAUAUUCCCUGAUGUGGAAUGCAUAAGACUAUAAAUGCUGUGGAAAAGUCUCAAUAUGUCUCAUUUUAUAUUAUGUGUUGUGAGUGAUUUUAUCUUAAAAUAGCAUGCUAAUUAAAAUAUCAACUUUUUUCCAAGCCACUAAAGAAUUAUCAUAGAAGCAGUAAAGAAAUUUCAAAAAGAAUAAAGAUCAUCAACUAUUGUUUAAAAAAACAAUCAUUUAUUAUUGUUUUAAAGAAACUACUUAAAAUGAUGUUUUAAAGGAACAAAUUUGUUUUGUGGAAUAUUUUUAUAAACACAAUUCCCAGUUGAAAAAGUGGCUUGAUUAGAAUAAAAAGUAAACAAGCAUUUCAACCACUGAAAGGGACUCUAAGUAGAUUUCAUUAUUACUACCUUGUUCCUAUUCCACUGUUUCCUUCCCUACUUCUGUAUUGAGAUGAGUUCUUGAAGUUCAUCUCCCAUCAUGCCACUACCUCUGUAAACAUUCCCUUCUUGAAAGAAUUGUGUUCAACACUUUGUGAUCAUAUUAUUUUUUUUCUCAUCUUUCAACAUUUUAUUAAAAGCAGAUACUCUUGCCACAUUAGACUACAUGAGCAUUUCUAUAUAGGCUUUGUCUAGAAAAUCAUGGACCUUUCUCUUCCCUUUCUCUAUCAAAUCUUUGCAUUGUCAAAUGCUAUCUUCUUUAUAAGUCAUUUUCUAUCCUCCCCAUUGAGAUUUUACCUUAUUCUUUUAUGUUCUCAUUUUUCAUAGUUGUCUUAUCUUUUAUGUGGUUUGAAAGAAACAACUAUUUUUUUUUCUUAUUUGUCAUUGUCCACAUAAGGGUUCUUUGAUGAGUUGAAUUUGUUUCUCCUACUCCAGGACCAUAAACUGUCUCUACUUGAUUUCUUUCUGAGCCCCAUCACUGAAUACCCUUUAGUAUGAAAAAUAAUUUUUCAAAAUUUUUGCAGCCAUUUUUAUGUUUAAUUAAAUCAUGCACUUCAGGAGGGCAAAACCCAUGAAUUAGUUUUUAUUCAAUCCUGGUGACACCUAAACCAGAGCUUACUAAGUUUAUGACAGUUAGUAGGUAUUUGUUAACUAAGCACAUAAGCAUUAUUUGUGAUUUAAUGCUAUGGUUUUGCUUAGUACUGGACCUAUACUCAAUAUAUUUUGUAUCAGAUUAUACUUUUCAAAGACAAUCGCAUAAUAUUUCUCUUCCAUUAACACUGUCUAUGUUAGGAAGUAAAUUGUCUGUACUCUCCUCUUGCACUUGAGUAGGCUCUUGGGUUGCUUAUAAAUAAUGCAAUGCUGUGGAAACAAUACAGAUAACUUCUGAAUCUUAGUUAUAAAAGACUCUGGGGCUUCUUGCUUUGUUUUCCAGAACAUUCUUACUUGGAGACCUGAGUAGCCAUAUAAGAAAUCUGACUACUGUGAAACUACCACCGUCUGAGGAAGCAAGGAGAGGAUACAUGUUGACUCUACAGUUUGAAAUCACAGUCUUCUGAGUUCAGGUGUCAGUCAUGUGAGUGUUAUAGUCUGAACAUGUUUGUUUCCUCAAAAAUUCAUGCUGAAACUUAAUGCAAUAGUAUUGGAAGGCAUUUCCUUUGGGAGGUGAUUAAGUCAUAAGAGCAGAGUCUUCAUGAAUAGGAUCAGGGGCUCUUAUGAAAGGCAUUGACAGAGGCCUUCUGUCUCAUCUACCACAUACAGAAACAUGAUCCUUCCCUCUAGAGAAUGAGGCAUCAAGGUGCCACAUUGGAAGCAGAAAGCACACACAUAAAUUAUCAGAAAAGCACCACUAAGGAUUCAUAUUGGAGUUGCAACUAGCAUUAUUCAAGGGUUUAUGGUAUAUUUUUAUCAUCCAACUAAAAUGAAGUAAAAAAGACUGGCAUUGCAGUCAAGUUCAUAUCAAUGCAUCGAAGGGAAAGAAUCAGCUAAUGUUAUACUUGCUUACUGACAUCAUUAAUUAGUGAUAUUCAUUUGAUCUAGGUGUAUAAAAAUAGUAGAUAGAAUUUAUUCUUGAAAUAAACCAUGGAGACUAAAAUUGAUAGUAGUACCUAAGAGAGAGGAAAGGUUAUAUUUUGGAGUUAGUUUCAUAGUACAAAUCUAUAUAUCACUGUGCCUUUUUAAUGCAUCCCUACAUUAAUCUUAGAUUUAAUGUGUGAAGUAUAUGGAACAAAGAGACCUUAAGGAUUGUAUCAGAGAAAAAGGAACUUGGCUUUGUUUUUACUAUUUUUGAGCACAUAUUGGUUUGACUAAUUCCCAAGAACUAUAUUUUAGUAAUACAUAUUGAGGGUCAAGUUUUAUUUAUUUAUAUAUUCAAAUUUGCAGGAAAUUCUCCACGAUUCCAAAGAGAAUGUCCUCUUUCUCCAUUUACUGUAGGAUUAUUUCAUUGCCUGGUACAUGUUUCUGUGGAAUUAAAGUAAUGUGAUUUGAGUUGGAAUAAAUUUGCCUCACUCAAAAAAAUAAUAAUAAGCACCAAACUUGUAGGUGCUUUUUAUUUGAUUCAUUUACUCAAGAAAACAAAAUUUUAUUUGUAAUUAUUGGUUUGAUUCUUUUGAGGAGAUGCCAAUACUCAUACUUACCUAAGACAAAUAUUUAUAAAUAAUUAUCGAAUUUUCCUCAUUUAGUCUGGUAAUAGGGUCAGAAUUCAUAAUGGAGUGAUUCAUUGAAUAUCUAUGAAAUUCUGAAAAUUGGUGUAUGACUUGAAAUGUUGUCAUUCUUGUUUACUGGUAUCAUUAAUUGAUAUUUAAUAGAGAUAACUAUAUACUUAUUUGGGAAUAAUUGAAAUCAAUAUCUAGAACUUGCUACUGGCUGAUUAUUUUUAAUCUGACAUGUAUAUAUAUGCAACUUCUAUAGAUUAGAUAAAUGUAUACAUUUAUUAAAAUUUUAAUAAAACAGUGCAUGCAAUUAAUUUUUGUACCUUAAGUAUGUUUGAAAUUCUUUUUUAAAAAAUUAUAUACAGGGGCCGGGGUUGUGGCUCAGAGGUAGAGCCCUUGCCUAGCAUGCAUGAGGCACUAGGUUUGAUCCUCAGCACCACGUAAAAAUAAAAUAAAGGUAUUGUGUCCAUCCGCAAUUAAAAAAUAAAAGUUUAAGAAAAUUAUAUAGAAUUUCUUUCCAGAGCAGUUGGAACAGAAACAUAUGAAAAACUUUCUUCUUCAUGCUUUCUUUAAUUUCUGCUCUAUAACAAUUUAAACCUAACCAUAGGUAGAUUACAUUAUAAUCAAAGUGCUUCAACAAAGAGCACAGACACUUACCCAGAAAAGGAUAUGGGUAGGAAUAUUUUAGGAUACGAUUAUGUUGUCCUAUAAAUGGAGGCAAAUUCUUAAAAAGAUUUUUUUUGUUUGAACUUCCAUAUAUCUGUGAUUAAGUUUUUUAUUGAUUCAAUUUAGUUAUGCAUGACAGUAGAAUUCAGUUUGACAUAAUUAUAAAAGCAUAGGAUAUAAUUUGUUCUAAUUCACUUCCCAGUACUUCCCCUUCAUCUCCCCUCCUCCCUCUCCCUUUUCCUGCCCCUCUGUUCUAUUAAUCUUUUUGCUCUCUACUUAUAGUUUCUUUUUAAUUAGUGUUUUAUAGGUGUGCAUGAUGGUGAGAUUCACUGUGGUAUAUUUAUUAGGUACAUAGGAAAAUUAGGUCAGAUUCAUUUCAUUGUCUUUCCCUUCCCUGCAUUUCCUUUUGCCUACUCCACGGAUCUUUCUUCUUUUUUUUUAAUAUUCAUUUUUUAGUUGUAGUUGGACACAAUACCUUUAUUUUUAUGUGGUGCUGAGGAUCAAACCCAGGGCCUCACACGUGUUAGACAAGUGUUCUACCACUGAGCCACAACCCCAGCCCUUUUCUUCUAUUCUUAAAAAGAAGAAUGACUUUAUGAUAUUUGCCAGUAAAUGAAUGGAACUGGAGACUAUCAUGCUAAGUGAAAUAAGCUAAUCCUCAAAAGUCAAAGAUCAAAUGUUUUCUCUGAAAUGCAGAAGCUAAUCCCAAAUAAAGAAUGGGGAAUAAAAAAAGAUUGAGAGAGAAUAGAAUAAAGAUCUAUGAUUAAGUUUUGAGGCACUGCUACUUUAGGAACAAAAAGCUUUCAAGCUUAAAUCAUUCUUAGUGUAAUGUUCUCCUAAAGACAAAUGGGAAUGUUUCUAGCUGAGAAGUUGAAAGGUGAGAAAAGGCUAAGCUAAAACUAUCCUCACAGUACAGUGUUUCACUUAAUGAUAAAUGGUACUGCUUCAACCUGAGAAGAUGAAAGAUUUUGCAUUUACUUUGAAGCACAGCAAAAGCCAAGUGCUCACUACUACUGAUUUCAGGUGUGUCUAAAUAAGUGGAGUAAAUGGUAGAGUACAAGCCAUUAUUACACUGAGAAAAAUGUCAUUACUUGUCUCUUUCUUCUGGAAAACACAUUUUGUGCUGCCAAGGAAAAUCUUGUUGUCCAUAGAAGAAAAUUCAAAAAAAAUUAAAUGCUUAAUCAAAUCAUCUUUUUAUUCUUUUUCAGAAGAAUAUUUUAGAAAAAAAAAGAUCAAAGCUCACCAAAAUUAUCAGUUUAUUACUUUCCAAAACCUUUUGUAAUUGAGUACUUGUAAUGUGAAGCAUCCAUCAAAGAAUUUCAAUUUAUUUUGCUUAAACAUGUCACAUCCAUAAAAAGAGAAAUUAUUUGCAUAGUUUGUUGAUCAGAUUUUGUGUACACAAAACAUCUUAAAAAUAGAAGAUGACUUGCUUUUAAGUGAAGAAAAGGGCAAGCAAGAAAGGAGAUAUGAGUCAGUAUUUGAAUAUAUGCAAGUGUCAGGAUGUCUAUCUCCCAGAUUUUCAUUCAAACAUUUCUCACAAAAGGAUUAUUUUUCAAUUUUCAUAAAGGAAUGGUCCACAUUUAUAUAUCUCCACUGGCUUAUGACCAGUGUUAUUAGAGAGUGAACAGAACAUUCAGUCAGUAUUAUCCUAGAAAUUAUAAUUCUUAAAAGAGUACUAUUCCACCAUCUACAAUGACAACACAACUGAGAUUGUAGAUAAACUAAAACUUAAAUAUCUAGAAAUGACUAGAAUAAUUAGUGCCCAUAAAACAUAUAAUAGCUCUCAAUUUCUUCUUAGAUAAACUAUAAAGUUGUUCUUAUUUAGCUAUAGAUCUUGCUCUAAUUAAAAAGAAAAUGCUCCUAACUUUCUCUUUCUAUUGGUUUAUUGACCUGACUUCCUACCAUAAUCUGUUCCCACAAUUAGACUUGUAAAAUCAACCAUUUUUCUUUGCCUACUAAGACUUUUCAGACUAGAAAUAAGGGGGAAAAGGACAAGGAAACACAUUAGCUUGGUGACCAAUUCCUGUCCAUUUCCAAUAUGAAAUAUUCCAGGAGAAACUGCCUUGGACACUCUGCUGAUGCCAUGUUCUGCCCUGUGUUAAAAAUGGCCAUCUGAAUCAGAUCUUGGCUUGCUGUGCCUUUUGAAUACAGUGCCAUGGACUGCUCAUGGAGACUGGUGAGUUCUGCCCAAAUGAAUCCCUAACAUUCCCAGUCCAUUCCCAAACCUUUGCACAUUCAAAGUAUUUCUUGACUCCUUUAGAAUAAAUUUUUAGUUUCUUCAUCAUUGUCAUGUGGGUGGAUACAGGUUGAUUAAAAUUAGACUGUGUUGCAUGUAGUUUAUAAAUCCCUGGCUAAUUAUUUUGUUUUCCUUUUUCUUUCUUCUAUUUUUUGAUGAUAAACUUUGACCAGGGAGGGUUGUAGGAUAAUAAUGGAAAAUGCUAAUUUUUAUUAGUUCUUAAAAAUACUAUUUAUUGUAUAAAAACCAUAAGUUGCUGGGGGUGUAACUCAGUGGUAGAACAUCUGCUUAGCAUUUUUGAGGCCCUGAGUUCAAUCUGCAGGACCAAAAUAAAUAAAUAAAUCAUAAGAGAGAAGAAUAUGCAUUGAAGCAUAUUCUUUACUCUUCCUGAUAUUUAUUUUGUCACUAUGCAAUUUAUCUGGCUAUAGUGAUCAGAUUUCUGUUAAAAGAAAUACAUUUAUCUAUAUGUAAGUCUAAUUGUGUGUAUACAAGCAUGCAUAAGUUGUGGUGAGCCAUUCUUAUAGACCGUGGCCGCCAUUAGAAGAUGGCGCCGGCUUCCACUGUGGCCUGUGAUAAACAACUCCUUUUUUGGAGAGUUGGCACGCAAUCCCUUACCACCCUAUGAGAGAGAUCCACGUGGCAGCUUGGGAUUGGUAUGCGGGAGGCUUUAUUAGGCUGUGUUUGGGCACUCGGUGGGGGGGUCACUAGAAGAUGAUACAUGAAUCAAGGCCUGAAUAAACUGCUGAAAGAAGAAUCCUGUGUCGUGUUUUCCCUUGCCGGCGAGGGGUCGCGACAAUAAGUGUGUGUAGAUAGAUAGAUAUGAAUCUGUAUUUAUUUUCUCUUUCUCACUGUGAUGUGUAGCCUAUCGGUUUAAUUCCCUUGGCAGUUGAAAGGGCUGCCUGAAGCUAUUCUUCAAUCCCAGCUGUAUUUUGGAAUUUUCUUGGCUAAGAAAGUUACCUAUCCCAAAGUCACAGUUUCUAAGAUACAUCAUAACUAAUGACUAUUCAAUGACAGAGCAUAAAAAUUACUUCCUCCCCCCAAAUAAUAAGAAUUCUGAAGGACUAUAUGAGUUUCUGGUUGCCUAUUGUUUCAGUGAGACGACGUUGUAGCCCAUCUUUUUUCUCUGAACUAUCUUAAUUCCUUCCUUCUGUCUCCAGGAUGCCAUUCUAAAAGUACUCCUGAUAAAUUUCUUUCAUGCUGAUCUUCAUCUCAGAGUCUACUUCCCAAAGCACUCAUGUUCUAAUACACUAUUCUAAAAAGUCAGUUUAAAAUACUUAAAUAGUAUUGUUAUUAAAGCCUGGAAUCUAGGGCUUUUUUAUUUUAAUAUUCAUGAAAGGUUCAGUUAGGAUAAUAGAAGCGUUACAGCUCCAUUUGUGCAAAANUCAAACUUACUCAUAAAUGAGUCAUUCCACUCAAUCAAUUAGAAUAAGAAGAGCAAGAGACUACAACUUAAAGUUUCAUUGGUAAAUUUCAAAGCUCAAUGAGUCUGAUGGAUAUAUAUCUGGAGAAAAGUCUAAUGAUUUCAUUUUUAUCUAUGCUUAAUCUUACAUCUAACAAAAGAAGGAUAAGGGAUAAAAAAUAUAACUGCAUGUGUUAUCUAUUAUCUGCACUCUAGUUAUAAUUAUUGGAAAAUUUGUCCCACAUGUCACUGGAAAUUGAGAUUCUAUUUUUGACAAAAGGCAUUCAAAUGGUUAUUUUCACACCAAACCCAAAAAUCACAUUUACAGAACACAUUUUAUUCCCUUAAAGCACCAUUGAUACUAAAGGCUCAGCAAACAAUCAAACUCUAUUUAAUUAUUCACCAUAAUGCUUUUUAGUAGAAAAUCAAGUUUUCUAGUUUUUAUUAGAUUUAUAUGGCUGGUUGUUAUCUUGUUAGAGCUUAGGCUUUCUUUAGAGAGGAAAUCAACAUAACUGGUGCUAUGAAAGCAAAAAUAAAGAUCUUUUGUUUCUGGAAAAACAAUAACUAUAAAAUCCAAUCAGAGUUUGUGAACUUUUGGAGCAAACUGCUUUGGGGGCUUAUUGAGGGUACCUCUUCACAAUUACAUCAUUCUGCCUUACUGUUUGUUCAUCUGAUUUUUUCCAUUCAAAUUACAACAUCCUUUACUUCUUGAAUGGUAUAAGCUUUUCUCUCUUGGUCUGCAGCAGGGGGAAUCCAGAAUAAGGAAAGAGCUGUUGGUUGAUUAAAAUUGACAUAAUAACAAUAACUAUCCUGCUUUGUACAUGAUCUUGAGUAUGCUUCUUUUUAAUAUAUAAAAACCAUAUGAUGAUGACACUUCUCUUUAUUCUUUUCAUUAUUUAUUCUUUUCCCAGUAUUUGUAACUGUAUUCUUAAAUGCUCAGACUUUUCUUUUUUAUAGAAUCUUCUUGACAGAUGCCAAAUUUAUUGCUAUGCACAAAAAAAGAGAUCCAUUGUGAAGUAUUAUAAGGUUAAAAAAAUCAGCUGAAUUGUAAAGAUAGAAAGUCAUACUCAAACUUUUAGACCACUUAGUGUGUGUUUCUGGAACUUGAGAGUGCAUAAGGAUCAAAAUAUUUUAUUAAAGACAGAACAGAGCUCCACCCACAGAAUUUCUAAUGGCAGCAUGAAGGUAGCUUAAAUUCAUUGGUGGGACUGUAACAGGGACCACUUUGGCAUUUAUACACAAUGGAAUAUUACUCAGCAUUAAAAAAGAACAAAUCAUGGCAUUUGCAGGUAAAUGGUGUUGGAGAAGAUAAUGCUAAGUGAACUCAGCCCAUCCCGAAAAAACAAAUUUCGAAUGUUUUCUCUGAUAUAACGGGGGUGACUCAUAGCGGGGUAGGGAGGGAGAGCAUGGGAGGAUUAGAUUAAUUCUAGAUAGGGAAGAGGGGUAAGAGAGAAAGGGAUGGGGAAGGAGGUUAGCAAGGAUGGUGGAAUGUGAUGGUCAUCAUUACACAAAGUAAAUGUAUGAAGACUUGAACUGGGUGUCAACAUACCUUAUAUACAAAUAGAGAUAUGAAGAAUUGUGUUAUAUAUGUGUGUUAAGAAUUGUAAUGCAAAAAAGUACAUGUAUAAUGACAUAAAUUGAUGUGAACAUACUUUAUAUACAGUUAUGAAAAAUUGUGUUCUAUAUGUGUAAUAAGGAUUGUAAUGCAUUCCACUGUUGUUGUGUAUUUAAAAAAUAAUAAAAUCAAUAAAAAAUAAACAAAAAAAGAACCAUUGCAUUGGAGCAAUUUUCUUGUAGACAUGUUUUCUCUUGCCUUGUCAUUAUGCACUAUAAUUUUUUUUUAAAUUUGUUCCCAAUGUUUAUCACUUGGAAGAUGUCACAAAAAGUUCUUUCCCUGGAUACUCUAACAAGAUAAAAUAAAAUAAAAAAUUAUGUCAGCAUGUGACUACAUUCACACAAAACAAGAAUCUUUUGAACCAAGCAGCAGCCACAUGCUAUCAAUGAGCUUCAUUGUGAUCAGUUACUCUGGCUUACUUGUCUUUUAUCUCUAAAUGUUCCAAGUACCAACAUUUUGAUAUACAGAGUUUCCAUUGUCACAUGUUUUCACAUUUUAAAAUUUCCAUUUUGAAUUCUAUUUUAAUUUAAUUUUUAUUUAUUGAAUUUUAUUUUAUUUAAUUUUAUUAAUUUAAUUUUUAUGUAUUGAAUUCCAUUUUUAUUUUAUUUCUCUUUAAUAUAUGUGUUAUUUAGUAGUGUGUUUUGUCUGAAUAUUUGUAUCAAUUGCUCUAUGUGUGUAUACGUGUAUAUAUACAUAUAUAUAUAUAUAUAUAUAUUUACAUAUAUGUGCAAUGUAUACAUAUAUAUGAAACUAUUUUUAGUCAUUGUUUCUAUUAUGUUUAGAAAAUAUGUUCUGUAUAGUUUUAUGAAGGACAUAUUAUUAUACUUAUUUUUAAAAAUUUUUGAGAAUUCUCACAUGCAGUUUAAAAUGUCAGUUUUUGCAAAUGUUCCAUAAGCAUCAAAAGAAUAAUGUCUGUUGAUUUGGACGUUCAUUAUAGAUCAAUUAAAUCAUACUUGCUUUUUAUUUUACAAGUAUUCUAUAGAUAAUCAUUGUUUUUCUCCUUAUAUUAAUUUCCUCCAUGCAAUUGUGGGUAUGUUAAUUUAUACUUAAAUUGUUUUAUUUUUGCUCCAUUGAAUUGCCCCAGUGUUGGAAAUAAUAUAUUUCUACCAACACAUUUUUUCCAGUUUUUAAACUUCUAAAAAAUGUAAUAAUGCAAUUUGCAUUUUAUUGUACCUGACUUAUUUGCUAAAAGUAUUUUUGAGACUCACCCAAGUGAUUUUACUCAUCAGAGGUCCAUUUUUUAAAAAAAUUGUAGUAUUCUAUUGUUUGACUAUACCACAAUAGUUCUUUAUCUUCCCAUUUGCUGUUUAUUCCAAUGUUUAUCCAUUUAGGUUAGAUCAUGUUCUUAGUUCUAUUAGUUAGUGACUGCUUUGCUCCUUUUAUCUGCAUAGUAUGCAUACAUUCUAAAAAAGUACAAGUGCUGACUUUGUCAAAGUUUUUGCUAUUACUAAAUUAUUGACUUAAUGAGCAUCAUAAAGAAAGCAAUUCCUCACAACCUGUUUUGACUGUUAGUCAGCUACUUACUUAGUAAGUAUAUUGAGUAUAUAUAUAUAUAUAUAUAUAUAUAUAUAUAUAUAUAUAUAUAUAUAUAUAUGACUCUAGAAAUGCUGAAAUCAAUUAGUUCCUUGUGACACUGAAUAUGUAGAAUUUUUAUGAUGUGAGUUUAGUGCUGUGAAUCAAUAACUAAAAUUUGUGGUAAACUCCUUAAAGGCACAAAAUAGGAGGUAAAUAUCAGUAGGUGUUCAAAUGCAUGACAAGUUUCAUCUUGGUGAAGAAAAAGAGCCUUCCUUGAAAUUGUAGUCCAGAAAUUUGGUGGUGAGAUGGUUAUGAUCUGAAUGAUCAAACAUUGGAGAAAAGAGGAAAUAUUUAAUUUAGAAAAAAAAUAAUAUAAAUAGAAGCAUCUAUGUAGAACAUUUUGUUAUUAAAUGCACAAAAUUAUAUGCAUAAAAUUCUACAAUUUUUGUAAGAUAUGUUCAAUGGCUAUGUAAAAUCCAAAGAUUGUAAAGCUUUUAGUAGUAAUUUGAAAAAUCAACACAUAAGGUAGGGAGAACAGUUCCUACAGUGUGCCUGAAAUGGAAAAGGUAUGAAAAAUGGUAAUGGGACAUAAGAUUACAGUAUAGAUUGAGAUUAUCUCUUGAUUCAGAAUAAGUUAAAUUUCUCAUGAGCCUUUCUGAUUUGUACUUUUGAAAACUAGAAUGUAAUGCUUAAUUCAUUUUCCCAUAAAGGCAGAAAACAGUGACUUGCCUGAUACCUUACUUAGGUAGACCAAGAACUCAUCAGAGGUAUGUGAGUAAAUAUUGAUUCAGUGUAAAUGAUGUGAUGGUAAUUACAGUCCAAAGGAAGAUUUAACUGAGCUAACCUUGCAGGGCAGGGUGAUACAUGCUGCAAUUAACUGGCAUAGCUUCACAAGAAUCUCGUAACAUGGACAAAAGUCCUGCUUACUAGACAAACAAGAAAAAUAUAUGUUAUAGGUCUGGUCAUAGCAAUAACAGUAGCUGUAUUUGUUUUAGUUAGUGACAUGCUGUAAGGCAGCCUAGUGAUAAUGUAAUAAUGCUAGAUGCUUUUUAUGGACAUUAUAACACAUUUUUAUACUAGAGGAAUUAUUGAGUUGUAAUUAUUACUGUUUUGUUUUGCAAUUAUUUUAUCUAUUUGAACUAAACUCCCUUCAAAAUGCAGUAUUGAAGAAAAAAAAAAUGACUCAAAUUCAAAUGGUUGAAAAUCCUGGCUAAUAAACAAUAGUAUCCAGAUUAAAAAUUCAGCUUUUUAUUGAAAGUUAAGAGUUAGGGAAAUUUUAGAAGUGUUAACAUUGAGCUUAUGAUUCUCAUUAUCUGUUGUUUUAUAAUAAAACACCCCGAGAGUUAAUGACUUCAGUAACAGUUUCUAUUUUAUCUCAGGGUUUGUGAAUUGACCCGGCAUAGUUGGGCAGUUCUCUUUUGGAAUCUCUGAUGCAGUGGGAGUGAGGUGAGAUGACGAUAUUUAUUUGAAGGCUCAGCUGAUGUGGAUAUCCAAGAGUGCUCCUACUUUUGGCUGGAAACCCAUUUGCUGUCAGAAGGGAACAUGUCUCUGGGUUUUAAACAAUCAUUUCUAAAUAUUGCCUCCAUGUGGUCUCUCCAAAUGAUCUGAAAUUCUCAAAGCAAGUGAUUCUGAGAAGCAAGAUCUUGAAAAUGAGCAUACCAAGAGGCUGACAAGUCAACAAAGGGCUUGUAUUAGUUUCCAGUACCAAAGUGUCACACACUUUGUGAUAAACACAUUCUAUGGCUUAAAGCAACAGAUAAGUAUCUAUCUAUAUCUAUCUAUCUAUCUAUAUCUAUAUAUAGAUAGAUAGAUAGAUAGAUAGAUAGAUAGAUAGAUAUAGAUAGAUAGAUAUAGAUAUAGAUAUGGUUUGUUUGUUUGUUUUGUUUUUGGUCUUCCAGUUCUGAGAACAGAAGUACAAAACCAAGUUGUUAGUUAGGCCACACUCCCUCUGAAAGUGUUGAUGCCUCUUUCCCAUUUCUAAUAGCCACCAGCAUCCCUCAUUUCUUAUCAAUAGUAAAUGAUGAAUGUACCUGUCUCUAUGUCUUUACUUUCUUUUUUAAUAGGGACACUGUUCAUAUUGGAUUAGGGCCUUCCUAGGAUCUCGUUAUAUCUAUAAAAGCCUUAUAUCCUAACAAAGUCACAUUCUGAUUUCCUGGAGAUUAGGACUUGAGCAUAUAUCAUGUCUUGAGGACACAAUUCAACCCAUAAUAGGACUAUGUCUCAACUGACAUAGUAGAAUAGCUUCUGUAUUCUAUUGAUCAAAGAAAUCUCAGGGUCUGCCCAUUCUUGAAGAGCUAGAGCAUAUACUCAACUUUUUUAAUGCUUUGGUAAGUUAUAUUCAAAACAUUUUAAGGAAUCAGGGGCAGUGAUAUAGUCAUCUUUGGAAAACCAGCCCCUCAUAUUACACACUUCACUCACAGUGAUAUAGUUUUCUUUCAUAGGCAAUAUUCACCCAUUGUAGAAAUCAAAUUGCAGCACAUCUGAACCAAAUGUUAGUAUGUGUAAAGCUCCACAGGUACAGUUUCUUGAGGAUACCACUUUUUCUAGUAUAGUCACUUAAUUUGAAUGUCUUUGAACUAAAGGGAGAGUUAUCUACCCCUCAUACAUUGGCAUAUGAUAUUAAGAUAAGAAUAGAUAACCACAGUGGACUUUCUGGUCCAAAAAGUACAGAACAUAAUAUCAUUUAUAGCAUGUAUUAAUCUGUAACCACACUAAAAUCCAACUGGGUACUUGUCCCCUGUUUCUGUGUGAGGAUCCAGAACUUUUCCCUGCUAGUGAUUUUGUGUGUGUGUGUGUGUGUGUGUGUGUUGUUCUACAAUUUAGGUUUUGGAACUAUUAUCAGAGUCAUCAUCCUUUUCUAUCAAAAACAAAAUGGUCUAUGUCUUCAGCUGAGUAUAUUUUUCAGCCAACUUCCUCCUUGUAAGUUUGUAGCUACUAAAAAUGAUGGGAAAAACAAUCCUAAGGAAAAACAAUCCUAAAAUUAGAUCUAAAAUGAAAUCUCUAUACAAAAAGUUACAAAUAUUUUAGGUUGACUUGUUUAACAUGCAUUUCCAAGUUCCNUAUCUCUAUCUAUCUAUCUGUAUCUAUCUAUCUAUCUAGAUAGAUAGAUAGAUACAGAUAGAUAGAUAGAGAUAGAUAUAGAUAUAGAUAUAUAGAUAUAGAUAUAGAUUGUUUGUUUGUUUGUUUUGUUUUUGGUCUUCCAGUUCUGAGAACAGAAGUACAAAACCAAGUUGUUAGUUAGGCCACACUCCCUCUGAAAGUGUUGAUGCCUCUUUCCCAUUUCUAAUAGCCACCAGCAUCCCUCAUUUCUUAUCAAUAGUAAAUGAUGAAUGUACCUGCCUCUAUGUCUUUACUUUCUUUUUUAAUAGGGACCCUGUUCAUAUUGGAUUAGGGCCUUCCUAGGAUCUCGUUAUAUCUAUAAAAGCCUUAUAUCCUAACAAAGUCACAUUCUGAUUUCCUGGAGAUUAGGACUUGAGCAUAUAUCAUGUCUUGAGGACACAAUUCAACCCAUAAUAGGACUAUGUCUCAACUGACAUAGUAGAAUAGCUUCUGUAUUCUAUUGAUCAAAGAAAUCUCAGGGUCUGCCCAUUCUUGAAGAGCUAGAGCAUAUACUCAGCUUUUUUAAUGCUUUGGUAAGUUAUAUUCAAAACAUUUUAAGGAAUCAGGGGCAGUGAUAUAGUCAUCUUUGGAAAACCAGCCCCUCAUAUUACACACUUCACUCACAGUGAUAUAGUUUUCUUUCAUAGGCAAUAUUCACCCAUUGUAGAAAUCAAAUUGCAGCACAUCUGAACCAAAUGUUAGUAUGUGUAAAGCUCCACAGGUACAGUUUCUUGAGGAUACCACUUUUUCUAGUAUAGUCACUUAAUUUGAAUGUCUUUGAACUAAAGGGAGAGUUAUCUACCCCUCAUACAUUGGCAUAUGAUAUUAAGAUAAGAAUAGAUAACCACAGUGGACUUUCUGGUCCAAAAAGUACAGAACAUAAUAUCAUUUAUAGCAUGUAUUAAUCUGUAGCCACACUAAAAUCCAACUGGGUACUUGUCCCCUGUUUCUGUGUGAGGAUCCAGAACUUUUCCCUGUCGCGACCCCUUGCCCGCAAGGAAGAUGCAACUCGGGAAUCUUCUUUCAACAGUUUAUUCAGGCCCUGGAUAUUUCUUCUUCUCCCCCUCUGAUGCCCCUCCCAGCCUUAAUAAAGCAUCCCAAGCCCCAAUGCAAAGCUGCCGCGUGGAGCUUUCUCACAGGGUGAUGUACAGGGUGGUGAAAAAUCAUGUGCCAACUCUCCCAGAUAAGGAGUUGUUUGUCACAGACCACAGCGGAGCCAGCGUCAUCUUGUAAUGGCGACCAUAAUCUGCAGAAACGGCAGAAGCGGCUCACCACAUUUCCCUGCUAGUGACUUUGUGUGUGUGUGUGUGUGUGUGUGUGUGUGUGUUGUUCUACAAUUUAGGUUUUGGAACUAUUAUCAGAGUCAUCAUCCUUUUCUAUCAAAAACAAAAUGGUCUAUGUCUUCAGCUGAGUAUAUUUUUCAGCCAACUUCCUCCUUGUAAGUUUGUAGCUACUAAAAAUGAUGGGAAAAACAAUCCUAAGGAAAAACAAUCCUAAAAUUAGAUCUAAAAUGAAAUCUCUAUACAAAAAGUUACAAAUAUUUUAGGUUGACUUGUUUAACAUGCAUUUCCAAGUUCCUUCUUUUUUACUUAUACAGAGGAUAGCUACGUUUUUCCUCUCAGACUCCUUGCAAUUUAUGAUGUAAUUCUCAUUAAUAAGAUGUAAACAGAAGGUCCCCAUGCUUCCCUCAUCAGAAUAAUGCUGUGAGAGCUAAUUGUUAUCUGUCAUCCAUCCUGCCUUCAAAAUGAGAAGGUCAAGAGAAUUUAGAAAUCUGGGCCCUGAAAUCAUUAAAUUGCUGGAUUGAACUUACAACUGAAUCUUCUGUUGCCAAGAUCCUUUGAGUAAUUGUGUACAUAUGUGAGAACCAUCCCAAGGCACAACAGGGGAGCUACAGAUUCUAUGAUUUAUUGUUACAGAGAGAAAAAGUAGGCACUUACUUUUUUUUUUCCUUAUGCUGCUUAACACAAUUUUACUUCAAGAGGCAACAAGAAGACCACUAUUCUAUUUCUUUGAUAUAAAAGAAUGUAACAGAAAACUUGGUGAAGUUCCUACUUUUAUGUUUCCCAAACUUUUUAGGUAUGGCACAUAGGAAAAUUACAAAUGUUUAUCUUUACAUAUGGCACAUUUUUUUAACAGCAUGCAAAGGCAAUAUGUGAUUGUCUCAAGAAUACUAUCAUAAGUUGGCCAUAAAUAUUAGACUUAAAAAAAGAUUAGCCUUUAGUAAUUAUUCAACUGUAACACAGGUUAUGUUUUAGAAUACACUGAAGCUUGGAGACAAGUUGGUUGGGGAAGGACUGACAUUAAAAUUGUCUUUCAGCAUCAACUAUAGAAUGCAUUCCAAUUUUUAAAACAUAGACAAAAUUUAUGCCUGAAAACAAUAAAACUAAUACACAGUGCAUAUCUUAAUUAUAUUUGGUAUCAAAGAGAUGUGUCAUAAAUUUAUGUGCAAAGAGUUUGAAAAUAUCUGCAAUACCAUUGAUGUUAAUUUGGAGCCAGUUCUGAGAAGCUGGACAAAAAUAUGACUGUACUUGAAUACACCAAAAUUCAACCAUAUUAUACAUUUUGAGAAAGUUUCAGAAAACAUUAAGAAUUUGCUCAGCAAAGAAAAUUUAGAACUACAAGACUGAGAGGAAUAAACUUUGUCAGUAUCCACAUGAAGUAAAGGAAAAGAUUCUGAUUUCUGUAGCCAUAGGACUUCUAACAUGGGUGAGAAACCCUCAAAUUUAAAUCAUGCUUAAUUUUCUUGAUUACCUAGAUCACUGAUCAUUUAGAUUCCCAUGCAGACUUGCUGAGAGGGAAACAUUCUAGCUAGGAUUUAAGUAUUUCUCUCUGUGAAGCCCCAUAAAUACUUUAGACAUAAAUGGGAGUAUUUAAUUCCCACAACACCAUAAGACGGAAAGGUUUCUAAAAAUCUCAUAAGGGAUGACAUACCUGAGAAUCAAUAGUAGAAAUCAAAUGGAUUCUGGCUAAAGAGCUUCGAAGAGUCUGAAUCCUGGAGUGAGACUUAGACAAGAAAGCAGAAUGCAAUAAACAGGAGCUUAGGGCUCUGUGGCAGCCCACUGAAGUGGACCUAAGCCAAAGAAGUAAGGGACGUUUUGAUUAGCACAUUCCUACAAAAUGGUAUUUAUUGAUAGCAACAUGAAAGACACUAAUCAUCCACUUGUACACCAGAAAAAUAAUCUAUGACCUCCAGUAAUGCAUACUAAAACUGACCCCAGAUCCUCCCAUUCUUUUUUCUCCACUGAAUUUAACUCCUGACUUUUGAUUUUGUCCUUAAAAGAUGGAGUCUAUACUUACAGACAUAGCAUGUUUUCAGGCUUCAAGUCUGGAGCAUGAAGACUAACAUAUUGGUAUUUUGUUCAAGAAAACAGUCUUCUUUGCAGGGACUUCUCUCUUUACCCCAUUGUGUGGUGCACUCUGGCCAUUUAACACCUUAAUUGUAGUGAAUUUACUCCAGAACCAUUUUGUAACUCUUUAAAAGAUUUUAAAGAUUAAAAGAUAAACCCUUUAAGAUCUUUAAAGAUUUUGAAAAUCUUUAAAAUACUCUUCAUUAUUCCAUUUCAAUUAAAUAGGUAUCACGAAAUGCUCAGGUUCUUGAUUUGCUGUCAACUGAGUUUCUUUCCCUCACCGGCUGUGAGGUGGAAAUUAAUCAAGAGUGAAGCUUUGCUACAGCAAGAACAUGUCAAAAGAAUAAAGAAAAUACAUGAUUCUACUUGUGGAACUUUAUAAAAGCAAUUUAAAGGUGGUGUUGUUGUAGAAGCAUUAUGAGUAAAAUUUGUAAAAAGCAUAACUCUGACAUAAGAUAAAUUGUAGUAAUGAAUUUUAUCCUAAGGCACUAGAAGCUAUGGAAGAAUUCUGUGUCGGGUCUACCAUGGUCAGAUGUGUGUUUUAAAAACCUCUCUGCCAGCUAUGCAUAUUGAUUAAUUUUUGAUGCUGAUAGGAGAAUACAAUCUUAAGGAAUAAAUUCUAAUGGAAUAUAAAUGAAAGAAAAAUUUCAAAAGUAUUGGGAAGAAGAAAAAAGACACAUGCCGCAAAUGACAAUAGAGGAAGCAAAACGUAUAAGCAAAAACAGUGAAUAUGAAAAAAUAAAUGGACAUAAAAUUAAAUAUUAAAAUGAGGUCUGGGGAUAUAGCUCAAAGUCAGAGCAUUUGCUUGCAUGUUCUAGGCUCUGAAUUCAAUGCCCAGUACUGAAACACACACACACACACACACACACACACACAUAAAACAAACAAACAAACAAACCAAAGUUGAUCAAAUUAAAAGUGUAUAAGUUAAAUUUCCCAGUUGGGAAACCAAAUUUGUAAAACAUAAAAUCCCAUUCUUCCCAAAGUCCCAUACCUACUUCUGUGCUCUCCAACUCAAUGAAUGGCAUCAUCAUGCAACAUUUUCUGGAAAGAUAUUGGCUUCUUAUUAAAAGAGAGAAACUCUUAAUCAGGUUUCCUGUCAGAUACUAAAUGAUUCAACAAUUUGAAAUAUCUUAUUAAGACAACAUUUCAUUUACUCAGGGCUGUCCAAGACUCAGCAACAACCAAAUAUUACCUAAUCCAAAGCAAGGAUUUUCAAAGACAGAAGGACAUGCAAUUAAAUCUCAGAAAUGUCACAUAUGAUCACUUCUAUUCUGAAAGGGUUUUUUAACCACUAUACAUUUCAGUUUUCUUACCUCUAAAAUAUUAUUUUUCCCCAUUAAGUACUGAAAUAAUUUUAUUUUGUAAUAUAGUAAUAAAGUAAGUUACACUAACAGAACUCUCAAUUUUAAGUCAGCUUUAAAUUUCUGAAAGAAAAAAAAAAUGGUUAGAGUGCAUUAUUUGGAAAUAUGCUCUUGUAAUCAGUUUUCUAGUAUAUAUUAAUAUUGUCUACACUUAUAAGUGAUGUACUGUUACUUUUUGUUGAGUUUUGUUUGGAAAUAUAUCCACAGAUCAGGAAAUUUGAAGUGUUUUAUAAUAUUCUAUGUUUUAAGAAAAUUUAAUGAACACAGAAAUUCUCAUUUUCUUGAGGAUUGUUUGAAAAUGAUCAAUAAAAUCAUCUGGGUCUAGUGUCUCUUGAGAAGUAAACAUGUGAUUAUCUUUUACAUGUCCUUCCCAUGGUUGAUGGCCAAUUCAUGUUUUUUAUCUUUCCUUGUGUUCAUUUUCAUAAAUAAAUAAAUAUCAUUCAUCUCAUUGUCUCAGGCAUACAGAUCACAAAAUCUGGAGUUAUUUUUAACUUUUCUAAUUUUUCUCAAAGCCAUCAGCAAAAUACUAUCAGUCUUCAUAUCAGCAAAGUAAAUCAUUUUAUUAUUAUUAGGUAGCAUACUUUGAAAAACUUAUAAUUCCAGGAUUUUUUGAGGACAANUAAAUGAAAGAAAAAUUUCAAAAGUAUUGGGAAGAAGAAAAAAGACACAUGCCGCAAAUGACAAUAGAGGAAGCAAAACGUAUAAGCAAAAACAGUGAAUAUGAAAAAAUAAAUGGACAUAAAAUUAAAUAUUAAAAUGAGGUCUGGGGAUAUAGCUCAAAGUCAGAGCAUUUGCUUGCAUGUUCUAGGCUCUGAAUUCAAUGCCCAGUACUGAAACACACACACACACACACACACACACACACACACAUAAAACAAACAAACAAACAAACCAAAGUUGAUCAAAUUAAAAGUGUAUAAGUUAAAUUUCCCAGUUGGGAAACCAAAUUUGUAAAACAUAAAAUCCCAUUCUUCCCAAAGUCCCAUACCUACUUCUGUGCUCUCCAACUCAAUGAAUGGCAUCAUCAUGCAACAUUUUCUGGAAAGAUAUUGGCUUCUUAUUAAAAGAGAGAAACUCUUAAUCAGGUUUCCUGUCAGAUACUAAAUGAUUCAACAAUUUGAAAUAUCUUAUUAAGACAACAUUUCAUUUACUCAGGGCUGUCCAAGACUCAGCAACAACCAAAUAUUACCUAAUCCAAAGCAAGGAUUUUCAAAGACAGAAGGACAUGCAAUUAAAUCUCAGAAAUGUCACAUAUGAUCACUUCUAUUCUGAAAGGGUUUUUUAACCACUAUACAUUUCAGUUUUCUUACCUCUAAAAUAUUAUUUUUCCCCAUUAAGUACUGAAAUAAUUUUAUUUUGUAAUAUAGUAAUAAAGUAAGUUACACUAACAGAACUCUCAAUUUUAAGUCAGCUUUAAAUUUCUGAAAGAAAAAAAAAAUGGUUAGAGUGCAUUAUUUGGAAAUAUGCUCUUGUAAUCAGUUUUCUAGUAUAUAUUAAUAUUGUCUACACUUAUAAGUGAUGUACUGUUACUUUUUGUUGAGUUUUGUUUGGAAAUAUAUCCACAGAUCAGGAAAUUUGAAGUGUUUUAUAAUAUUCUAUGUUUUAAGAAAAUUUAAUGAACACAGAAAUUCUCAUUUUCUUGAGGAUUGUUUGAAAAUGAUCAAUAAAAUCAUCUGGGUCUAGUGUCUCUUGAGAAGUAAACAUGUGAUUAUCUUUUACAUGUCCUUCCCAUGGUUGAUGGCCAAUUCAUGUUUUUUAUCUUUCCUUGUGUUCAUUUUCAUAAAUAAAUAAAUAUCAUUCAUCUCAUUGUCUCAGGCAUACAGAUCACAAAAUCUGGAGUUAUUUUUAACUUUUCUAAUUUUUCUCAAAGCCAUCAGCAAAAUACUAUCAGUCUUCAUAUCAGCAAAGUAAAUCAUUUUAUUAUUAUUAGGUAGCAUACUUUGAAAAACUUAUAAUUCCAGGAUUUUUUGAGGACAAAGUUUAAACCUUUCCUUGUAUAUUGAAAAAAAAUGUUCAAAUAUACCUCAUAAAAAGCUCUAGAAACUUACUGCAAAGUCAAUUUUGAUUUGUUUGAAUCAUGCAGCCUCCAUAGCUAGAAUGAGAAAAGAAGAACCAAGCUUAGACUUAAAUGGUGAUAGAAUUCAGGUUGCAAAGUCUAAGGAAAGAACCAUUCCAGGCAAAGAAACAACAAGAGCACUGUUUCUCAGUUGAGAAUGAAUUUACAUACAUUGAGGAUACUGGAAAUGAGCUGUUUUUACUAGAAUAUAAAUGAAUGGAGGCAGAGUGAACAGAGACAAAAACUAAAAUUGAAAGCUUUGUAUUUGAAAAAUGAAGUUCGAAAAUUAUUUUUGGUGGGUGGGUGCAGAAUUCUAAGUUGACAGUCUUUUGCCUGUGUGUGUGUGUGUGUGUGUAUGAUUAUUGUUUAUUUUGUGAACACUUUAAAGAUGUUAUUGCAUGGCUUUUUGGCUUGAAUUGUUUUCAGUGAGACUUCUGCCACCAUUUUUAUUUUUAAACCUCAGUGUGUGUCAUUUUUUUCCUGGUGGUUUUAAUGAGUUUGUUUUUAUCACAAUUUUAAGCAAUUUGAUUAUGAUGUGCCUUUGUGCAAAUUUUUCAGGUUUUUUACUUUGAUUUCAUUGAGCUGCUUGGAUGAGAAGGUUUAUAGUUCACAUCAAAUUGGGAAGAUCUGGCCAUUAUCUUUAAUUUUAUUUGUCUUUCUUUCCCUCCCUUUUUAUAGAACUCUAAUUACCAACAUACCCAUGAUAUUUUGUUCUAUAGAUCACUGAAGCUUUGUUAAUCUUUUUUCUUUACUCUUCUUCUCCAUUUCAUUUUGGAUAGUUUCUUUUGCUACAUAUUCAGGCUCACUAAUCUUUUUUAAAAUGUGCAAUCUACCAGUAAUCACAACUAGUAUAUUUUUCAUUAUUCUAAUUUACAUUCAUAGAAGUUUGAUGUUGCACCUUUUCUAUUUCCAAUCUCUUAUUAUGCACAGUCUUCCCUCUAAGUUCUUAAACAAGAUGGAGUGUAUUUAUAGUAAACAAGUUUUCAUUGUCUCCUAAUUUUAUUAGGUCUUUUAUUCUAUUGAUUAAUUUUAUUCCUCAAAUUUUCCUACAUUUUUGCAUGCCUGAUAAAUUUUGAUUGGUUACUUGUACUAGUUUCCAAAUGUAACUACAAAAAAAUUUGACAAAUUGGGUGGCUUAAAACAACAGAAAGGUAUUCCCCCGGAGAGUUUUGGAGGCUAGAAUUUUGCAAAGUGUUGGCAGGAGUUAUGGUUUAGACGUUAAAUGUUCUCCAAAAGCCUCAUGUGUGAAACAAUGCAAGAAAGUUCAGAGGUAAGAUGAUUGGGUUAUACAAGCCAUACAUUAAUCAGUGCUUAAUGCUAGGGAUUAACUGGGUGGUAACUUUAGGCAGGUAGGAUGCAACUGGAGGAGGUGAGGGACUUGUCCUUAGGGUAUGUAUUUUGUCCUUGGUGAGGGGAGUCUCUCUCUCUGCUUCCUGGUGAUGUAGGAAGCUGGUUUCCUCUAUCACACCCUCCUUGAUAUUCAAAGAUAUUCUGCCUCACCUCAAGCCCUGAAAAAUGGAGUUGGCUGUCUAUGGACAGAGACCUCUGAAACCAUGAACCAAGGAUAGACUUAUUUCCUCCUCUAAAAUUAUUCUUGCGUAGGCUUUUGGUCAUAGCAGUGAAAAAGUUGCCUAAAACAGCAGGAGUGUGCUCCUUUCAAAGUCUCUAGGGAGCUUCUUUUCAUGUUUUUUCCAGCUUCCGGUAGCACAGCUAUUUUUUGGCUUAUGAUAACAUAACUCCAAUUUCUGCUAUUGUCUUCAAAUGGUUAUCUACCCUCUGUAUAUAUCUGUCCUAAAUUUGUCUUUUCUUAUGAGAAUGCCAGUCAUUAGACUAAGGGUUCAUCCUAAUGACCUCAUUUUAACUUGAUUACAUCUACAAAGACUCUGUUUCCAAAUGUAAUCAUAUCACAGAUAUCAGGACUUCAACAUAUCUUUUAAGCAGAUAAUCCAGUGUAAAAUAAUGCCAGAAUGUUUGCAUUUUACUUUGUUGGGUGGUGGAUUGUUUUCUUUUUGCAUUCCUUUAAAUAUUUUUGGGCCUUAACAUGUAUUACUUGGGAUCAAUUUGAUUCUGUCAAAGUCUAUUUUAAAACUUUGUUAGGUGAGGCCUGAACGACCUGUAGUCUGACUAUGGUUAAUUUGGCCCUACUAAUAGACAUUCUGGGUCCUCUCUCUGAGGUGAAUUAUGAGGCUUUUCAUUCUGACUAGAAAUAUGAACUAAACCCAGCUUUGUAUAAGCUCCAAAGAUUAUUCUACCUUAUCCUUUCAAGUGGUUCUUUCUCCACCUCAGUAAUUUCCUCACAUAUAUGAGCAGAUAGGAACUCAGACUCAAGAGAAAUCUCACAGAAUUAUGGAGUUCUUGCAUAGUUUUCUUUUGUUUUUGAAUUCUGAUUUCCUUGACCUCCCAGUCUCUGAACUCCUUUUCUACAAAUGAGGGCGAUGACAAACUUUAGUUCAACUCUCUCUCCCUGUGCUUUGGCCUAGAAAUUCUCUCUAUGCACAAAGCCUGUACAACUCUAAGGCUCAUAACUUUCUUUUCCUUUCUCUUAUGAAUUAUUGUUUGACUAUUGUUUUCCCAAUGGCUGAAAUGUAUUGUUUCAUAUAUUUCAUACAUUUUGUCUGUUGUUGUGGUUGUAGGAGGCGGAAAGGUAAAUCUUUGUUAUUAAUUUAAAGCUAAAAACAGAAGCCUCAAAAAUGGAGUUUGGAUUACACUAUCAUUGUGUGGUCACUUCCUGCAGAUUUUAAUCCAUAGUGUAAUAUCAUCAGAUUUAUUUAUUAUUUAUUUUUAAAUGUCAUUCUUCUUAGAAGAACAGAUUGAAGAAUUGGAGUAGACAAAGGGAGACCAGAUAGGAAUCGAUUUCUCUAGGCUGGGUUACAUUUAGUGAUUUCUUGGGCCAGGUUUAUAAUAGUAGAGAUAAUAAAAAGUGAUGGUUUGGUGAUCUUGUUGCAAAUGGGUCUUAUUUAUCUUGCUGAAUGAUUUGAUGUAGAGUACAAGGAAAUAAGUGGUCAAUAAAAUAUUUCAAAUUGUUGAAUCAUUUAGUAUGUGACAGAGAACCUAGCUAAGAGUUUUCUCUCUUUUAGUAAGAAGCCAAAACCUUUCCAGAAAAUCCACAGCAAGCAUCUUUUUUAUGUCUCAUUGACCAUUAUUGGGUUCACUGGACCUCUAUGACUAUGGGGAAAGGAUAGAGCAAGAGGCUGGAGGAUUUCUAUUGGGAAGUUAAAUCAUUGCUAUAUUUGUUGCAUUGCUUUUGAUGUUUGUCAGAUGAUGACUUCAAAUCAUCCUUUUAGCCCCUUGGAACAUCAGGAAAACACAGUACAGUGUAGGGGGGAAGGGAAAAGUAUUUGCUUCUUAGGAAAUGCAUUGUAUCACUUUUAGCUCUUUCUGUGUUCUGAAUUAUUUCCAUGAUACAUUAGUGUCCAUAAUGCAGUCAUGGAUGCCCAUAUAAAAUGCUAGUUUGGCAAAUGUGUAAGAAUAAUCUGUUUUACAAUGUAAUCAUUCAUCAGGGAGCUGAUGACAGUUUUACUGAAUUAGAUACAUAAAAUAGUUUAUAAUCGGAGGACACUAGAGGGCAAAUCACUAGUUGUAGUAAUUACUCAUGUGUGAUGCACCUGACACAUGGGGAAAUAAAAUAAUGUGAAUAUGGGAACAGCUAAAGCAAUAUAUGAGUGUUCUGAAAUCACUGUAGGUAACUUUUCUUACACUCUAGAAUGUCAUACACUUAAAAUAAUGUAGUAUGAAUAUGUGACUUGAAAGGAAUACCUUAUGCAGCAGAACCCAAUCUCUGCUCCUUGAAAAGCAGAUUUUUUUGUGCUAAAUGACCAAAGAUUAAUUUGGAUUAAUCCAUUGAUCAUAGAUCAAGUUGAAGUAGGAAGUUUCUUUUAUUCAGUUCUGUGUGAUCUACUAUCUUUUUGCCUCAGUGGUCUACAUCAACAGGGUCAACCAGAGCUGUUCCUGUCCCUGAAGCAUCAGCCAUAUUUCAAUUUGCUAUUACUUGCAUUGAAAGGAAUUUUGGUUUAGGACUGAUUCUAAAUUCAUCCUGUAAUUACCACACAAAUAACAUAUUGAGAAGUUUAAUUUCUGAAUUGCAUCUUCAGGAGUUUAUUCUACCCACUGGUCAGUUCUCAGUUGCUUACUCUCAGUGAGGGAGGGAGGAAGACAUCUUAGGACACAUUAGACAAAUCUUGACUGAUGAUUACAGUUUAAGAAGAUGAUCAGCAGUUUUUUUGCCUAAUGGGCAAAUUGACUGAAUUUUCUUUUAUGGUACAAUUUAAAACAAAGUCAUUUUGUUAAUCUGGCUCAGUUAGAGCAGGCUAAUUCUAUGGCAAUAAUUUCAAAGGAGAAUAUGCAAAGAGGUUAUAAACCUGUUAUCUUUUUGGCACUAUUUUACUUUACUUUCUGUUCUUCUGGUAUGCUUUAACACCAUAGUCAUUUCUUCCUCUUUGAGUAUCUCUGGUUCUUAUUCUGAGGCAAAAGAUGGGUUGUGCUUUGAUAAACAUUUUACUAACCACACCUGAAGUCCUAGGAAAGUGCUAGGUGUGUUGUGGUCAUAGAAGAAAUUAAUCAGAAGGAUUGAUUCCCUUGGGUCAACCCUCUCUCUUCUGUAUCAUCAAUUCUCUUCUCUGCUUAUUUCUAUCAGCAUAUUCAAUUUUUUAGGUGUAUCCCAUUUCUAAAGCAUAAACAAAACUUUAGUUCAUUCCUCUUGGUCCAUGCACACCAUCUAGCAGGCCCCCUGUACUCUCUUUCAUCACAUCCUAACCAAAGCUCUAUUGUAUAUCACUAGAAUUAUUGUGCUACCCUUUGCUUAUUUUCUGUUCUUUCCUCAAGCAUCCUUGAAAUCCAUUUUACACCUAACAUUCAUAGAUAUCCUCUCACAAAUCAGAUCAUAGCAUUAAAAUUUUAAAGCCUUUUUCCCUUUAUCUUAGAGUGAAACCCAAACUCCUUUCACUGUCAACAAGAUUAUACACACAUUAUUGUCUUUACUUCAUUCUCCAAAGUUGUCUCAAACCCUGCUGUCCCCACAUUUUUCACAAAGACAUCAUCUGAUUCACAACGUGUCAGCUUCACUCAUUAUUCUUCUGUCCCUUGAAUACUUCAAGUUGUUUCCCAUCUUAAUUUUCUAUUCUCUAUUCUCUUUUGGGGUUGUUCUUAUUCUUUUGGAUGAUUGGUACCUUCUUAUCCACCCAUUGCAUCUCAGCUCAGUGAUUCCAUCCAAAAUUCAGGCUUCCUUUCCUCCCUGCAAUUAGAAUUGUAACCCACAAAUAUCCUCCCUGAUUGAAGUCACCUUCAUGAAAUCCUUUACACACAUGGAAGUAUAUCAUUCCCUGAUUUCUUAGUUCAUAUUGCCUGCUGUCGCAGUCACAACAUACAGAUAUUGAGGUACACAUUUAUAUACACACAUUAUGAAUGUAGGCCCAUUGGGAGUAUGCAUCUGCUUCAUUUUUUCACCUUUGUACCCCUGAAAACAAAGUAAAAAGUGGAUAAUAAUUUUUCAUUAGUGAUUCUUCUUUGAUAUGUGGAAUUGGAUUAAGGGAAGAAAGGUAAGGGCAGAAAUAAAUCUGAUUAAUAAUAAACUCAUUUAUUGCCUUCUAAUUGAGGAAAGGCAAUGCUCUGAACACUUUAUACAUAAUGCAGUUUAUCUUUUGAAUAUGUUAUGGUGUGGGUGCUACUAUCAUCUGCGGUUUACAGAAUAUGAAGCAAAAUCGUAAGAGGAUCAUCUGUGUUCUGAAUUUUAAAUUAUAUCCAGUGCUUUCUGGUGGCUCCCAAGUGACUAUCUCAAGCAGAAGAUGCAGUGGCUUUCACUUUGGAAUUUGGAAACCCUGAACAUCAUUUGGAGGGUUCAACAUGUACUUUCUCUGACAAAAGCAGGUGGUGGUCCACUAAGUAAACAGUAAUAUAUGAGGGUCAAAACUAAGAGAUAAAGAAAUUGAUGAAUAUUGCCAAUAAUAAAAACGAAUAAAUACUUCAGUGUACUUCAAUGUUGUCCACUUUAGCUGCUGUAGUAGGUCAGAGGAAAGGAUGUCUAAUGAUCAUUAUAUAUGUUAGCAGGUGCUCACAGGGAUCCAUUUUAGAUGCAGGAGAGGGAAGGAAGGAAAUAAAAUAUUUUCUCAUACUCAGUGCAAUCUUCUUUUUUUUUUUACUUUUUCCAUUCCUUUCUAUUUUAAAUAAUUCCUCUAUAUCAAGCUAACUCGUUCUCAGUCAAUACUAUACCUUCCACUGCAUUCUCUUUUGUUUCAUUCACGCAAAUCACUAAAUAUUUUGUUACUUUGAUGUUGGGAUCAAGGGGGAGGAUUAUAAAGGUAAAUGAAAUGUAAUGCUUGUCUUUAAGGUUGUGAGAAUCUCACAGGGAAAAAUUUCAUGUCUAAGAAUUAAAGAGUGGUAUAUUCCAAAUGUAGCUGUGGUAGGUAGUCAAUUUUUAUGAAAUUUAUUUUUUAAUAAUCAGUAUAUACAUAUGUGUGUGUGUGUGUGUGUGUUUCAUAAGGAUAUAUAAAGAUGACACAGAACCCAGGGUAUAGGAUUUUGAUUUUUUUCCUGCUUCAAAAGUUCUAAACUAAUACACUAAAAACCAUAAGAUACUGAUCAUAAUUCUGAUCCAGACAUUUUGUCACAAGAUGUUUUUCUUCUUAAAAAGCUAAUUUGUUUAAUAUAACUUUACUAAAUUUUGGUUUUUUAUCAUAUUAAAUAUAUCAAGGAAACUUUGUUUGUUUAUUUAUUUAUUUAUUUAUGGUGCUGGGGAUUGAACCCAGGGCCUUGUGCAUAAAAGGCAAGUACUCUCCCAACUUAGCUAUAUCCCCAGCCCCAAAACUUUGUUCUUUAAAAGACCUGUACUGAUAUUUUGUUUGAAAAUUUUGGCAUUUAUAAAUAUUACAAAGAAAAUAAAUUCAUAAAACACAUGGCUCAAAAGUGGCAGAGAAUUUACAGGUUCUUUGGUAAGCUGCCAAUAUCAUAUUUAACAGGAACUCUGAGGUCCAGAGAGUAGAAAUGAAUUGCCAAAGGUCACAUAUUGAUUUAGUGAGUAGUUUACAGACUUGCUUUCUCCUUGUGGUACUUUGCCCCUUUUCUUUGUAUAUCCGAAAAUUCUAAUAAAAUGCAUUCAUUAGUGAGAAAAAUAUUUUUGUACAAUAAUUAUAACCUUGAUAAAAGUAAAUAAUUCAGGAAUUGUCUGUCAAAAUAUUUUCUGAAAAAGUGAAAUUUUUUCCAACUUUUUACCUCAUUAAUUCACUUAAUAAAUAUCAGUUAAGCUUCUUCUAUUUAACUCUUUUCCUAAGAAUAUCACAUCACAAUCUAUCUAUCUCUCUCUCUCUCUCUCUUUCUCUCUCUCUCUCUCUCUCUCUCACACACACACACACACACACUUUAAAAUAAUUUCUGAGAAAUUUAUCCAUGGGGCUUAUCAGAUCAGCAUUAAUUUACCAUUAAUCAAAUAGACCUAUAAAAACACUAUGUUUUUAAAUACAAAUAAAUAAAUAUAGUUUUUUUUUACUCUAAUGUUUAUAUAAGCUCAUUAUAGAUCAUUUGUAUAAUACUGAAAAACUAGUAGAAACAAAAUAAAUCAUCUAUAGAUUCACAAUCAAGCAAGCAUACUUAAAAUACAUUAAUUUUUUACAUAAGCCAUUCAAAAAUUUUGAGGUAUAGUUUAGAUGAUAGUGCAGUCAUAAUCUCAUAAACUCAUAAAAUUUAACUUUAGUGUUAAUGCAAUUACUGCCAAUUAUUUGUAUUUAAAUGUUAUUCCAUUGCCAGAAUGCAUUAUUAUUUAUUUAGGAAUAUCCUUCAUAACAUCUAGUUACUAUUGUUAAUUAUAAUUUUUACUUUUUCUCCAACCCUUGAAGAAUCAUUCAAAAGAAAUAUAGCUCAGCACUGAGAUACUAGCUGUGCAUUAUAUGACUUAAAAAUGAAAAAAGGAGAACCUGUCAGAAAGUAUAUAAGCUCUACAACUACAGUCAUUUAACUAUUAUUUAUAAGCUACGUCUCUCUCCACCGUCAGGGACCUAUUUCCUCCUUGGGCAGAAGAUUUUUACUGAGCUCCAAUUACAUACUCUUAUAUUGGCAAUUGAGUCAUUAUUAAUGCUCCUGUUGUAUUUUUUUUUUAAUUUUCGUCAUGUUUUUUGUGAACAAAACCUUUGUGUUAGUGAGUUGUAAAAGUCUCCAUUGCUUCUCAGACACAGAAAUGCUUUGCCUUAUUCUCACCAGACUUCCUUUAGGGAUGUGGAUCAAAUUUCAUUAUGUUGACAGACUCUUGGCCUGAGCUUGUAAUUGCUUUCAUUUAUUGAUUCAUUCAUACAUGAAUAAAUUCACACAUUUAUUCACUAGCAAGUAAAUUUAUACAUCCAUGCAGCAAUUUCUCCCAAAAGUUUGUAAAGCUCUUCUGCAUACCUGUCACUAUGAUAUGCUACCUUCUGUGUAGCAUAACAUGUGUUAAUAAAUUGGACAUUUUGCCUGUGAAAGAGUUUUUUGUCUUGCAAGCAAGAAUAAUUUAUAAUAAAUUUCAAAUUUCUGACCCAUACCCUCUUGUUCUAACAAGUCACACCUGCAAGGAAGUACUUCACUGUAUCCUUACUUCUUAUUUGGAUGUAAUAGUCUGUGAAUGGUUAGUUUGAGGAGUCAACUAGACUGGCUUAAGGAAUACCAGAAAACUGGUUUACCUGUAAGGUGUUUCCAGAGGAGGUGGGGAUGUAAAUCAGUGGGUUGAGUGGGAAAGUUUUACCCUCAAUGUGGGCAGUCAACAAUCAGCUGGGGAUCUAGACAGAACAAAGAAAAAAAAAAAAGCUAAUUCUCUCUUCUCUCUCUCUCUCUCUCUCUCUCUCUCUCUCUCUCUCUCUCUCUCCUAGAGGUGGGACACAUUUCUUUUGCCCCUGGUCUUCAGAAUUCCAGGCUCUCCAUCUGCUGGAUUUCACAACUUAGAUAAGCAGCUCCCCAGAUUCUCAGACCUUCAACCUUGGAGUGAGAAUUACAGCAUUUGUUUCCUUGACUCUGAAUCUUUCAUACUUGGACUGAGCUAUGCUACCAGAAUCCAGGGUCUCCACCAAGCAGAAAACUUGGCCUGGGACUUCUUAACUUCAUAAUUAUGUGCACCAAUUCCUAUCAUAAUUAUCUAUCUGUCAAUCUAUCUAUCUAUCUAUCAUCUAUCCAUCUAUCUCCCUAUCUAUCUGUCUAUCUUUCCUCUUAAUCUCCUAUUUGUUUUGUCUCUCUGGAGUAAAUAAAUAUUCCAACUAAAUUGUCCAUGCAACCUAUAAAUGUGUCUCUCUUCCCAAACCUCAUUUCGCCUCUUCUAGUUAACUGUAUACUAAUGCAGGCAGCCAGACUAUGCCCAGCCAUCACUGGUUAUAUGGCAAGGAUUUAAGAAUUAGGAACACUCUACUACUACCCACUAAUUAUUACUCCAUUAAUAUUGAGGGUGUUGUCUGCAGAAAGAACUGAGUAGUCCUUUAUCUAAAUCAAGUCAAAGUUGUGCUUCUUAACAGCUAGAAAGAGAACAAGUUUUAUGAGUAGUUUUAUCUUUUCUGUUUUUGCUUAAAAGCAGAAAAUGAAUUCUCAAGGUUAAGUGGGAAAAUGAAACAGUUCAAUGAGUUUCUCUUAAGUUUUCACAUAAAGAGCCUACAAAAAUCCCCUGAAUGUCUCAAAUGUUCUGUUGAGAAGAUGGUAUGAAAAAAUGCUAAACUUCAGUUUUCCAUCUACUUAGAAUCGAAGAAUGGAAGACAGUAAUGAUAAGAUGAACACGGGAACGAUUCACUAAUCCACAGCUGAAAUUUGAGUAUUUUGCUUAUUACAGCCAUUCUCUACCUGGAUUUCUAAAAGUGCACAAUUCCCCUUUGACACCAUAAACUCAUUCAUGAAUAAAAAACACAGAAAGUCAUGACUUAAAAUGUGAGGCUAUAUGCACUCAGAAAAAUGAUGCUUCCUUUUCAUAGGUUAGUGAUAUGCUGUAUGAUAGUCUUUUGAUACCUAAUUUAUUUUUUUUGACAUUCAUUAAAUAAUCCAAAAUUUUAUUCAGAUUUUACCAAGGUAUUUAUUUAUAUAUGUAUGCAAUAAAUUCUAUAUAUUUUUCAUCUUUAUAUUGUGCCAUCUUUUUUACCUUUUUAAAAAUUUGUGUUAUUAUUUUUACUGUACACAUUUAUAGGAUACAUUGUGAUAAUUCCACACAUAUACACAAUAUGUUAAGAUCAAAUCAGAAGGGACUGAGGUUGUGGCUCAGUGGUAGAGCAUGUGCCUGGCAUGUGUGAGACCCUGGGUUUGAUCCUCAGCACCACAUAUAAAUAAACAAAGUAAAAAAUCCAUUGGCAACUAAAAAAUAUUUUAAAAAUAAAUCAAAUCAGGAUACUUGGCAUUUCCAUCUCUUUAAACUUUUUUAAAUAAAUUUUUGGUUAAAACAAUUGUCCAUAUUUAGGGAAAAUAAAAAUGUAAUAUUUCAAUACAUGUAUACAAUGUGUGCUGAUCAAAUCAAGGUAAUUAAUAUUUCUAUCUCCUUAUUAUUACUUUGUGUUUCAAGCCUUUGAGUUCUUUAAAUUCUAUAUAAUUUUACACCUGUGUAAAUUCAUGUUGAUACCUAAUUUCUGACUAACGUAAGUGUUCUGAGCAUGCGUGGGGUAGGGUAAACUAUAAUAUUUGGCAAAUCAGAUGUAUGAAAUGUGCUUGCAAUUUAAGAUAUUUUCAACUCAUGAUGGUUUAUCAGGACAUAAACUCAUUGUAAGUCAAGCAGCAUAUGUAAUGCAUUUGUUCUACUGCUGUGUCAGUUAUGAUCAUCCAGAAAAAUAGAAACAAACAGAAAUAGAUGGUGUGGGGGGGGGAGAGAAAGAGAGAGAGAGAGAGAGAGAGAGAGAGAGGGAGAGAGAGAGAGAGAGAGAGAGAGAGAGAGAAAGGGAUAGAGUCAGAUAGAGACUUUCCUAAAGCUUCCUACUGGCCUUGAGGAAGAAAAAGUCAUGUUAGGAACUGUCUAUGGAAAGGGUCAAACACACAAAUUUGGGAAAUUACAGGAAACAUGCAGAAACUAAAGGUCUCAAUUCCUAAACUAUAAGGAACUGAAUUUUGCUGACAAACUGAAUGUUCUUGCAAGACCCUGAACUGUGUAAAGAAGCACAGCAUGGCUCAUUGCAAGGCUGCCAGAACCUGAGGAAAGGACACAUUCACAAAUAGGUCAUAUGUACAAGCAUAGUUAUACACAACCAUGUACGUAAUAUCUACUUCAAUAUGUGAACACUAAAAUAAUGUAGGAAACUCGCAUAUUACACAUAUGUGUAUGUAUAAUUUAUAUGUAUGUGUAUAUAAGUAGGAGGUGUUUAUAUAUGUGUGUGUAGAUAUACAUAUAUAUAUAUAUAUAUUUAUUUGUGUGUGUGUGUGUGUAUAUAUAUAUAUAUAUAUAUAUAUAUAUAUAUAUAUAUAUAUAUAUAUUCAUUCUUUGGAUACAUAUGUACUAAAAAGAAAACAGUAUCAAAAUAGCCCCAGAAGCAUCAGUUUAUAGUUGUCAAUAUAUAUUGUCUAAAAUUUUGACUUUUUGCCAAAAAGUUGAAUUAUGAGACACAAGAAAGCAAUAAUGAUAAUUCAUAGACAGAGGGUUAAAAAAAAAGAAACAAAAACUGUAAGAAAUCCCAUAUGUCAAAUUUAAACAAGCAAAUGAAAAUUUCAAAAAAUCUAAAAAGACUUCAAAGAUAAUGAAGAUUAUGCAACUUAACAGCAAAAAGAAAAGAGCAUACAAUGGAUAGAAUCUCAGACAAAUAUGGUGUUAUAUUAAAUGCAUGAAUAUAUACAUAGUAGGAGCACUAGAAUGAGAAGAGAGAGAAAAAUGAACAUUGAAAAUUUUGAAGAACCAAUGGAGGAAAAAUUUCCAGCUUUGAUUAAAAAUAUCAAUUUAUAGCCCGGCAUGGUGGUAGACCCCUGAAAUCCCAGCAGCUUAGAAAGAUGAGGCAGGAGGAUUAUGCAUUCAAAGCCAGACUCAGUAAAAUCGAGGUGCUAAGCAAUUCAAUGAGACCCUGUCUCUAAAUAAAAUACAAAGUAGGGUUGGGGAUGUGGCUUAGUGGUUGAGUGUCCCAGAGUUCAAUACUUGGUACAAUGCCCCUCCCCCCAAAUCAAUUCAUAUACACAAGUAUUCAAUGAACUCCAAGUAGGAAAACCACAGAGAUAUCCACACUGAGACACCUUAUAGUAACAAUGUUGAAGGACAAAGAUGAAGAGAAUAUUUUUAAAGCUGGAAUAAAAAAAUAACUCAUAUAAGUUAUUACAUUUAAGUGAAAAUUAACAGUGGCCUUCUCACCACAAUGAACAACAGACUGCAGUGAAAUGCCAUUUUCAAAGUAGUUGGGAGAUAAUGAUAACCAGGGAUCUUAUAUCUGAAAAUGUGUGUGGUGGGGGGGAAGGGUGUUGUGGGGAUUGAACUCAGGGAUGCUUUACCACUGAGCAUUGAGCUACAUCCCCAGCCCUUUGUUUUUACUAAUUUACUUAUUUAUUUAUUUUUGAGAUGGUCUCACUAAAGUUCCUUAGUUGCUGAGACUGGCCUUAAGUUUGCAAUCUUCUUUGUUUCAGACUCCCAAGAACCUGGAAUUACAGGUGUAUACAAAUGCAUCCAGCCUAACAAAACUGUCUUUAAGAAAUAAGAAAACUUAAAUAUGUUCCCAGAAAAAUAAAAGAAACAUAAAUUGAAAGAAAUAGUAAGGAAAUCUCUUUGCUAGAGAAGAGUGGUCACAGUCUAUAGACAGGAUUCAUACAAAUAGGCAGAAAUAACUGAUAAAACAUUUAUGUGUUAAUAAAACAGAGUAUAUACUUAAGCACUUCUGUUUUUUAACUACAAUUAUAGAAAAUGAUAUUUAUAGCAUUAAAAAAUGUCAUAUAUCGCCGUGCGCAGUGGUGCAUGCUGUAAUUUCAGCAGCUUGGGAGGCUGAGACAGGAGGAUUACGUGUUCAAAGCCAGCCUCAGCAAAAGCGAGAUACUAAGCAACUUGGUGAAACCCUGUAUCUAAAUAAAAUACAAAAUGGGACUGGGUAUGUGGUCCAGUGUUCAAAUGCCCCUGAGUUCAAUCCCUCGUACCCCACUCCAAAAAAAAAAAAAGAAAAAAAGUCAUAUAUUUAAAAUUAGUAGCACAAAAGAGAUAAGUGGAAUCAAAUUUAUAAAAAGUAAGCAAAUGACACCAGAUAGUCCCAGAAUACACAUGGAUAAAUAAAGACAACCAGGUAUAAUGAAUUAAAAAGUCCUCAUGUCAAUGUGAAUAAAUAUAUACUUAUAAUUUCCUUUGUUUAAAGACAUAAAUUAGAAAAAAUAAGAAUUGUAAAACUAUAUUUUGUUUUAGUAGUAUGAUUAGUGGAUGCCUAACUUUAGUAUUCAGAGGGAAAAUGGAGAGUAACUGGAAAUAUUCUGUUUGGUGGUAUUGAUAGUUGCAGCAUAUUUUAAAUUAAAAAAAAAUGAACUGUACAAGCACAAGACAGACAGACACAGAGACACACACCCUAAGACCUACUGCAAUUUCUAUAUCCCAUUUCAUUAAUAAAUUUAACCAGGGAUUGAGCAGCAUAGUCAACAACUGAAGAUGAUCUUUUUUAAUUUUUUUUAUGUUUAUUUGUUUUAAUUAGUUACACAUGACAGUACAAUAAUCUUGAUAUAUCAUACAUUUGAAUCAGAUGGGGUAUAAUUUCUCAUUUUUCUGAGUGUACAGGUUGCAGAAUCACAUUGGUCAUACAGUCACAUAUAUACAUCCAGCAAUAAUAAUGUCUAUUUUAUUCUGCUGUCCUUCCUAUCCCCCCUUCCUCUCCCCUCCCCUCCCAUCACUUCUCUCUACCCAAUCUAAUGUGACACACUUCUUCUUAUUUUUCCCUCAAAUCAUCAUACAUGUAUUCUGUAUAAUGAUGAGGGUCUCCUAUCUUCCGUGCAAUUCCCCUUCUCCCUCCCUUUCCCUUCCACCUCUAUCUUAUAAAAUAUAUACUCUUUCCUAAUUCAUUACCACUUCCUGAGCAAUCCUCGGUGGGAGGAUAAAACUUUGGUGCACAAAUUUAGAAAAAAAAAUUUCACCAUGAUGCAGAAUUCUUAAUGGUAAUUUUAACUUACAGAAUAGUAAGAUAUUUGAGAAAAAUUUGCAUUCAUUCCAUUUCUGCUAGAUUAUUUUUGUCUACAGAGAAUACUAACUUUUAUUUUUUUUAUUGGUUGUUCAAAACAUUACAAAGCCCAUGACAUAUCUUUCAUACAUUUGACUCAAGUGGGUUAUGAACUCCCAUUUUUACCCCAAAUAGAAAUUGCAGAAUCACAUUGGUUACACAUUCACAUUUUUACAUAAUGCCAUAUUGAAUACUAACCUUUAUGAUAUAACAUGUCAUACAUUUCAAAAAUGUAUCUUCUAAAAUUAAAAAAUGGCCAUAUAUAUCUAGAUGUAAAAUUUUUGCUUUUAUAAGAACUAAUAGAUUUCUUGUGUACUAAAUAUGACACAAGUGCUUUCAAAGCUUUCAUUUUCUUGAUUUCAACAAGCAUAAAAUAGGUGGACAUCAUUUACAUGUGUAUGUGCCUACAUACAGCUAUUUUAAGCAAUAUGUUCCAUUACUUUACAUCAGCUUGUACUAUGUAUUGUAUCAUAAUACCUAAUCACAUGUUUAAAUUCUUAAGUAAUUCUACAUGCUAUUCCUAAACUUCCUUUACAUUCCCUUCAUUUUUAAUGCAUUGCAUGAUUUUAAAAAGUUAAUGCUACUACUAUCGAAAUGAAAUCAUUCUGUUACAUUGAUAAACUCCACAAAUGGCCUUGCUUCAACUUUCUUCAGAUUUUUACUAAUGUAGUCAUUUAAUACCAACUUGGAGUUUCAGGUACAGGUAACCCAAAUUCAUGGUUUCAUUCUACCAUGAGUAAAGAUAUUUUAAGGAGCCAAUAGGUUCUUUGUUUACUUGCUUAUUUACUUUUAUUUUUUUAACAUAAAUUUGGUUGUUGUCCCUGGGCAGGAUCCAUUGUAAUCUUCCCAGUAUCAUUUCAAUUUUAUACAUAUGCUGCCAGAUGAUCCUUCAAUUACUUAUUUUUAAAAUAAAAUUAUACUAACUAUUUAUUAUUUACAAGCCUGGUUAAUAUAGGAAAUGACCACAAGUGAAUAUAUUUCUUAACAUAAUAUUUUAAUUAUGGCAUAUGAAAAUGACAUUUGCAGAUAAAGAAAAUUCUUAAAUAUUUUAAUAUCUUAUGUUUCAACCUAAAUAUUUAUGCAAGAUGGAGGCAAACGUCAUGGUAUUGGCACCAAAAUAGUCUUGUAGACCCAUGGUACAGAAUAGAGGACACAGAGACAAACCCACAAAGUUAGUUAUAUGAGACAAAGUCGCCAAAAACAUAUAUUGGAGAAAAGACUGGAAAUCCAUAUGCAACACAAUGAAAUUAAGCCCCUAUUUCUCAUGAUGCACAAAACUCAAUUCAAAGUGGAUAAAGGACAUAGGAAUUAAACCAGAGACCCUGUUCCUAAUAAAAGAAAAUUAGGCCCAAAUCUCCAUUGUGUUGGAUUAGGCCUGACUUCCUUAAUAAGACUCCUAUUGUGAAAGAAUUAAAAUCAAGAAUGAGUAAAUGGGAUGGAUUCAUACUAAAAAGCUUCUUCUCAGCAAAAGAAUCUAUGAUGUGAAUAGAGAGCCUACAGAAUGGGAGCAAAUUUUUACCACACUCAUAUAUCAGAUAGAGCACUAACCUCUANCAGCUCCCCAGAUUCUCAGACCUUCAACCUUGGAGUGAGAAUUACAGCAUUUGUUUCCUUGACUCUGAAUCUUUCAUACUUGGACUUAGCCAUGCUACCAGAAUCCAGGGUCUCCACCAAGCAGAAAACUUGGCCUGGGACUUCUUAACUUCAUAAUUAUGUGCACCAAUUCCUAUCAUAAUUAUCUAUCUGUCAAUCUAUCUAUCUAUCUAUCAUCUAUCCAUCUAUCUCCCUAUCUAUCUGUCUAUCUUUCCUCUUAAUCUCCUAUUUGUUUUGUCUCUCUGGAGUAAAUAAAUAUUCCAACUAAAUUGUCCAUGCAACCUAUAAAUGUGUCUCUCUUCCCAAACCUCAUUUCGCCUCUUCUAGUUAACUGUAUACUAAUGCAGGCAGCCAGACUAUGCCCAGCCAUCACUUGUUAUAUGGCAAGGAUUUAAGAAUUAGGAACACUCUACUACUACCCACUAAUUAUUACUCCAUUAAUAUUGAGGGUGUUGUCUGCAGAAAGAACUGAGUAGUCCUUUAUCUAAAUCAAGUCAAAGUUGUGCUUCUUAACAGCUAGAAAGAGAACAAGUUUUAUGAGUAGUUUUAUCUUUUCUGUUUUUGCUUAAAAGCAGAAAAUGAAUUCUCAAGGUUAAGUGGGAAAAUGAAACAGUUCAAUGAGUUUCUCUUAAGUUUUCACAUAAAGAGCCUACAAAAAUCCCCUGAAUAUCUCAAAUGUUCUGUUGAGAAGAUGGUAUGAAAAAAUGCUAAACUUCAGUUUUCCAUCUACUUAGAAUCGAAGAAUGGAAGACAGUAAUGAUAAGAUGAACACGGGAACGAUUCACUAAUCCACAGCUGAAAUUUGAGUAUUUUGCUUAUUACAGCCAUUCUCUACCUGGAUUUCUAAAAGUGCACAAUUCCCCUUUGACACCAUAAACUCAUUCAUGAAUAAAAAACACAGAAAGUCAUGACUUAAAAUGUGAGGCUAUAUGCACUCAGAAAAAUGAUGCUUCCUUUUCAUAGGUUAGUGAUAUGCUGUAUGAUAGUCUUUUGAUACCUAAUUUAUUUUUUUUGACAUUCAUUAAAUAAUCCAAAUUUUAUUCAGAUUUUCCCAAGGUACUUAUUUAUAUAUGUAUGCAAUAAAUUCUAUAUAUUUUUCAUCUUUAUAUUGUGCCAUCUUUUUUACCUUUUUAAAAAUUUGUGUUAUUAUUUUUACUGUACACAUUUAUAGGAUACAUUGUGAUAAUUCCACACAUGUACACAAUAUGUUAAGAUCAAAUCAGAAGGGACUGAGGUUGUGGCUCAGUGGUAGAGCAUGUGCCUGGCAUGUGUGAGACCCUGGGUUUGAUCCUCAGCACCACAUAUAAAUAAACAAAUUAAAAAUCCAUUGGCAACUAAAAAAUAUUUAAAAAAAAAUCAAAUCAGGAUACUUGGCAUUUCCAUCUCUUUAAACUUUUUAAAAUAAAUUUUUGGUUAAAACAAUUGGCCAUAUUUAGGGAAAAUAAAAAUGUAAUAUUUCAAUACAUGUAUACAAUGUGUGCUGAUCAAAUCAAGGUAAUUAAUAUUUCUAUCUCCUUAUUAUUACUUUGUGUUUCAAGCCUUUGAGUUCCUUAAAUUCUAUAUAAUUUUACACCUGUGUAAAUUCAUGUUGAUACCUAAUUUCUGACUAACGUAAGUGUUCUGAGCAUGCGUGGGGUAGGGUAAACUAUAAUAUUUGGCAAAUCAGAUGUAUGAAAUGUGCUUGCAAUUUAAGAUAUUUUCAACUCAUGAUGGUUUAUCAGGACAUAAACUCAUUGUAAGUCAAGCAGCGUAUGUAAUGCAUUUGUUCUACUGCUGUGUCAGUUAUGAUCAUCCAGAAAAAUAGAAACAAACAGAAAUAGAUGGUGUGUGGGCGGGGGGAGAGAAAGAGAGAGAGAGAGAGAGAGAGAGAGAAAAGGGAUAGAGUCAGAUAGAGACUUUCCUAAAGCUUCCUACUGGCCUUGAGGAAGAAAAAGUCAUGUUAGGAACUGUCUAUGGAAAGGGUCAAACACACAAAUUUGGGAAAUUACAGGAAACAUGCAGAAACUAAAGGUCUCAAUUCCUAAACUAUAAGGAACUGAAUUUUGCUGACAAACUGAAUGUUCUUGCAAGACCCUGAACUGUGUAAAGAAGCACAGCAUGGCUCAUUGCAAGGCUGCCAGAACCUGAGGAAAGGACACAUUCACAAAUAGGUCAUAUGUACAAGCAUAGUUAUACACAACCAUGUACGUAAUAUCUACUUCAAUAUGUGAACACUAAAAUAAUGUAGGAAACUCACAUAUUACACAUAUGUGUAUGUAUAAUUUAUAUGUAUGUGUAUAUAAGUAGGAGGUGUUUAUAUAUGUGUGUGUAGAUAUACACAUAUAUAUAUAUUUAUUUAUUUGUGUGUAUGUGUAUAUAUAUAUAUAUAUAUAUAUAUAUAUAUAUAUAUGUAUAUAUAUAUAUAUAUAUAUAUAUAUUCAUUCUUUGAAUAUAUAUAUAUAUAUUCAUUCUUUGGAUACAUAUGUACUAAAAAGAAAACAGUAUCAAAAUAGCCCCAGAAGCAUCAGUUUAUAGUUGUCAAUAUAUAUUGUCUAAAAUUUUGACUUUUUGCCAAAAAGUUGAAUUAUGAGACACAAGAAAGCAAUAAUGAUAAUUCAUAGACAGAGGGUUAAAAAAAAAAGAAACAAAAACUGUAAGAAAUCCCAUAUGUCAAAUUUAAACAAGCGAAUGAAAAUUUCAAAGAAUCUAAAAAGACUUCAAAGAUAAUGAAGAUUAUGCAACUUAACAGCAAAAAGAAAAGAGCAUACAAUGGAUAGAAUCUCAGACAAAUAUGGUGUUAUAUUAAAUGCAUGAAUAUAUACAUAGUAGGAGCACUAGAAUGAGAAGAGAGAGAAAAAUGAACAUUGAAAAUUUUGAAGAACCAAUGGAGGAAAAAUUGCCAGCUUUGAUUAAAAAUAUCAAUUUAUAGCCCGGCAUGGUGGUAGACCCCUGAAAUCCCAGCAGCUUAGAAAGAUGAGGCAGGAGGAUUAUGCAUUCAAAGCCAGACUCAGUAAAAUCGAGGUGCUAAGCAAUUCAAUGAGACCCUGUCUCUAAAUAAAAUACAAAGUAGGGUUGGGGAUGUGGCUUAGUGGUUGAGUGUCCCAGAGUUCAAUACUUGGUACAAUGCCCCUCCCCCCAAAUCAAUUCAUAUACACAAGUAUUCAAUGAACUCCAAGUAGGAAAACCACAGAGAUAUCCACACUGAGACACCUUAUAGUAACAAUGUUGAAGGACAAAGAUGAAGAGAAUAUUUUUAAAGCUGGAAUAAAAAAAUAACUCAUAUAAGUUAUUACAUUUAAGUGAAAAUUAACAGUGGCCUUCUCACCACAAUGAACAACAGACUGCAGUGAAAUGCCAUUUUCAAAGUAGUUGGGAGAUAAUGAUAACCAGGGAUCUUAUAUCUGAAAAUGUGUGUGGUGGGGGGGAAGGGUGUUGUGGGGAUUGAACUCAGGGAUGCUUUACCACUGAGCAUUGAGCUACAUCCCUAGCCCUUUGUUUUUACUAAUUUAUUUAUUUAUUUAUUUUUGAGAUGGUCUCACUAAAGUUCCUUAGUUGCUGAGACUGGCCUUAAGUUUGCAAUCUUCUUUGCUUCAGACUCCCAAGAACCUGGAAUUACAGGUGUAUACAAAUGCAUCCAGCCUAACAAAACUGUCUUUAAGAAAUAAGAAAACUUAAAUAUGUUCCCAGAAAAAAAAAAAGAAACAUAAAUUGAAAGAAAUAGUAAGGAAAGCUCUUUGCUAGAGAAGAGUGGUCACAGUCUAUAGACAGGAUUCAUACAAAUAGGCAGAAAUAACUGAUAAAACAUUUAUGUGUUAAUAAAACAGAGUAUAUACUUAAGCACUUCUGUUUCUUAACUACAAUUAUAGAAAAUGAUAUUUAUAGCAUUAAAAAAUGUCAUAUAUCGCCGUGUGCAGUGGUGCAUGCUGUAAUUUCAGCAGCUUGGGAGGCUGAGACAGGAGGAUUACAUGUUCAAAGCCAGCCUCAGCAAAAGCGAGAUACUAAGCAAUUUGGUGAAACCCUGUAUCUAAAUAAAAUACAAAAUGGGACUGGGUAUGUGGUCCAGUGUUCAAAUGCCCCUGAGUUCAAUCCCUCGUACCCCACUCCAAAAAAAAAAAGAAAAAAAAAAGUCAUAUAUUUAAAAUUAGUAGCACAAAAGAGAUAAGUGGAAUCAAAUUUAUAAAAAGUAAGCAAAUGACACCAGAUAGUCCCAGAAUACACAUGGAUAAAUAAAGACAACCAGGUAUUGUCGCGACCCCUUGCCCGCAAGGAAGACGCAACUCGGGAAUCUUCAUUCAACAGUUUAUUCAGGCCCUUGAUAUUUCUUCUUCUAACCCUCGGAUGCCCCUCCCAGCCUUAAUAAAGCAUCUCAAGCCCCAAUGCGAAGCUGCCACGUGGAGCUUUCUCAUAGGGUGGUAAGGGAUUGCGUGCCAAUUCUCCAUAUAAGGAGUUGUUUAUCACAGGCCACAGUGGAAGCCGGCGCCAUCUUCUAAUGGCGGCCACGGUCUAUUAGAACGGCUCACCACAAGGUAUAAUGAAUUAAAAAGUCCUCAUGUCAAUGUGAAUAAAUAUAUACUUAUAAUUUCCUUUGUUUAAAGACAUAAAUUAGAAAAAAUAAGAAUUGUAAAAUUAUAUUUUGUUUUAGUAGUAUGAUUAGUGGAUGCCUAACUUUAGUAUUCAGAGGGAAAAUGGAGAGUAACUGGAAAUAUUCUGUUUGGUGGUAUUGAUAGUUGCAGCAUAUUUUAAAUUAAAAAAAAAUGAACUGUACAAGCACAAGACAGACAGACACAGAGACACACACCCUAAGACCUACUGCAAUUUCUAUAUCCCAUUUCAUUAAUAAAUUUAACCAGGGAUUGAGCAGCAUAGUCAACAACUGAAGAUGAUCUUUUUAAAUUUUUUUUUAUGUUUAUUUGUUUUAAUUAGUUACACAUGACAGUACAAUAAUCUUGAUCUAUCAUACAUUUGAAUCAGAUGGGGUAUAAUUUCUCAUUUUUCUGAGUGUACAGGUUGCAGAAUCACAUUGGUCAUACAGUCACGUAUAUACAUCCAGCAAUAAUAAUGUCUAUUUUAUUCUGCUGUCCUUCCUAUCCCCCCUUCCUCUCCCCUCCCCUCCCAUCACUUCUCUCUACCCAAUCUAAUGUGACACACUUCUUCUUAUUUUUCCCUCAAAUCAUCAUACAUGUAUUCUGUAUAAUGAUGAGGGUCUCCUAUCUUCCGUGCAAUUCCCCUUCUCCCUCCCUUUCCCUUCCACCUCUAUCUUAUAAAAUAUAUACUCUUUCCUAAUUCAUUCCCACUUCCUGAGCAAUCCUCGGUGGGAGGAUAAAACUUUGGUGCACAAAUUUAGAAAAAAAAAUUUCACCAUGAUGCAGAAUUCUUAAUGGUAAUUUUAACUUACAGAAUAGUAAAAUAUUUGAGAAAAAAUUGCAUUCAUUCCAUUUCUGCUAGAUUAUUUUUGUCUACAGAGAAUACUAACUUUUAUUUUUUUUAUUGGUUGUUCAAAACAUUACAAAGCCCAUGACAUAUCUUUCAUACAUUUGACUCAAGUGGGUUAUGAACUCCCAUUUUUACCCCAAAUACAAAUUGCAGAAUCACAUUGGUUACACAUUCACAUUUUUACAUAAUGCCAUAUUGAAUACUAACCUUUAUGAUAUAACAUGUCAUACAUUUCAAAAAUGUAUCUUCUAAAAUUAAAAAAAAUGGCCAUAUAUAUCUAGAUGUAAAAUUUUUGCUUUUAUAAGAACUAAUAGAUUUCUUGUGUACUAAAUGUGACACAAGUGCUUUCAAAGCUUUCAUUUUCUUGAUUUCAACAAGCAUAAAAUAGGUGGACAUCAUUUACAUGUGUAUGUGCCUACAUACAGCUAUUUUAAGCAAUAUGUUCCAUUACUUUACAUCAGCUUGUACUAUGUAUUGUAUCAUAAUACCUAAUCACAUGUUUAAAUUCUUAAGUAAUUCUACAUGCUAUUCCUAAACUUCCUUUACAUUCCCUUCAUUUUUAAUGCAUUGCAUGAUUUUAAAAAGUUAAUGCUACUACUAUCGAAAUGAAAUCAUUCUGUUACAUUGAUAAACUCCACAAAGGGCCUUGCUUCAACUUUCUUCAGAUUUUUACUAAUGUAGUCAUUUAAUACCAACUUGGAGUUUCGGGUACAGGUAACCCAAAUUCAUGGUUUCAUUCUACCAUGAGAAAAGAUAUUUUAAGGAGCCAAUAGGUUCUUUGUUUACUUGCUUAUUUACUUUUAUUUUUUUAACAUAAAUUUGGUUGUUGUCCCUGGGCAGGAUCCAUUGUAAUCUUCCCAGUAUCAUUUCAAUUUUAUACAUAUGCUGCCAGAUGAUCCUUCAAUUACUUAUUUUUAAAAUAAAAUUAUACUAACUAUUUAUUAUUUACAAGCCUGGUUAAUAUAGGAAAUGACCACAAGUGAAUAUAUUUCUUAACAUAAUAUUUUAAUUAUGGCAUAUGAAAAUGACAUUUGCAGAUAAAAAAAUUCUUAAAUAUUUUAAUAUCUUAUGUUUCAACCUAAAUAUUUAUGCAAGAUGGAGGCAAACGUCAUGGUAUUGGCACCAAAAUAGUCUUGUAGACCCAUGGUACAGAAUAGAGGACACAGAGACAAACCCACAAAGUUAGUUAUAUGAGACAAAGUCGCCAAAAACAUAUAUUGGAGAAAAGACUGGAAAUCCAUAUGCAACACAAUGAAAUUAAGCCCCUAUUUCUCAUGAUGCACAAAACUCAAUUCAAAGUGGAUCAAGGACAUAGGAAUUAAACCAGAGACCCUGUUCCUAAUAAAAGAAAAUUAGGCCCAAAUCUCCAUUGUGUUGGAUUAGGCCUGACUUCCUUAAUAAGACUCCUAUUGUGAAAGAAUUAAAACCAAGAAUGAGUAAAUGGGAUGGAUUCAUACUAAAAAGCUUCUUCUCAGCAAAAGAAUCUAUGAUGUGAAUAGAGAGCCUACAGAAUGGGAGCAAAUUUUUACCACACUCAUAUAUCAGAUAGAGCACUAACCUCUAGGAUACAUAAAGAACUUAAAAACCUUAACACCAAAAAAAAAAAAAAAAACGAAACAACAACAACAAAAAAACCAAAUAACUCAAUCAAUAAAUAGACCAAGGAACUGAACAAACACUUCUUAGAAAAUGAUAUACAAUUAAUCAACAAAUAUAUGAAAAAAUGUUCAACAUCUCUAGCAAUUAGAGAAAUGCAAAUCUAAGAUUUGAAACUACUAUUCUAAGAUUUCAUCUCACUCCAGUCAGAAUGGGCAGCUAUUAAGAAAAAAAAAACAAAAACAAGUGUUGGUGAGGACGUGGGGAAAAAGGCACACUCAUACAUUGCUGGUGGGACUACAAAUUGGUGCAGCCAAUAUGAAAAGCAGUAAGGAAUUUCCUUGGAAAACUGAGAAUGGAACCACUAUUUGACCCAGCUAUCUCACUCCUUGGUUUAUACCCAAAGGACUUAGAAACAACAUACUUCAGAGAUGCAACCAUAUCAAUGUUUAUAGCAGGACAAUUCACAAUAGCAAAAUUGUGUAACAUACCUAGAUGCCCUUUAGUAGAUGAAUGAACAUAUACACAAUGGAAUACUACUACUCAAGCAUUAAAAAGAAUAAAAUCAUGGCAUUUGCAGGUAAAUGAAUGGAGUUGCAGGAUAUCAUGCUAAGUGAAGUAAGACAUUCCCCAAAAAACAAAUACCAAAUGUUUUCUCUGACAUAAGAAUGCUGAUUCAUAAUGGGGAUGGGGGGAAUCAUAGGAGAAAUAGAUGAACUUUAGAUAGGGAGAAAAGGAAGGGGGAAGGGGGGUAGGAAAGAUGGUGGAAUGAUAUGGACAUUAUUAUCCUAAGUACACAUAUGAAGACACAAAUGGUGUGACUCUACUUUGUGUACAACCAGAGACAUGAAAAAUUGUGCUCUAUGUUUGUAAUAUGUAUUGAAUUACAUUCUUCUGUAAUAUACAACAAAUUAGAAUAAAUAUUUUUUAAAAAAAUCUAUAAAAAAGAAAGUUAAUUUUUCUUUUAAUAGUUAUUAAAUCCCACUUAUAUUCCAACAUGGAUGGAUGGUUUUACACACACACACACACACACACACACACACAUAUUUACUAACUAAAAUAAUAUGAAGAAGAAUAGAAGGGAAAUCAUUACAGUAAGAAAAUAAAUUAGGGGUAGAGAGACGAGGCAUGAAAGGAAAGAUACUGUGAAAGGAAAUUGAGCAAACAGUGUAUGCAUGUGAAAAUAUGGCAUAGUGAAUCCCACUAUUAUGUAUAAUUAUAAUGUGCCAAUAAAAAAAAAAGAAAGAAUAUUAUGGAAAUUAUCCUAAAAGCAGUCAAAAUUACAUGGGGAAUUGAUAUUUGAGUACAUUUUAAAAUAUAACAUAGUUAUAGAAUAAAUGUAUGCUUACAAAAAUAAUAUAGUAAUGGGGUAUUUAUUCUCACUCAGUAGUUUGGAAAGAUUUAGAGUGAAUAAUGAAGCCUGGUAAAAUAUAUUUAUGUAGGUAAGCAAUUAAUGUUUUGCAUUUUUUAUAAUAUCUUGAAAAUUUUACAAUUUUAAGUUAAGCUGCUUUUAAAAGAAGAAAAUCACCUAUAUACAAUCAUUAUACCCUUAUUUCAUUAACUGUUUCUAGAAUAUAUAAUACACAGAUGUACACAUAAAAAAGGUGCAAUAAUGUUUUGAGUGUGAUCCUUAUAUUGAUUCUGUAUGAGGUGGGGCACAUGCUAAACAUAUAAAUAUCACAUAUAGUAAGGUCAUGGACCCAUAACAUAUUACUCUAUAUAAACUAGUGUUUUUAAUGUUUUAAUUAUGUAAUAAUUACAUAUGAUAAUGAGGUUCAUUGUGAUUUAUUCAUACAUGCACAUAAUUUUCUCCAUUUAUUUCCCCAGUAUCUGUCUUUUUCCUCCCUUCCUCCCCCUGACCCUGAUUCUCUUUCCCUACUCUUCUGGUCAUCGUUCUUCUAUUUAUGUAUAUAUUUUCAUUGAUGCAUUAUAAGUAUACAUGAAAGUGGGAUUUAAUGUAAUACAUUCAUACAUUCAUAUAGCAUAAUCUGGAUGAUUUUAUCCCCAGUUCUCCCUUUUCUCUCCCCCUUGUUUCCCUAUCUCUACUCUAUUUAUCUCCCUUCUAUUUUCAUGAUAUCCACUUUUUAAGUUCCAUUUUCUUCUCUAGUGUCUAUAUAAGAGAGAUAACAUCUGACCCUUGACUUAAUGAGUCUGGCUUAUUAUACUUAACAUGAUGUUUUGCAGUUCUAUUCAUUUACCAGCAAAUAACACAAUUUCAUUUUUCAUUACUGUGUUCUAAGUUUUAUUUUUUAAUGAAAUGCUGUUAUGAGAAAUAGAAGUGUGAAUUUAUGAAUGUGUACUUAAGUUACAGUGCAAUCUAGACUUCAUAAUCUUUUGCCUAUGUGAUUUGUGAAAAAAUAUUUACCUAUCUUUUUCAUUAAGAACAUGGAAAUAAAGAACAUUCCCUUCUAAAAAUUAAUUGAAACUGUAAAUACACAUUUUAAUAUAAAGUAAAUUUCCAUCCUAUUAUUUAACAAAAAAUAUCAUUUUAUUGUUUUCACAAUAGCCCUUCAUAUUUAAACUAUAAUUUACACAAUACUUUCAUAUUGACAUUUAUGUUUUAAAUAAUUCAGCAAUGACCUCACAUUUUUAUACAUGUAAAAAUUCCUUGUAAUCUUCUUAAGGUAAAUUCCUAGAAGGUUUUUUUUUUUUUUUUUUUGGCAGAAGAGGAAUGUUCAAAGCAUCCAUUAUACGUAGAGAGCUAAAUUGAUCUAUAGAGAAUUUAUACCAACUAAUAUUAUCAAUAUCAGCUUAUGGAAUUCACCAUUCACUUACAAAUAACAGAUAACAAUCACAAUCUAUAUAUAACAUAUAUAACAAUAACAUAUCUACAGAUAUAUAGAAAGACCUUAAAAGUUUCUAAAAAUGUAAUUUGUAUCCUAAUUAAUUUAAUAUUUCUUCCAGAUGAAUUUUGGUAAAUAAAAUUCAGUUUGGGACUAGGAUUACACUUUGUAUUUUUUUCUGUGAAGACGUCUUGUUUUUCUUUUGCAUCUUUUGAUAGUGAAUUGUAAGACACCCCUACAUAUUUUUGUUACCCACUCUGUCAAAAAUAUUCUAGUUUCACAUUCAUAUUUUAAUCCCCAUAUAUCACUUGUAGAUAUUUUAGGAUAUUAUUCAUUACUAAAAGUUACUAAUUGAGCUCUCAUCAUUAUUUCUACAAUUAUUUUAUGGUUUUAUUUUUAAUACUUAACUUUCAAAUUCUGAUGGAAUUAAUUUUGUUUCAAUGUGUGAAAAGAGGUACCGAUUCAUCCAUUUUUCUUAAAUAAUGACCCAAUUUUCUCAGAAAAAAAAUAUGUUAUUCCACACUAAUAUGUGAUGCCACCCAAAUUGAAUUAUAUGCAGUUGUUACCAUUUUAAUUCUUUGCAUUGCUCUUCAGGUCUAUUCCAUUGUCAACAUCAUUGCUUUGCUUAUAGUAUUUUUGUAAUAACAUUGACCAUAAUAGCUCAAGAAUUCUGAAAAUUAUCUUUCCCAUUUUACCAAUGUUUUUGUUUCUCUCAAUUUAUAUUCCUUUGUCAAGAUUUCAUUUUUGAGUGGCCAAGGAAAAGAACAGUAAAAGAUACUUAUGAAUUUCACUGUGAAAAGCAUGUGCUUUGAUUUUAUAAAUACCAAUGUUUUACAAUACUUAGUGGAAUACUUCAUAGCUCUUCAUUUAUUUUAUCUAAUUUGUUACUGUUAAGUCACAGGUUUCAGGGCUGAUCACACUGGCUAUCUUCCUUUUAGUAGUGUUUUCCCCCUAGGAACCCUGGUUGUAUUUACUGGCAGAUCCCCUGCUAAAAUCAAUAUCUUGAUCUAAGAGGAAUUUUCUUAACCUCCUUCUGUCCCAGAAUUUUCAUGUUUACCUUUGUCCAUUGUUUCAAUUUUUUUUUUCCUCAUAGUAAUUACCACUGCCAGAAGCUACAUUUUCUAUUUAUUUUUGAAUUUUCCCUCUAUGCCAAUGUUGGUCCAAUGUUUUCUUUGUUCAAUACUGAAUCUUUGAUGAGUGUUUAGAACAUUGCUAGCACUAAGAAUUAACCAACAGUACUCAGUGAAAAUUUUCAUUUUAUUUACAUGGAUCAUGCUGAUGUCUUUCUUAAAUAAACUAUAGUUUUUGUUUUUAUAGAUAAGUAAAAGCAAUAUUUUAUUAUUUUAUUUUCUCCUAGAUAUUAGACUACCUAAAUAUUGUGCAUCCCUGAUGAACUGUUGAAGUUUGUAUGGAUUCUUUGAAAAUUUUUUUGAAGUCUAAUAUAAUCUGGCAAAAAUAUUCAAAUUUUUAUUAAAUCUAGAUUAAAGAUUGAGAUAUGUAAUUAUAAAAAAUAUAUAAAUAGACAUAGAUAUUCAAAGAAUCAAGUCGCCCUAAAAUUGACUGAAACAUUGAACACCUAUCCCUAACACAUUAUAUUUCUAUAGUACUUUAGAUUACUGGGCUGGGGUUGUGGUUUAGCAGUAGAGUGCUUGCCUAGCAAAUGAGAGGCCCUGGGUUUGAUCCUCAGCACCACAUAAAAAUAAGUAAAUAAAAUAAAUGCAUUGAAAAAUAUUUUCGAUUACUAUGCAGUGGAACUACCAAAUAGAUUGAAGGAACAUUAAGUAUAGGAAAGUGAUAAAUUACUUUAAAGUGAAGUAGAAUGGAGUGGCUGGUAUGGAAACUUUAUGAUGGCAGAAAGAAGCAGUUCCAUGAAAAGCAUUAUUAGCAACUGGAAAGAACUUGUUAAGCAUCUUUGUAAGUAGUUGCUUAGAUGAUUCUGAAAUUGGAUAAUAGAGGUACAGCAUUACUGUAGAAGCACUAGAGGCAAUAAUGGAGAUUGUGUCAUUGGAGAAGACCUUUGUACUCUGUACUCACUGAGAAUUUUGGUAUGAAAGUCUGAGGCUUAUUGUGUUUCUCCUGUUCUCUGAUCUGAAAGACUUUAAAUGGUUUGAUGAAUCAUUGGGACAGAAUAAUUCUAAAAUCUCUUCCAACUUAAUAUGUGUACAUUUCGCCACACAAUUAAAUUCAGACAUAAUAAACUAAGUAGAUGAUAAUAACUUGUUUUCCAUAGGAGGAGACACAAUAAGAAAAAAUUGACUUUAGAAUUGUAAGAAAAUAGAGUGAAUUUCUUUUUCACCUUGGAAUUAUAUUUUUCCUAAGAACCUGUUGUUACUGACUGAUAGAAAAUUAAAUCCUUAUAAAUAUAAAAUAAAGCUUUAUGACAUCUCCUGGAUUAUGGAAUAUAUCCAUCCCUAUACCUUAGUUUUGAUUGAACUUAAAAAUAAAAUUUUUGCUUAGGAUCUCCUCUCAUAAUAGCUAUUUGUACAAAAAUUUUUCAUGCCAUUGUAAUAUGUUUUAAUUUUCUUUUAAAAAGCCGGUAUUUAAAUUUGACUUAGUUGGGUUUUAUGGAACAUAACCUAGAACUGAGAUUUGUUGUCUUGUUUUGUUGUUGUUGUCUUUGUUUUUUUGUAUAGUCAAAACCUACUGAAAAUUUCUCCUUUUCAAAUUUUUAAUUAUCAUCAUCAUCAGUAAUACUAUUGUUAUUUUAAAUACUUCAGUGUUUUCCUUACUGUAUGGGCUUUUGAAAUCAUUGUCCACUAAUUAAUAUUUCCAAGAUAGUCUACUGCUUACACAGAUCUUACAGACCCCCAGCCAAUGAGAAAUGUUUCUUUGUCAACAGGUGAAUAAAGCAAAAUGUGCUUGGUAUAUUCCUCCCCAUUUCAGGUUCUUUUCCUUCAUCUUCUUCCCAUGAUAGAGUUUGAUGUUUACAAAAAAAUCUCAGCUGGGUGUAGUAUCCCAUGCCUGUAAUCUCAGUGGCUCAGAAUCAGGAAGAUCACAAGUUUGAGGUCACUCUCAGCAACUUAAGAAGGCUCGAAGGCAACUUAGUGAGACCCUUUUUAAAAUAAAAAAUAAAGUGGGCUGAGGAUGUAGCUCAGUGGUAAAGCAAAGGCCUCUGGGUUCUAAAUAAACGAAUAAAUAAACUUGAAGAAAGAAAACAAAAGAAUGAAAUAAAAAUUCUCACUCUAUUAGCUCCUCUAGUUAUUACAGUAUCCAGAAAAUUAAUUUUUAAAAUACGGGUUAAAUGCUUGUGAUUUAAAUCCAACACAUUUCAAGCACAAAAGGGGAACUGUGGAUUCAGUGUCUGAUUAAGUCGGAACCUAAAAGAUAUUCUUUCAGUGGAUGUUGCUCUGAUCUUUUCUUGAAUCCUUUGUUAACUGCCAAUAAAUCUUGGUUUCGCAUGGGUCUGAUAUGUUGGCUCUUUGCAGGGUGUAUUUUUGUGUUUGUGCGAAGGUAGGGUAUGUGUAUGUAUGUAUUCAUCUCACAAAAAAGAAAUUGCCCAGAGUUCUCUGGUUGUGUAACAUUUGACUGCAGAGGUUUCUCCUCUCCAAUGCUGUGUUGUUCUUUGCCAAUUAGGUAAACAUUAGGCACUUGUGUAACCUUUUUAUUCUCUAACAUUUUCUAUUUCCUUUCUGUUGCAAGAAGUAGCAAAGUUCUGAAGAAGGAAUACAAUCUUAUUUUCUUACUUAUGGUGUUAUUUUCUUAGUUUUGAUACCACAAAUUCACCAUGCCUGUGUGUGUGUGUGUGUGUGUGUGUGUAUGACAUCAUACACCUGCACUUAGGGACAUGUGAAGUAACCUGGGUUUUUAGGGCUAUUCAUGAGCUUUGCAUUCUCUGGCCCUGAAUGCUUCACAAGUUAAAUUUUAAGCUUUCAAUUAAGAGGCCUUCAGUCCAUCUUUUAGAAUCAUCAUUUUCCAACACAGACUCCAUCUCUUCUGAUAUCUAUCAGAACGUACAUUUGUAAUUUUAUGCAGAAAAAACCAUGUGGAUUACCAAGAAAAUUGUUAUAUUUUAUUUACCACCAAGGAGUUUUUAAAUUCCUAGGGAAAGUAGGCAGAGUGAGUUGUUUAUUUUUCUGGUGUGCCAUCAAGGAAAUCUGUCAAUUUAAUAUACCAGUUUAUCUUUUUGAGCCCAAAUAAUACUCACUUUGUACUUCAAAAAUUUAUUAAUCAAAUCUCAAGUGUCACAAAUAUUUGUUGAAGCACUAGAUCUAGAUUUAGCUUGUUGGUAGAUUUUCAACUCUUCUGUACAUUCUAAUUCUAUUGCUUUUCUUCCAGAGUCUAUAAUAAUAGAUUCUUGAAAUCAGUGAAUAUUUAAAUUACUUUUUACAUAUUUAUGAAGUGUCUGCCUCUGCCAGAUCCUGCUGUAAGUACAGGCAAUGUAAUGGUCAGACUGACUGCCAAAUUUGGUAUAAAUAUAUCUGUGAGUUCCUCAACCACACAAAAAGACAUGGCAGAAUUCCCAGCUUGGCAGAAUUUUAAACCAUAUGAAUUGAUGCCUAAUGAGAACGUCUUUACUCUAUGAACCCAUUACAACAUAUAAUUCUAUUCUCUCUAUCAUCUAGGACUUCUGAAAAUCAUAUUAUGAGAGACUAUGCACCAUGUUUAGUAUCCUGGGAGAUAACAAAACUGAGCUGAAGAAGUAUUAUCAUGAUUACAGAAAAUCAUUACCAGGAGUCAAACUUCUCAUAGCAUCUGAGUGGUGUGAAGAACAGGGUGUCCUAGAAGAGGGCUAGCAGAGCAAAAAUGGGUGUUCCACUACUGAGAAGUGUGCCUGGGCUCCAACAUGACACCAGUACCCUAAACAGGAGCCAGAAGCAUCUGUGCAUUCAUUCAAAAGGGUAAGUAGGGCAGGAGUUACUAAAAAUAAAGCCAUGCAAAAAAUACAAGGCAUACUACCUAAAGCUAGCUAUCAAAGGAUUUGAGAGCAUUCUUAAAAAUAUAUGAAUUCUGUCUAUUGCCAUGUCUUUCAGAGGUAAGUUUGCUUCUUCACGUGAUGUUUUAUUUGGAAGAUUAGAAAUCAUAUAUAUUAAACUAUAGAAGAUUAUGUAUAUUUCUCACAAAAAGCUACAUUUCUCACAAAUCUAACAUCCGUACAAACCACUUGCAUAUUUUAAAUUGGUUGAAUUAGACAAGAAGUCACCGCAUGAUUAAGAGAUGAGUGAUGGUUUUUCAAGGUUGAAAUGUGGCCAAAAUGAUUUAUUAACAAUGUGGUAAAUAUCUGUACUACCUAUUUGCUUAACACUACAAAAGGCACCCUGAUUGGUUAUUACUAAGCCUCAUGUUACUUGCUUUGAAAUUAGUAGGAAUAUAUUUAUUAUAGUCAUGGGAAAUCAUUUUAUGCCUAUUUUAUUUAAAACUGUUUUGUUUUCCUGAAGAAUAUUCUGGAUUUAAAUUUUGAAAUAAUUAUAGAAUUGGCCAAUGUUGAUUUUACAGUAAAUUAAAUUGCACAGGGCCAAAAAAGCAAGUGAAAUUUCUCCUAAUGUCAGAUGAUAGAGAAGAAGUCUUGACAAGGUGUUUAUCACAAUGGUCUUGGCUUCAGGAUCACUGAGGAGCUGGUUCAAUGGAGUUUCCUGGUUCAACAUUAAUUAAGGAUAUCUGAAAGUGAUAUGUGUAAAUGAAUCCACAAUUUGAAUAAUAACCCCAGACAAUUUAUAUUACAUUGAAAAUUACAGAAGUGUAAUGAAGAAAAAAAGAGCCUGAAACCUGGUUUGAAUUCCUUUAGUUUAUUGACUUGAACCCUAAGAUUAUUUAUGAAGAUGCUACUCAAUAAAAAAUGUAAGAAACUUUUCACUGAAUUUUAUUUGAUAAUUAAAAAAAAAAUAAUACAAAACAAUGAAAUAUUAACAUUUACAAGCAGGUUGAGAAAACAUGGGUUUUGUUAAACUCAUAAAGUCUGAAUGAUUUUUACAUUGCUUCAGUACCUUUUGGAGUACCUUAUUUUAUCCAAAUGAAAAUCUAACCCUUGUCAAGUAAGAAGGAAAAAGAAAUGAGACUGGAAUUGUCUUUAUAAAAGAUAAAAUUUCUGACUAAGAUUAUUGAUUUUUAUUCAUACUAUGUAGUAUGACAGUAAUAGUAAGUCAAAUGAUGUUUUGUAAAAUUAUAAGUAAUUAAAAUCACAUAGAAAUUAAAGCUAAAAUCUGAUUUUAGAAUGCACUUAAUUAAUUCUAAUAUUGAGUAGAAAUAUUUCAAUAUUGAGUAGAAAUAUUUCAAUAUCAUGUAAUGACUUAAAAUAACUUAAUUCACCAAGUAAAACUAAAUAGAUUCUUCAAAAAAUAAAAUGCUAGUAUCAUUUGUGAGUGAACUUCAGGGCAUGCUGGGAAAUUAGAAAUAUACAAAAGUACAUUUUAUGUCCUCUUUGCACUAAUAAAUAUCAUACAUUGGGCAAAAUAUAUCCAUUUUGACUUCUGUGUGAGCCCUGUACUUUCUUAUGUAUUGGGAUUAUAGGAGAUAAACAUUAGCAAAAUUUGAAGAAUAUUGUAGAAACCUUUCUCACAUAUACUUUGAAAGAGCUAGAUAAUUAUUACAUUUUAUUCUACAUUUUUUAAAGACUUACAAAAUUAUCUUGGCAUUUUGAAAAAUUCUGAUAAUCUUAUAGUCAAGUUUUUAUUUCCCACUACAAAAAUGUAAUAUCAGGUAACUUUUACUGGUGUCUAGGAUUCAGUUGGACAAAUACUAUCAAUUCUUCAGUUCUUAAGUAUUUGCUACUUAUUUAUCUCAACAGACAUCUUCCCAAUUCCUAACCCAUGGUCUUGUCAUUUCCUAAACUGGCUUAUGAAUGUCUGAAGCUGUAUGACUUUUUUUUGUUUCUGAAGAUUAUGUGUCUCAUUUUUAUAAAAUUCUUAGAGGAUUCCAUUUUCUUACCACCCCUGCUAUUAACCCAACUCCAACCAGUUUAAACACUAGGCUAUUUUUUAUAUGGGGAAUGGUGAUGUGAACCUAGUGCUCAGGCACCUCUCAACCUGAAGAACACCCCUAUGUUAGGUUUCACUUUCCAUUUUCAAAAUCCCAGAUAACAUACUUCACUUUUCUAAUAUUUUCUUUCCAAAUGAUGCUAAGUUUGGCCAAAGUGGUAUCUCCCUGUACUGAAUUGAUAUCUUAAUUAUUAUCUGUUUGAACAGCUAAUAUAUAACAUGUUGAUUUUUCUUUGUAUCUGACAUUUUCGUCUUCAAUUUUUUUUAUGGUUUAUGUUCUAUCCUGCUCAUCCAGAAUGUAAAAAACAUGAGCAUAGAAUCUUCAUUACAGACAUUAGUAGGGGCUGAAUUAGUGCUUAGCUAACAGAUAUUAAAUGAAUAUUUGCUAUAUUUACAACUAUACAACACCUUCAUUCUUGUUUUCUAAAAUUGUAACAUACUUUGGUCAAAAUACUAUUAAUUCAAGUUAGACAAAGAUAGGCUCAUAAUUUCACACAUUUUUAAACAGGCCUUACUUGAUUAUCUGUUCAAUGCUUAUAUAUCGAAGCACCUACUAACCCAGAUUACUUUUGUGUUACUUUUAAAAACUGAAUGCCUUAAGAGGAGGGCAUAUAAAAGAUAAGACUUUACCCAUGGUGUGUUAGUUCCAAAUAUGAUUAAGUAUCCAUAAGUUGAAGUUUUAGGCAACCAUUUAGCUGCCCUGCCUUCCAAGUUGGCUUAACAUCUACAAGAGUUAAAUCAAUCAGGGUAAAGUGAGAACUGACUGGUGAAAGUGUUUCUGCACCUGCUGUCUGACAGGGUCACAGCGUGGGGGAUGCUGCAGGAAGGCCGCAGCAUCUGGAAACUGGAACCAUUAGGAAUGUUAAGUGUUUUAUUUAUGAUACUCAUGAUAUGGAUAACAGGGAACACGUCAAUCAAUAAUAAAAAGUUCUUACAUAUUGUCUGAGAUUGUAGGAAAAUUCCCAGAAUGAGACUAAGGAUGCAAUUGAGACAUGUCAUGAGGUACAUUUCAGUGUCUCUCAGGAUACAAACAAUGGUGUUAUUCCUCAAGCUUAAACAACAAUAAAUAUUUAUCCCAUGGUUAACAAUUUACACUAGCCCACCCAAUCCCAUCCUAAAGCCACAACUUGUACAAUAGCCUAGCUACAGAGAAACAAUUUCUGUGCCAACAGUACAAGGACCACCAUUUGUAGUUUAUGGUAUCCCCUCAAGGACAAGAGGCUAAUAAAAAUACAUUUCCC